CAAAACAAAAACAUGAUUUAUGUGAAAUGUGAAUUUUAAUAGCCUUGGCGGUCUCGGUAGGAUGCCUCGGCCAAGGUGUCCCCGAGAAUGGAUUUAUGGCACAAGCCUAGAUUUUUAUGAGAUUCAUAAGCCUUUUUACGUAUUUUGAACGAGAUGUGUUCUAAUUGUAUAACCCAGUUUAUGAUGAUUUACUUUAUUGUCUCCAUGUACUCAACUCUAGAUGUUUAUGAUGAUGUCUGUUUACUCAUUGGGAUUUUAUAAUCUCACCACCCUCCUUUCCACCCAUUUCAGGUUCAGUAUAGACUGUAGAUAGCUGAUCUCAUCGAGGACUACAGUGGGAUCUGCAUUUUCCAAACCGUAGGUUCACAGUCCUCUUUACUUUUGUUUAUUCGGGGGCACUCUUGUUAUUGUAAAUUAAAUUAAAUAUUUUGGCUUACUGUAUUUAAGUAUGUAUAAAUUUAUUUAGCUUUUACGCUAUAAAAAUUAUUCACGUAUAACUCUAUAAAUAUUGUUUUAUAAGAAAAUAGAAUAUUUUAUUUAAUAUUUUUUUUAUUUUUUUAUUAUAUUCAAAUAACCAUAAUUUCGUUUUAAAUGAAGAUUUUAGACUUUUAAACUCAUUUUGAAUAUGAAUUAUUUGUUUUGUACUUGUAUAUUACGUUUUAGCCAGUUUCGAAAUCUUUGAGAAAAAUGACCAAAAUACCCCUGUGAGAUGAAAAAAAUUAAUAUUUUAUUUGUUUAAAGUUGGAAACAGCUUAAAAUCUUUUAGAGCACGAUAUUUGACAAUGGUUGCUCACAAGGGAAUAGAGAAACUGAUAGUAAAGCCUUGUGGGGUUUCGGGUUCACAUUCUGGGCAAUGAGUGUCUACCAGGACACCGCGGCUGUUGUCACGGGCUCGAGGGGAGUACCGGGUCGUGACAAUUGUACUUCAUCUUUUCUUUAUUUCUCAAUUACUUGGAGUGUGAGAGACACUUUAACAGGUAGACUAAGCGUAGGAAAGCUUAGGGAAUCUUAUAAGAGUUUUGAGCUUGGGUUAAAAGCUCACCUUGUAAAAACUUGGUGGAAGUUGUCAAUUCCACUAGUUUAGUGAAAUUGAGUUGAAAAUCCUUGAUUGGGAGAUCAAGGUAGUGGAUGUAGGUCAAAGGGACCGAACCGCUAUAAAUACUUGUGUUUUGUCCACUUCUCUUUGCUUGGUGAUUUUUUGCCUUUACAAGUUUUAAACUCUUUUUUCAAAAUCCUUCAAAAGUUCUUCAACCUUAAAAGUUUCCAUCAAAUUUCUUUAAAAGUUCUAUUCAACCCCCUUCUAACAUUUCAUUGGGUCCAACAAGUGGUAUCAAAGCCUAAUCUUUGAUUUUAAGGCUUAAUAUCCUAAAGGGAAGAUCCAAUGGCUACUCAAAAUUCUAAUGAUGUUGAGGGUCAAUUCAUAAAUAGGCUUCCUCUAUUUAAUGGAACCAAUUGUAAAUUUUGGAGUACUAGAAUGUCCAUUUAUGUUAGGGGUUAUGACUAUGAGACAUGAGAUGUCAUUAUCGAUGGUCAUUUCAUCCCUAUUAGUACUAAUUCGGUAAAUGGUGAGAAAACUCCUAAAUAUAAAAUUAAGUGGACAGAAGCUGAAAUAAGGAAAGUAUAAAUAAACUCCAAGGCCAUGUACGCUCUCAUUUGUGCACUUGAUUAUAAAGAAUAUAAUAGAGUGUUCAUGUGCAAAAGUGCCAAAGAAAUUUGAGAAAAAUUAAAAGAGUUAUAUGGAGAAACAAAGAAGGAAAAGGAAUUGGAAGACAAGCCUUGUGAGAAUCAAUGCUCAAAAAGCAACAAGGCAAAUGCAAUUAAGGAAUCAAACGAAGAUGAAUCCUUAAAUCAAAUUGAAGUAUGCCUUACGGCUCUUGAAGAGAUAGAGGUAAGUUCUUCAUUUUAUGAAUUGAAUUCAUAUGCUUUUGAUGAAUUGCAUGAUGCUUUUGAGAAUUUAGCAUUUGAGUUUGAGAAAAUGGAUUUGAAACACAAGAAAAAUCAUUUCCAUACUUGACGUUGAAAAUGAAUUUUUAGUGAAAACAAAAGUUGAUUUGGAUAAAGUAAAUGAAAAUUUGAAAAAGGAUUUUGAAGCUUACUUGAAGAAAAUUGAUAUUUAGGAAAAAAAAUUUUGAUGUGAAAAAGAAAUGUGAAGAUUUAUUAAAGGAGAAACAAAAGGUUUUCAUGAAUUUCUCAUCUUCCAAAACUACCAAAUGCAAUCAUUACACAUUUUAUAGUUAUUGUUCAUACACUUGUCUAAUUAGAAAAUGUGUACCUAAAAAAUUUAGACAAGUAUGGGUUCCAAAAGGAACUUUGUGCAACGAGACUAACUUUCAAGGAUCCCUAGCAAUUUGGAUACCAAAACUCAAAAGAAAAAUGUCUCUUGUAGGUGUGCUAGAGCAAGGAGGAAAAAUUUUUGAAGAAUGAAUGCUCUCUAGUCACACAUAAAGAAAAAUGGGUAAUUUUUAUGCUAAAAGCCUUUUGUUUGUUUAAAUGAGAAUUUUAAUUACUUAUUUAUUGAAUGUUUCAUUGAUUUAGUUUGGUUUUUAAAAUUUUUUGCUUUUUUUAAGUGCGAACUUUGAUUACUUUUUCUUGCUUGAAUUUUAAGUGCAUAAUUCUUUGUUUACCCUUUUUUGAGUUUUCUUGAUAAAUCUUGGCUAUGCAACUUGAUUUGAUAUGAUACAUGUUAUAAGUUGCAUAAUUUAGAAGGAAGUCUGAAUCUAAAGAUUGAGUAUGUACCUAUAUUUGAUGUUGAAUAUAUCAUCAUACUUAUUUUGAGAAAAUUGUUUUAUUAAGAUUGUUGGAUUAUGGAAAAUUGUUUCUAUAAAAUUUCCUUAUGUUUUGUGAAAUUCUUUUCAUACUAUUUCUUUGAGGAAAAAUUAUUUUUGAGCAUAAUUUUGAAACAUGAAAUGUAAAACCCGACCUUAUAAACACAUGUCAUGACAUACAUGCACUAAGUAGCAUGUUAUUAUGCUAGGAAAGCAUCUAAGAAUAGACGAAACCCGGUAUCGUACCUAACGGUACACUUGAGUUGAUUUAACCUUCGAACUAGUUCAAAUAGGAAUUGUAGGAUGAAAUUUAAUAUUUUAUAGUCCAAAAAUGACUAAAAAUGAUUGUUUGGAGUUCGAGGGUUCAUUAGGGGUAAAAUUGAAAAUUUUGAUGUUUAGGGGUAAAAUCGUAAUUUUGCCAUUCGCAGACAAAAUUUGAGAUUUGAGAGAAUUUAGAUCAAAUUUGACAAAUUGGGGAAUGGUAUGAGUAUAAGGGAUGAAAAAUAUGUCUAUGGGCAAUUUUUCAGUUUUUUGGGCAAAAAUGUAAUUUUUCACUUUUAAAGGGGCAAAAGUGUAAAUUUCAAAAAUUACUCCACCAAGACUUUGGAUAAGUCUGAGAAUUUUAUCUAAGCUAUGGAUAUGUGGGACAAGUGUAUGGUGAAAAUUUGGAAACAAAUGGAUGAAAUUUUAACAAUGGGCCAAUGGGAAAGUGACACAUGGCAUUUUUUUUAAUGAUUUAAUAUUAUUUUAGUGAAAAGUCAGCCCAUUUAAAUCCCAUUUUAAGUGAUGGCCGGCCAUAAGGGAGAAUAAGAGAGAAAAUAGAGAGGAAAGGAAGAAAAAAAAGAAAAAUCAAAGAGAAACAAGAAAAUUCAAAGGGCAAUUCGCGUUUUUCGCUCGUUUACGCGUCUAACGGUAAGAUUUUUCGACUUUAGCUUGAUUUCUACCUUUCCUAUGCCUUUGUUUCCAUUUAGCAUGCUUGAGGAGAGAGAUCUAAAAGUGACAUCAAGGGCUGGCCGAAUUUCAAGGGGGGAGAAAUUGAAAUUUUUAGGUUUUGAUUUUUAGUUAAAUUGAUAGUUUUAGUUAGUUAAAUGUGUUUAGAAAUUAAAUUGGGCAAGAAANNNNNNNNNNNNNNNNNNNNNNNNNNNNNNNNNNNNNNNNNNNNNNNNNNNNNNNNNNNNNNNNNNNNNNNNNNNNNNNNNNNNNNNNNNNNNNNNNNNNNNNNNNNNNNNNNNNNNNNNNNNNNNNNNNNNNNNNNNNNNNNNNNNNNNNNNNNNNNNNNNNNNNNNNNNNNNNNNNNNNNNNNNNNNNNNNNNNNNNNNNNNNNNNNNNNNNNNNNNNNNNNNNNNNNNNNNNNNNNNNNNNNNNNNNNNNNNNNNNNNNNNNNNNNNNNNNNNNNNNNNNNNNNNNNNNNNNNNNNNNNNNNNNNNNNNNNNNNNNNNNNNNNNNNNNNNNNNNNNNNNNNNNNNNNNNNNNNNNNNNNNNNNNNNNNNNNNNNNNNNNNNNNNNNNNNNNNNNNNNNNNNNNNNNNNNNNNNNNNNNNNNNNNNNNNNNNNNNNNNNNNNNNNNNNNNNNNNNNNNNNNNNNNNNNNNNNNNNNNNNNNNNNNNNNNNNNNNNNNNNNNNNNNNNNNNNNNNNNNNNNNNNNNNNNNNNNNNNNNNNNNNNNNNNNNNNNNNNNNNNNNNNNNNNNNNNNNNNNNNNNNNNNNNNNNNNNNNNNNNNNNNNNNNNNNNNNNNNNNNNNNNNNNNNNNNNNNNNNNNNNNNNNNNNNNNNNNNNNNNNNNNNNNNNNNNNNNNNNNNNNNNNNNNNNNNNNNNNNNNNNNNNNNNNNNNNNNNNNNNNNNNNNNNNNNNNNNNNNNNNNNNNNNNNNNNNNNNNNNNNNNNNNNNNNNNNNNNNNNNNNNNNNNNNNNNNNNNNNNNNNNNNNNNNNNNNNNNNNNNNNNNNNNNNNNNNNNNNNNNNNNNNNNNNNNNNNNNNNNNNNNNNNNNNNNNNNNNNNNNNNNNNNNNNNNNNNNNNNNNNNNNNNNNNNNNNNNNNNNNNNNNNNNNNNNNNNNNNNNNNNNNNNNNNNNNNNNNNNNNNNNNNNNNNNNNNNNNNNNNNNNNNNNNNNNNNNNNNNNNNNNNNNNNNNNNNNNNNNNNNNNNNNNNNNNNNNNNNNNNNNNNNNNNNNNNNNNNNNNNNNNNNNNNNNNNNNNNNNNNNNNNNNNNNNNNNNNNNNNNNNNNNNNNNNNNNNNNNNNNNNNNNNNNNNNNNNNNNNNNNNNNNNNNNNNNNNNNNNNNNNNNNNNNNNNNNNNNNNNNNNNNNNNNNNNNNNNNNNNNNNNNNNNNNNNNNNNNNNNNNNNNNNNNNNNNNNNNNNNNNNNNNNNNNNNNNNNNNNNNNNNNNNNNNNNNNNNNNNNNNNNNNNNNNNNNNNNNNNNNNNNNNNNNNNNNNNNNNNNNNNNNNNNNNNNNNNNNNNNNNNNNNNNNNNNNNNNNNNNNNNNNNNNNNNNNNNNNNNNNNNNNNNNNNNNNNNNNNNNNNNNNNNNNNNNNNNNNNNNNNNNNNNNNNNNNNNNNNNNNNNNNNNNNNNNNNNNNNNNNNNNNNNNNNNNNNNNNNNNNNNNNNNNNNNNNNNNNNNNNNNNNNNNNNNNNNNNNNNNNNNNNNNNNNNNNNNNNNNNNNNNNNNNNNNNNNNNNNNNNNNNNNNNNNNNNNNNGCUACAAAAAUUAUUUAUGUAUAGUUCUAUAAAAAUUGUUUUAUAAGAAAAUGAAAUAUGUUAUCAAAUAUUUUUAUUUCGUUUAAUUAGCCAACUUUUCACUCUAAAUGAAUGAUUUAGAUUACAAAAAUUUAUUUUUAAUCGGCAGUGGAUAUUUUUCUACCAUACGUUGUAUCUUUAUCAGGUUUCGAAAUUUUUUGGUAAAAAUGACCAAAAUACUCUUAUGUGGUGAAAAAUUUAUUUUGAUUGUUUUCGAUCUAAAAUAGUUUAUAUUUUCUUAAAACUCGAUAUUUAAUAACGAUUGCUCACAGGAAAGGCAAGAAACUGAUUCGUUAGCCUUGCGGGGUUCCGAUUGGCAUUCCGGAUAAUGAGUGUCAAUCGGGAUGUCGCGGCGGUUGUCAUGGGCCCGAGGGAGGUUCUGGGUCAUGACAUGAAAGGUUUGAUAAUGUAACAGAAAUAUGAGUAUACUUGAUGAUUUACACUCUGACCGAUUCAAGUAGCCUAAAACGAGGAAAAUUGAGUUAAAAAAAAAGUGGCCUUGAUUCCUUGUGCUUAAGAUAAGUUGACAAUUUGAACAAUCUUGAUUUACAUUCUAGAACUUGCUUGAAUAGUUCAAGAUGGUUGAUAAUGAGCUUGCAAGUUUUGAUUACUUUAAUUGUGUCUUUUAAAGCAAAAUGAGCAUGAGAAAAAUGUUGCCAUUUUUUAAGUUUAGAAUGAUUUAUGAAUUGGACAAGUUCGUUUCAUGAUGAAAAUACUUAUUGACUUGUUCUUAUUGGAUGUGCAUGCUUGCUUGUAAGCUUGAAUGGUCAUAAGGGUAUUUUUGGCACAUGAUUGUGAGAUAUUUGAAAAUGACCCUUGACAUGCAUAAACAUGAUUCAUUAUGCUCAUUACACAUUUCAUAAUUUAUUUAAAGCAUAUUUGAGCAAAAUUGAGUGAUAUUGAGCUCAUGACUUUUCACAAAGCAUGUCAUAUCUUGAAUGUUUCAAGUUGAAAAAUUUGUGAAGAAAAAUUAAAUUUUAUCAAUUGAUUUUCUUGCAAAAUCUUUUUAUUCUCUUUGAUUGAAAUUGAUUUAUUGUUUUUGAUGAUAUAGCAUGGUUGAGCAAAAUUGAUUUCAUACAUGAAUUGCAUAAAUCCCAUUUUAAUUGAUAUUUCUCUCAUGAUUUAUGAAAUAGAUUGAAAGAGUUUUCUUAAGCAUAAUCACGAGUAUGAUAAUUUGACAUUGAUGAUAUUUUAAGCAAAUGAACAAGUCUUUUUGUAAUGCUUAAAGCUACAAUGAUUUCAAUGAUAUAAAACUUGAACAAGUUUACCUUAUAUUGAAAAUGCUAUUAUAACUUGUCCUAGUUGCAAAUGAAUGCUUGAAUGACCUCAAGAGCAUUUUGUCUAUAUGUUAGAAAAGUGUUGAAAUUGUUAAAUUUGAUGCUUAUUAUGCUUAAAUGUUGUUUAAAAUGCUUGUUGUACAUUUUAUAAGUCAUAUUCAUGCAUCAUGAUGAAAAUUGAGCAUGCUUGAGUAUAUGAGAGACAUGAUUCUUCAAAUGAGCAUUUCAACUUUCUAACACUUGUGAACAAUGAGCAAUAAAGGCCAAAAUUUGAGUUCACAUGUUUUCUUGAAGAAUCUUUGAUCAUAUAUGUCCCAAAUGAUGUUCUAAACAUGGUUGAAAUGAAAUUCUAAAUUGUUCUCAUACAAAUCCAUGUUUUGAGAUGAUUGUACCUUGGAACAUUACAUGUUUUUGCAUUUUUUCUGACUUUUUAAUGUGCAGGGAUUAAGCAUAGUUGACUCCUAAGCAUAGCUAGUCAUCUAUUGGAGAACAAAAUGAAAAUAAUGCUGCUAGAAUGAUAAAAAGUUGACCUCUAGGGAUAUGUAAUCAACUCUUGAGUGCUCUAAAACCAAAAUGGAUAAGUUUUGAGUUCCAAAAUGUCGUCUUACUUCACUCUUUCUGCAUUGCAAUAUUUUCCUCCAUGAAUUUCCUUUUUUAAAGAUGAUUCUUGGCUUUUAAAAACAUGCAUUGCGAAUAUUCUCAUGAUCAAUUAGGGCAAUUACAUGUUCUUGAAGUGGCAACAUUUAUUGAAAAAUGGGAAACUUUCUUGAUUGCUUAAAUUUAUCUAUUCCCAAGCAUCACACUUAUAUUGAUUCUAUAAAUUCUCAUGUAUUUACAAUGGUAAAAUAAAGAUAUGAGAAAUUGUUCAUCAAUGCUUGAAUUUGUUAAUCUUAUUGGAACUUCAUGUGCAUAUAUAAAUAAUAUCUUCUCAUGAAAAUUGGAAUGUUCAAAUGCUAAUCUUGGAACUAUUCUUGAAAUAUAUUUUAUGUUUGUAUUUAAAUGAUUGUUUCAAAAAUGAUUUCUUGAUUAUGCAUAUGAAUUUGAUUAGGAUGAACUCAUUGAACUUAAUGAAAAUAUUCUUGGUUCAUUUAUUAUAUUAGUCAAAUCACAUGCUUACAUGACAUUUAAUUUUACUUGACCUUAAUGAUUGAAAACUAUAACUUGACUUAAGUGAUAGAAUUUCUUAUAGUGCUUAAUUGCAUAACUCAAGUCAAGUUUGAUCAUGACAUAUAUUGUGAGUUGACAUAGUUGAAAUGUACUUUGAAUAUGUACUUAAAUGUUAACUAUGUCUUCAUUGAGCCUUAAUGUUUACAUGAUCUAAAGAUUUUGUGAGCAUCAAACUUUAGCUUAUAAGUUACCAUGAAUAACUUGACAUGUCAAAUGAAAUAUGGCCUAUAGCUUUAGUUAGCAAUGAAUGCCUAAUGUGCUUUAAUUAAAUAUCUCUUUCUUGAAUCUUGACAAUUGGUAUUCAUUAAUGAUUGAAUGUUCACUUUGAAUAUAUUCAUGAGUUGAGUGCUUUAAUUUUCAUUAUUCUAUAACAAUUACAAUCACUCAUGAAUAAUGAAUUAUUGAGAAAUAGCAUUAUAUUUGGACACUCAUAUUUGGUGUGUCCCCGAUUCCUUGCAAUCAUAGCAUAUUAAAUGAUCCUUACUAUGUUCUUCUUUUGGCAUGUUUCUCAUAAGGGGUUUCCUACCUUUAUAGUUUCUUCUCAUAGAUUUGCUAAACCUCUUGGCUAGCAUACUGCAUAUAUCUUGGUAUUUCGAUCAUAUCUCUCUCUACAGAGCUCCAAAUGACAUAAUUCUUAAACCAUUGACAAUAUAAGAGAAAAAGCUACAAAUUUUAUGUUUACCACUUUACCCAGUUCAGCUUGAAAGAUGGUCAAAAAUUAUGUUAAAGUUGAACCACUGUAGCAGUCCUAGAGCAAUUACGAUUUUUGCUAAUUAAUGGGUCGAGAUAGUGGCCCACAUAGUCUGAUGAAAAAAUCUUGAUUGGAAUUGACUUCUUUAUUCACCCAACUUGCCCUAACUUCAAAGUCCUAUAAAAUCAACCUUUCAAAGGACUUUUAGAGAAAAGGAGACACCAGAUUGAUAGCUGAGAUUCAAGCCACAAAAUCUUUGAAAAAAAAAGUCUCAUUGGAGUUGAAAUGGAAUUGAAGGAUUGAAGAAGAUUUAGAGAUUAAGAGUUUCACUCUUGGAGUUUCUUUAUUCUCUAUUUUCUUGGUUUAGUUUCAUUGUUUAAACUUUAUUGAAUGAUGAUUUGUGACUUGAUGAGAAACUAAAUUGUUUCUCUAAGAUUAUGAUUGAACUCAAUGCGUAGUCUGAUUUAUUUAUCUCUAUUUUACCUAUGUUUGAUGGAUUUAAAUUGUUUAUUUUAUUCUAUUCUUAACUCUUCUGAUUGACUAGCCACUAAAUAGAUUGAAUUGGAAACCUAGAUUAAACCUUUAUGAAGGAGAUUUAGGUAGACCUUGAAUAAAAUAACGUAUGAUCGAAUGCACUUAGUUGAUUAGGUGAUUUGAUUUGCAUAUAGGGUAGACAUAUACCUAUAAGCCAUACAUAGCCAAGAUUAAAGCAUGAACUUAAUGAAACUUUUUUCAAUUUAAUUUGCAUAGACAUAUAAUAAAUUAAUUGAAAAAGAUAUUUUUAUGAGAAACUUGAGAGAGACUUGUAAAUAAUUAAGGACUCUGCGUUAACAACUUAAUCUAUUAAAUUGAGUUAAGAGAGAGAAAGAGAGACAAUAAUCAGAUGAAGUAUUAAGGGACAUCAUAAUCUUAGGUCUGGUAGUCACUCGAAUUUAAUAAAGUAAAUUUGCUGAUAAAUUUUAGAUUAGUUUUAUUUUUAGUUUAUUAGUUUAUUAGUUUUAAUUAUAAUUUUAAUUGUUUGGAUAAGAUUAGGGUGUGACAAUUUUAGUACUUAACAGUAGAAAUUAAAACAAUUGUAUAUGGGAACGAUACUCUUCUAAUCAUUAUAUUAUUUUUUCGAUAUGCGUACUUGCAUGGGUAGAAAAUUGAACAACAUAAGAUUAAACGUUUUUACGGAUUAGUUUUCAAUUUAAUCAAUUAAUAACAUAGAACUUGAAUUUUUCCAGCUUUGGUAAAUCCCUCUUGAUUUUGCUAAAAAUUUAAAGUUUAGAUUUUUGCAAUCCAGCUUCCAAGGUAUAGGUUUAACUCAUUGUUAAGGGAUUUGAGCUUGAAUGUUGGAUUGUUAAGAACUUAGUUAUUUAUGAAAUACUAGGUAUUUUUGAAAGUAGAAAUUUAAUUAUAUUUUGACUUUUUGAUGUGUUAAGGGAAAUCAGAGUUGAUUAACUCCUGGGUUAGUUGAGGACAAUUGGAGGCUAGAAUUAGAGACUUGGUGGUGGAAUGUGCCUUCGACUGUCAUAGUGAGUGGGUUAAAUUAAAUGCAUGUGAUGCAUGGUGCAUCAUAGAUGCGCUCCACUGGUACUAGAUUUUGUAGGUAGACCUAGAUGAACAUGACUAAGCUAGAGAACAAAUUAUGUGUAUAAAUGUAUAUGUAUAUGUGAUUGUAUAUGCUAUGAUGUGUGUGCCUUUAAUAUAAGCCACUUGGUGGCCUAUGUUGAUUGUGCGUAAACUAGGAAGUCUUUUGGAUAAUUAUGGAUGUCUAUGAGUGGAUUACUCUUGAUAAGUAAUCCUUUGGAGGACAUUGAUGAAUUGAUUUCUUAGGGAUUUAAAGGCACCACGAUGAGAUUGAGAUAGAGAUGUCUAGAGCUUAUAAAAGAAAUCUUAAAUACGAAAUGUGGUAUUGAUGAUACCUAGGGCAUGAUGGCCUCAUUGUGGAUUUGUGUUUUCGUCUGAUGCUAACAACUCUGGACUGUUGGUCCCAUUAAUAUGUGCUAGAGGGGGGGUGAAUAGCACAAUUUGGCUCUUGACAAGGUGUGGAACUAUUUUUCAGAACUAAAGAAAAUAAAAACAGAGUAUAAGAUGCACAACAAUUAAGAGUGGUUCGGUCCAAGACCUACAUCCACUACCUUGAUUAUCCAACCAAGGAUUUUCCCAACAAUUCACUAAGAAUCUAGUGAAAUUCACAAGCUUUCACCAAGCUUUUACAAUGGCUUUUUGCAGGCUCAGCCAAAACCUUUACACUAGUUUUUCACAGGCUCAACUAAAAUCCAAAGUGGUUUUCCAAGGCUCAACCACAACCUAUAAUAUUCAAGCUUUCCCAAGCUUGAACAACCCCUUAGAGUGACUCCCUCACUUUAAGUAUACAAGAAGAUAGGUUAAAGAAAGUACCUAUGAUCACAAGUUGAUCUGAAUGGUACAAGAUUGAGUGCUAAAUACAAUGGCAAAGAGUAGGCAUUUAAGUGCAGUGAAGCUUUUCUGGUUUUUCAACUUUCUACAGCUCAAAUCUCAUUCAAGGCUUCUAAAAACUUGUUUCUCAUUGUUGGAAGACCCUUUUAUACUUGGAGAUACAACUUUGAUGGCAGUUUGACAGUUUAUGGCCGUUGGAAACAGUUGAGGAUGAGUUUUAGCCGUUAAUCUAUCUUGUAGUGCUCUUGUUCAAAUUGUAGACAGAGAGCUCUUAGUCGAAUAACUUGGUUGACUAAGUUGAUUCUGUUUUUGGUUUGCAGAUUCUGGCAGAGGGCACUUAGUCGACUAACUUGGUUGACUAAGUUGGUUCUGUUUCUCAAACUCUUCAGCCCAACAUUUCUCCAAUUUGAAAUUUAGUCAACCAAUGUUCUUCUUUGUUUCACCAACAAGCUUCCUCCUUGUUAUUUAGUUACAUCUUGUUGAUUUUAUCCUCUUUUUCUUUCAAAAAUUCUCUUUGAAGAGUUAAAAAAUUAAUUUCAUAUAUUAAUUUCCUGCACACUCAAAUAAAUGUAUUAGACACAAAUAAAUGGAAAUAUUUUAUUAUCAUAAAAAACUAAUGGAGCCAACAAUCUCUCCCUUUUUGAUGAUGACAAAACAUUCCUUGAUUAAUAGCAUGGUGUCUUUUUACUCUUUUUAGUUUCCUGCAGAAAAUGGAGAUUACUCCCCCAAGUAUAAGCUCCCCCUUAGUUUGUGCAAACUUUGCUUACGUUUACUCCAGUCAAUUUCAUUUUUGUCAUAAGAGAGAAUGACAUUAAACAUUUUGAGUAUGCAUUUGUGCAAAAAUCUAGAAUGAUUUACAACAUUGAAAGUUAACAGAUUUUCAUAAAGAAUUCAGCAGAGUUCUGUCAACAGUCAUAUAAUUAUCAGAUUUUAUCUAUUCCAUGAUUCAAUUGACAUCCUAUGCACAACAUCUAUAUUUAUUUUCAACUAGAAAUUAUUCACAGUGCCACAAAAAAAUCAAUUAUCAGCAUAUAAUUCAAUAUCAAUGCAGUAGCAGAUUUUGUCAACAACAGUAAAAAUACCAAGGAUAGCAGAUUUCAAUUUCCAGCAGUCAAGCAUCAUAAUCAUAUCAGCAUCCAUUUUUUAAACAACCAUAUAGAUAACAAGAUUAAAACCAAGUGCUCAAGUGCCACCAUGGCAUAAAUAACAAUUAACCAAUAAGUAUUUCGAAACUGCCCCUGGACUAUUUUUGCUUCCUAUCUCCUAUUUUUCUAAGUUCAUUCAUCUUUGAUUCUGUCUUCUUUCCUUUCCUAAGUUCCUUCCUUGGUUUCUCUACCUUAACAUUUUUUUUAAAUUUUAUUCUUCUAGUUUCUGGUUCCUGCACCCAUUCUAUUCUACUCCCUAUUUUUGUCAGCAUCAAAGGGAAGGGCUUUUGUUCAUCUGAUGUGUCGGAAAGUGAGGAUUCAGUGCUGUAGAAAGGGUUGAGAGGAAACAAAAAGGGUUCUCAAAGAAGAGAUGACUUUCUAAGAGAGGAUUCUAGAGAAGAUUUGUCUGAAACAUGAACUAGACUGUGAAGAGAAGUGGCUAAAACUGGUUUGGACUUCUCUGCCAAUCUAGAAGACUUUCUUUUUUUAAGAAAAGCUGUCUUGGUUGCCAUAAUCUUCCUUCCUUUGGUUGGUUGUUUUGCCUCAGCUGGUGGUGCUGUGGUGGUUUCUAAUUUCCCUAUUUUGCCUUUAGUUUGGGAGUUGAAGCAGGUUUCUUUCCUUUUCUUACAUUUGCACCAUCCUUCUGAGUUGCUAUCUUGACAGUGUCUUUUUCAGCUUGUUCAUCUUUGACCAUUUGGUGAAAAAUGUCCAUAAUGGAAACUUCCUCUGAAUUUGGAGAAGAGACCUGAUGUUUCUCAAUUUCUGCACCAACUACUUCAGUCCCUUGUUCUAAGUCAUUUUUGCUUUGAGGUUCAGAGGAUGGUGUUUUAGCUAGUUGAUCAACUCCUUGUGGGGAGUCCUCAGUUUACAGAAUAGGACUGGUACACUUAUAAGUAGAGCUUUCAGCUUGAGUGCCAGAACUUCCAAUAUGAGGAGCAAACUUCCCUGCUGGCUCUAUUGAACCUUCAACACCUUGCUGUGCAGGUGCAGUGCUGGAUGUGGCAGAAUUGUCUGCAGCCACAAGUUGAGAUGCCAUGUUUUCCUUCUCCUUCAGCUUGUUUUCCAACUUAGUGAUUUUAUCUUCCAUUUUUCGUAGCUUCACUCCUUGGUCAAUUAACUUACCAUCAAUCCUCAUAAGCAAAUUAAAAAUCAUCUCAUUCGAAAAUCUGGAAAGAGCUUCUUCAAGUUGAGCAGGCAGACUGUGAUCUUUUCUUAGGCCAGUUUUGGAGGUUUUAAUAAACUUAUCUCCAUCGAGCACAUACCCCAUCUUAACUAAGCUGCCAUAAUAAACGGCUUGGUCUCUGAUUUUUACUAGGUCCAUAUCAUACCUUUUAGCCCAUAUUCCUUUUUUCUGCACAAGGGAUGUAAUCACAUUCCCAUAUGGCAGAUUGACCUUAUCAAGUUUGCAGGCACUUCUCAUUUUCUCAAUCAUAAAUCUCCCCAGAUUUAGAGACACUCCAUUAAAAGCAUGCUCUAUCAGCCAAAGAUCCUGGAGGCUGAUGUAGCUAUGACUUCCACUCCUCCUUUGAAUAUUUACUGCAAUAAAGUAAUGCAGUAUCCUAAUCUGUGGAUUGAUUAUCAGACCUAAAUUACUUUUAGAGGAGUAUUUUUCAUUCCUUCCAGUGAUGAUCUCCCACAGUGAGGACGGAUCAUAUUUUUUUGGAAGUUCAAAUUCACCUAUUUCACCCUUUAUUUUCAGCAGGGUCCUUAAAUCUCCAGCAAUCACAAUAAACUCUUUUCCAUUCAAAUAGACAUUCAAGCCAUCUUCUACAUAGUCAUCAGAAUCUAUUAAUUCUCUUUCUUUUAGAGCAAUGCCAGAGUAAAAUUCUUUAACUAGACUUGGACUAUAUGACCUAUUCUUAAAGGUGUUGUAACCUUUAAUUUUCAGCUCAUCAAAGUACUCAAAUAGACUGGUCUGGAUUUCUACAUUUUCCUCAAAACUCUUCCAAUCAAUAAACUUUUCAUAGGAGAUUGGUGCAUUUUCUAUAUUCUUGAAUCUAUACUUAUGUAGCUUAUUUUUAAAUUUUGAAGAAUAAGAGAAACUGAUACCUUUUUGGAGUGAGGGUUCUGUAUCUUUCUUCUUGUCUGUUUUUUGCUUCUUUUCUCUUAGUGUCUCGACUAUUUCCGUCAUUGAAGUGGGCACGAUUUUCUGUUUCUUCUUUUGACUUUUUAUUCCAGUUUCUUCCUCCAUUGGCCUUUUUUCUUUCUUCUUCUCUGAUACGUUUUUACUCUGAGAUGUUCUAGCCAUUUUGAUUCUAGAAAUUUCUGAAGGUCUGAGUCGGUUUGAGAGGCAACUAGGAAGAUUUAGGUUUUUAUUUCUAGAGCAACGGGUUACAAAGAAGAGGGAAGAAGAGGGAAGAAGAGGUUAGCAGUAGUUAUUUCUCAAAAAACUUCUCAUCUUCCUUUAAGAACUGCCCUACUUUUAUUUCCUCAUAUUUUUAAAUCUCCCUCUAAAAUUUUGAUUAUUUACCUUUGGCAGCUCUGCUCUAUUCCUCUUUACACUUGGUAAAUCAAAUUUUUACCACAAUUUACUCUUAUUUCUUUAAACUCAUUGUGUCUUAUUAUUUAAGGAUGUUAGGCCACUCUUAGUUGACUAAGAAUUCCUUAGUUGACUAAAUGCAUUCUGUUUUCAAUGUGAGAGCCAAGAUUUUCUUAUAAUUCUUUUACAUUAACCAUCCCCAAAUUUCUUCUAAUCUCACAAAAUCUAUCUUCACUUAGUGGUUUGGUAAAAAUGUCUGCUAAUUGAUGUAAGGUAUUCACAAAUUAUAUCUUAAUAUCAUUUUUCAUCACAUGAUCUCUAAUAAAAUGAUGUCUAAUUUCAAUGUGCUUUGUCCUAGAGUGCUGCACAGGAUUUUUGAUAUAUUGAUAGCACUUGUAUUAUCAUAGUAUAUCGGUACAUUAUGCAUAGUUAUUCUAUAGUCUUUUAAUUGUUGCUUGAUCCAAAGGAUUUGUGCAUAGUAGCUACCUAAUGAUACAUAUUCAGCCUCUACUAUAGACAGUGCCACUAAGUUCUGCUUUUUGCUGGACCAAGACAUAAGCAUCCUUUCUAAAAAUUGGCAUGUUCCACUAGUGCUUUUCCUAUCAGUUCUGCUGCUAGCAAAGUCAGCAUCUGAAUAUCCAACUAAGUUAAGAGUUGAGUUUCUAGAGUACCAUAUUCUUAGUUCUUGAGUGUCUAUGAGGUAUCUAAAAAUUCUCUUAACAGCUGUUAGGUUUGAUUCUUUAGGUUGUGACUGAAAUCUAGCACACAAGCACACACAAAACUGAAUAUCUGGUCUACUUGCUAUUAAGUAGAGAAGAGAGCCGAUCAUACCUCUGUAGAGCUUUUGAUCUACAUCUUUACCUUUUUCAUCUAAGUCGAGUUUGGUGGAUGGACUCAUUGGUGUGGAAAUUGAUUUCAGCUUUAGCAUAUCGAAUUUCUUGAGCAUAUCAUAAGUAUAUCUUUCUUGGUUGAUGAAGAUUCCUUCUUCACUUUGUUUGAUUUGAAGACCAAAGAAGUACUUUAACUCUCCCAUCAUGCUCAUCUUAAAUUCACCCUGCAUUUCCUUUGCAAAGUUCUUGCAUAAAGCUUCAUUAGUUGCACCAAAUAUAAUAUCAUCCACAAAUAUUUGCAGAACAAUUAAAUCAUUUAGAUAUCUCUUAAUGAACAAUGUAGUAUCGAUGCUGCCUCUAUCAUACCCUUUUUCAACUAGAAAUUUUGAGAGCCUUUCAUACCAAGCUCUAGGAGCUUGUUUGAAUCCAUACAAGGCUUUAUGAAAUUUGAAAACAUGAUCAGAUUUUUCAAAGUCUUCAAAACCUGGUGGUUGUUCUACAUAUACUUCCUCUUGAAUUAAUCCAUUUAAGAAUGCACUUUUGACAUCCAUUUGGAACAAUUUAAAAUUCAUGAAACAUGCAAAAGCUAGCAACAACCUUAUAGCUUCAAUCCUAGCAACCGGAGCAAAAGUUUCAUCAUAAUUUAUUCCUUCUUCUUGGUUGUAUCCUUUUGCUACCAACCUAGCUUUAUUUCUAACUACAUUUCCUUGCUCAUCUCCCUUAUUUCUAAACACCCAUUUUGUACCAACAAUAGGGUGAUUUGAAGGCAUAGGUACUAAUGACCAUACAUGACUCCAUGUGAAUUGAUCAAGUUCUUUUUGCAUGGCCAUUAUCCAACUUUCUUCUUUUUCAACUUCUUCAAAGUUUUUAAGUUCAAUUUGAGAUAUAAAAGCUGAAAACUCACAAGUUUCUCUAGUUGCUUUCCUAGUUUUAACUCCUUGAGAAAUCUCACCAAUUAUUUGGUCUGGUGGGUGAUCUCUCACAAAUCUCCAACUCCUUGGUAGAUCAUCAUGCUGAUUUUUUGCUCUUUGCAGAUCUUCUAGAGGUGGAGUUUCAUCUUCUCUUCUAGGUGAGCUUUCUUCAUUAUUUUUGUUGUUUCCUAAGCUCAUUUCCUCCAUUUGUUUUUCUAGGACUUCUACAUCAUCAUCAUCAUCAUGAACUUCUUUUUGUAAAGCAUUUGACUCAUCAAAACUUACAUGGACUGAUUCUUCAACAAUUAGGGUCUUUUCUUUGAGUUUAAUGCAUAUCCUAAAAAUAUUGCUUCAUCAGUCUUUGCAUCAAACUUCCCUAGGGGCUAUUUUCCAUUGUUCACUACAAAGCAUUUACAACCAAAACUCCUAAGGUGAGAAAUAUUUGGUUUCCUACCUUUGUAAAGUUCAUAUGGAGUCUUUGAAAUCAAGGGUCUUAUUGAGACUCUAUUUAGAAUAUAAGCUGCUGUAUUUACUGCCUUAGCCCAAAGAUAUUUAGGUAGGUUGUUCUCACAUAACAUGGUCUUAGCCAUUUCUUUUAAUGUUCUGUUUUUCCUCUUUACAACUCCAUUUUGUUGGGGUGUUCUAGGUGCAGAAAAAUUAUGAUCUAACCCUUUUUCAUUGAAAAAUUUUUCAAACUCAUCAUUCUCAAAUUCUUCUCCAUGAUCACUCCUUAUGCUAACUAUGGCUAGUCCUUUUUCAUUUUCUACUUUCUUACAAUAACUUAAGAAUGCUUGUAGAGCAUCAUUCUUAUGAGCAAGGAAGUACACCCAAGUAUAUCUAGAAUAGUCAUCAACUAUUACAAAGCCAUAAGAUUUACCUCCUAAGCUAGUUGUGCUUAUUAGACCAAAUAGAUCAAUGUGCAACAAUUCAAGAGGUUUAGAUGUUGACACUAUUUUCUUAGUCUUAAAGAAUGUUCUAACUUGUUUUCCUAGUUGGCAAGCAUCACAUAUCCUAUGAUUUUCAAAUUUCAAUUCCGGCAGUCCAGCAACAAGAUUUUUCUUUAUUAAUUUAUACAUAGUAUGCAUGCUCACAAGUCCUAAUCUCCUAUGCCAUAACCAACUAUCAUUUUCAGCAUUUGCAACAAGACAUACUUCACUAUUCACAUCAAGGUCUUCAAGAAAAAUUACAUACAUGUUCUUCAACAUUUUUCUUAUAAAUGAGAUUUUAUUUGUACUCAUAUCAAUCAUUUCACAUUUAGUUGAAUCAAAACAUACUUUAAAUCCUUUAUCACAUAAUUGACUAAUACUUAGUAGAUUAUGCUUUAAGCCUUUAACUAGCAACACAUGACUAAUUUGAGUUUGGAAACUCUUACCAACCGUACCUAUACCAUGGAUUCUGCCUUUUGAAUCUUCUCCAAAGGAUACGAUUCAUCCUUUUCUCUUAUCCAACUGAGCAAACAGCAUUUCGUGUCCUAUCAUGUGCCGUGAACAGCCACUAUCCAAGUACCAAGGCUGUUUCUUCUUGAGUUGAGCUCUUGAACAUGUCUCUUUUAAGUCCAACUCAACCUACAAAAUAGAAUUUCACUUUUUCUUUAUAGGUACCCAUUCUUUGAUGGGUCCUUGAGUGUUAGUUGCAGUAAAGGAUCCCUUAAGAACCAAAAUUUUCUUAACUUUCUGCACUUUUCUUUUCUUAAAACAGUCAUAUGACAAAUGACCAUGUUUACCAUAAUUAUAACAUCUAGGUAAUGCUUUAGCUGAAUAUUUAUUGUGGUAUGCAUCUCUUUUUGAAGAUUCAUUUUUCAAACAUUUAAGAGUUGCGUUUUCAUCAAGAGUUAUUUGCAAGGCUUUAGACUUGUUUUCCAGCUCUUGUUGUUAAAAACUCAAAGUCUGUUUUUGAGUGUUCUAACUCAACUUGCAAAAUAUUUCUUUUCUCAAAAACAGAGGUGAACUCUUGUUUGAUUUGUUCCAAAUCAUUUUCAAGUAAUGCAGCAUUUUUCUUCAAUGAUUUGUAUUUUGAAAAAAGUUUUUCAAAUUCAUCAUAAAGGCACUCAUACUUAUCCUAUAAAUCAUCAUAAGAAUUAAUGCGGGGGGAUUAGGGUACCUCUAUUUCAUCCUCUUGUGCCAUUAAACAGAUGUUUUCUUUUUCCUCAAAUUUUUCAUCAUCAGUUUUAGAGCUUGAUGUGUCACUACCCGACCAUGCAGCAGCCACCAUUGCUUUCUUGGAUUUCUUAUUUUUCUUGGGGGUUUCAUCUUUCAGCAAUGGACAUUCGGACUUAAAGUGACCAGGUUUCUUGCAUUCGUAGCAGAUCAUCUCCUCUUUUUUGUUGGAGUCAUUUUUGUUCUUCAUUUUCCAUGAAGCACCUUGGUCUUUCCUGGAACCUCUUCUAGUUAGCCUUCGAUUUCUUCUGCUCAUAAGUUUUCUGAAUUUUCUUACAACUAGAGCUAAUUCUUCAUCAUCAUCAUAGGAAAGCUCUUCCAACUCUUCUUUAAGGAUGCUGGCUUUAAGUGCAAUGCUCUUUUUCUUUUCCUUUGCUUCCCUUCGAUCUUCUUAUUCUUUUUCUUUAAGCUCCAGCUCAUGAGUGAGAAGAGAACCACAAAUCUCAUCGAGAGUGAUGAUGUUCAGAUCUUUAGCCUCUCUAGUGACAGUCACUUUUGGUUUUCAGGAUUUUGGUAGGCAUCUAAGCAGUCUCUUAACUAAUUCAUGCUCAAGGAUAGGCUUGCCUAGCUGACUUAAUUUAUUUGUAAUGUUUGUAAACCUAUCAAACAUGCUAGUGAUGUCUUCACUAGGCUCCAUUUUGAACAUUUCUAACUAUGUGUUAAGAGAGCAAUUUUGGACUCCUUUACUUGAGAAGUCCCUUCAUGGAUUAUUCUAAGUUUUUUCCACACUUGUUUAGCUGUUGUACAGCUUGAAACUUUGUUAAAUUCAGUGGGGGUCAAGGCAUAAUGUAAUGUGUUGAUGGCCUUAAAGUUUAUUUGAACUUUCUUAGUUUCAGCCUUAGUCUAUUCAGACCUUGGCUUGGGCAUCAACUCAUUUGUCACUACAUUCACGGUUGAGGGCAUAAAGGGUCCAUCAGUUAUGACGUCCCACAUUUCAUAGUCUAUAGCCCUAAUAUAGAUUGACAUUCUUGUGCUCCAAUAAGGAUAAUUAGAGCCAUCAAACAGAGGUGGUCUGUUUGUUGAUUGUCCUUUAGCAACUAUGGUUUUUUAUUGAGCCAUUUGGAUCUUCACAAAGGAUGUUAAACCUUAAAAAUAGGGAACUAGCUAUGAUACCAAUUGUUGAUCCCGUUAAUAUAUCCUAGAGGGGGGGGGGGUGAAUAACACAAUUUGGCUCUUGACAAGGUGUGGAACUAUUUUUCAAAAACUCAAGAAAAUAAAAACGGAGUAUAAGAUGCACAACAAUUUAGAGUGGUUCGGUCUAAGACCUACAUCUACUACCUUGAUUAUCUAACCAAGGAUUUUCCCAACAAUUCACUAAGAAUCCGGUGAAAUUUACAAGCUUUCACCAAGCUUUUACAAUGGCUUUUCGCAGGCUCAGCCAAAACCUUUACACUAGUUUUUCACGGGCUCAAUUAAAGCCCAAAGUGGUUUUCCAAGGCUCAACCACAACUUAUAACAUUCAAGCUUUCCCAAGCUGGAACAACCCCUUAGAGUGACUCCCUCACUUUAAGUAUACAAGAAGAAAGGUUAAAGAAAGUACCUAUGAUCACAAGUUGAUGGUACAAGAUUGAGUGCUAAAUACAAUGGCAAAGAGUAGGCGUUUAAGUGUAGACAAGUGCAGUGAAGCUUUGCUAGUUUUUCAACUUUCUAUAGCUCAAAUCUCAUUCAAGGCUUCUAAAAACUUAUUUCUCAUUGUUGGAAGACCCUUUUAUACUUGGAGAUGCAACUCUGAUGGCAGUUGGAAACAGUUGAGGAUGAGUUCUAGCCGUUAAUCUAUCUUGUAGUGCUCUGGUUCAAAUUACAGACAGAGAGCUCUUAAUUGACUAACUUGGUUGACUAAGUUGAUUCUGUUUCUGGUUUGCAGAUUCUGGCAAAGGGCACUUAGUCGACUGAUUUUCUAAUAUUCCUUAUACCCAUUCUUUUCAAGCCUAAACACUUAGCUCAUUAGACUUUAAGAGGCAUUUAUUGUUUUUCAUCUAUUGUAAAACUCUAAAUGGUUAUGCCUUAGCCAUUAAAAGGUAGAUUGUAGAGGUUAUACCUUUGCCUAAGUAAAAGGUAGUGAGGUUGUGCUUGAUCCUUGGAAAAGGCAUUGUGAAGGUUAUGCUUGAUCUUGUAAAAAGACAUUGUAAAGGUUAUGCUUGAGCCUUGACAAUGUAUUUUCAUAAUGGAUUUGAAAUUUUAUAGUUAGCUAAGGGAGAUGAUGUAGGCAAGGAGGCUGAACCUUUAUAAAAGUAUUGUGUCUUUGAUUUUCUUUUUCUCUGCACUUAGCUUAUUAGUCUUAUUUCAAAAGAAGACCAAUUUUUCACCAAGGUUGCAAGAAUUUUUCAAAAAGCCCAAUUCACACUCCCUUGGUUUUAUUCAUUUGAGCUUAUUGCAUUAAUAACUUUGCAGUUUUUGUCGAAAAAGAUCCUAAUGGGAAGAAUUUGUCAUCAAAGGUCCACAUGCUAAUUCAGAUGUUGGUGUAGUAAAGUUAUAGUAGGCACCCUAAUCCUAAGUGUACAAGUGAGUAUAAGUGGUCUCUUGUCCUUUAAUUGCUAAGACUAAGCAUGCGAGUAAAACUUCAACUAAAAGGUUAUGUCGUCACCACAUUUCUUUAGCUUUAAAGUUGUAAUAAUAAUAAUUAUUAUCAUUAACUAAUAAAAUAAAGUCCAUGGAUUAAAAUAUACUUUGCAAAGAGAAUUAUAAAGUUCUAUAAUUGUGAGAUCCUUACUACAUCCAAACAUGCUGGUAAUAAUUAUGAACUAUAAUCUCAAGUAAAUUCAGAUUAAAUAAUCAAACUUUUUUGCAUUCAUCAUCAAUUUCCAAAUUGAUUAGUUCAUAGUUGUCAGUCAAGAUUGACAUUUAGCAUUGUGUCAUGACUACCUAAAUAUUAGAAAAAGUCAAAGAGGUUUGACUCAACUUUUCAAUGUUUAGUCUUUCAGUAUAACUCAAUCUUUUAUCAUCCAACAUCUUAAUAAGAAAAAGCAUGGCUUAUUGUCUACUCUAUAAUUGUCUUUAUGCUUUUAGUUCUCAAAGCUUGUCCUUAACUCCCUCAUGAAAUUCAAAAAACUCAUUUCUUUAUAAUUUGUCUUAACUCAUGGUUUACUAAAUGCUGAGCUCGGUUUCACUUGAAGUUUGUUCCCCACUGUCAUCCACGUGGACUAGUAAGGCAGCUUGAUCCUCACCCACUACAAGCUUAAAAUGGAUUAAGUUCAAUUUAAGUGGGAGUGUUUCACUAGCCCAUGCGAAGGUUAUUACCUCCCAAAAGCGUAACUACUUAAUUCCCUCCUAAUAAAAGAUGUAGCUUGAGUAAAAGGCUCAUGCAUGAAUGCCAAUUUGUUGUGUUUGUGUGAAGGAAUGGACUAGCCUUUGACCACUCAUCUCAUACCUCUCUAUCCUAAAUAUUUGCAUUUAUUAAAACAAAUUGAUCAAUAAAUGACAAUAAAUAAACAUGUAACCAUCAAAAAGUGAAUAAAGUAAUGCUAUCUAAGAUUAAAUAAAUUAUCAUCGAUUAAUUAAUGUUUAGGAUAACUUGUAAUUAUUUACUAGUUUGGCUCUCAAAGUCCCUAGUUGAGUUGCCAAAUUGUCGCUAUGUGCGAGUUUGAGAACUCGUUUGCCUUGAUGUGGAAAUUUGGAGUUGCCACUAAUCAUUUUUUGUAAAGUGCGAAUAACCACCUGUUAAACUUUUUCUCUUUGAUGAGGUGGUAAAUUAAUUUUAAGUCUAUCUAAGGAACAAAACCUGGUUUGUGUGUUUUUUUGAGUUGGUUGGGAGUACGGUUACGCACGGAGAAAGAUUAGCACCCUCAUGACGCCUGUUCAAUGAACGUUACCAAAUAAUCACUUAUUAUCCUAAUUUAACUUUAAUAUUUAAUUUUAUUCUUAUAUAUCUCUUUAUACAUUAUUCUUUGAUUGUACUUUUAAUUUUUACUCAUUGUUAAAUAUUGGAGACUUUCUUAACACCCCUCCAACACUCUAGUAGGGAUUUUUUGAAAAUCCUCCUCUCCUCGAUAGUAUGCGAAAAGGCAUACUUAUCCCUUUCGAGGAGGCUUUGUCAUUAGGUUUUACUUAACCAUUAUGAUUUUUGGAUUUGGAUUUUACAUGUUUUAUUCUUUCUUGUCCUUUUGGUUUCUCUUUUUUAAAAAAAUUAUUUUCAUUAUUUUUUUACCUUUAUAUAUUCUUUUUAUCGAUACAUGAAUGAAAUCUUCAUCUUAGAGAAAUAUUCCAAGACGAUCCCAACUCUUUGGUGAAGUCUAAGGAUUUCUUCUUACUUAGGGAAUUUUUUGAGAAAGUUCGUCUCCACAAGCCCUUAAGAAGAUCCCAUUAUUAGAGGUUGUCACUUACAAAUUAGAUACACAUCAUUAACGUACAUGAUGCAACUAUGAAAAGAUAAUUUGUUUUUUCAAUUUUUAAUAAUGGGGAAAAAAUCUUGUAUUGAAAAAAUCAUUCAUAGGUCAUCCCAACUCUUUGGUGAAGUCUUGAACUUUUUUCUCACUUAGGGAAAUUCCUAAGAAAACUCGUCUCUAUAAGCUUCUCAGCAAAAUCCAUCAUUGGGUUUUUAUGCUAAUUAACAAGAUAAUUGACUCGUAUGAGAUGCAAAAUCAUGGAUGAUGCAAAAUGAAUGCAUUAAUAAAAGUGAUAUUUGAUUUAUAACCUUGUGAUUAUAUAAUUGAUGUUUUACUUUAAUUGAAUACUUUUUAUUCUUAUUAGAUUUUAAAAUCAUUAUUUGAAUUAAUGGAGUUCUGGAAUAUAAAAUUAAAAUUUUCCCAAUGCUUUGGUAAAAACCAUAAUUAAAUUCCUCAUUUAGGAAAUUCAACUAAAAAAUGUGACUCUUCAUAUUCUAGAAGAGAUUCCUUCCUCUGAGUAAUUCAAAUAACAUUUUAUUUUAAUAAUAAAUUAACAAUAACAACAAUAGUAACGUUUAAAAAAAAAGAAAUAAUAAAUUAUCAAUAACAACAAGGCAGAUGAAAUCUUGACAAAAAUUUCAUGUCCCAAUUGUCUUUAAUCAAAAAAUUCAGUACUAUAAAUUUCGUUUUCUUUCUAUUCAUUUUUAUAUCACAAAAUCUAAACAUGUAUACAAUUCCAUUCUUUCUUUCAUCUAUAUCAUAUUCAUAUGAUUCAGAAUUCAUAUAAAAAAGUCAUAUUUUUACUCCUAUUUCAUGGGCUUGGUUUUAUUUAACUCAUGUAAAAAAAAAUUCAAGAAAACACAAACAAAUUACUUGGUGUAGGGAAUUAGGGUACCUGGCUUGUAUAUUUGUCUUAACUAGAUGAUUUCACAACUUGUUGAUGCCAUUGAUCUAUACUCAGCUUUUAUAAGUUUCGAGCCACAAUCGAUUGUUUCUUUGAUUUCCAUGUUACCAAAGAACUUCCAAUGAACACAUUAAAACUUGUGAUUGACCUUUUAGAAUCAGUGCAACCUACCUAAUCAUUGUCUCAGUAAGCUACCAUUUUUAAAUCUAAUUUUGAUCUCAUCAGAAUGCCCUGACCAAGUGAUCCUUUUAAAUACUUUAAUACUUUGUGAGCUAUUGCUAAGUGUUUAGGUUCGGGCUUGUCCAUAAACUAUGACAAUACCUAGAUUGCAUAGGAUAUAUCUUGCCUGUUAAAUGUACGGUAGAGUAAUUUUCUAACCAACUGUUUGUAACUUGUUGGAUUAGCUAACUUUUCUUCAUCUUCAAUCCUCACCAACUUGUGAUUAUAGUCAAUAGGUGUAGAAACUGUUUUGACACCAACUAGAUCAAGCUCUUCUAAAAGAUCUAGAGUGUAUUUCUUUUGGCAUAUGGAAAUAACUUCAAAUGAUCUUGCUAUUUCCAGUCCCAAAAAAUAUUUGACUGUCUCAAGAUCCUUGAGUUUGAAAAUCAUAUACACAUAUACAUAUUUAUACAUAUCAAUUCUCUAGCCUAGGCAUUUUCGUCUAGGCAUACCUUAUACACACACACAUAUAUAUAUAUAUAGUUUUCUAGCCAAGGUUCAUUCGUCUAGGCAUUCAUCAUUUAUCCUAGUUGUGAGACCUCGACCUCCAUAGACACGUAAUUAGAAGUAGAUGCGAUAAAACGAACUAGGGGUAAUUUUAUCAUUUUUCUUAGUGAGCCCCUAAAAAUAUGCUUUUAAACAUUAUUAAGGCCUAAGUAGGCCUAAGGCAUAAAUGAAUGAUGAAAAUAAGGAUAAAAUGACGAAAAAAAUAGAAAUAAUGAUGAUUUCCAAGGUAGAGGCAAAAUGGUCAUUUUUCAUCUCAAGUUGAAAUUUCUAAGUUUCAUGAACCCGAGCAUUUUUAGACUAUUAUGGACUUUGUCUUAGUGUCAAAGGAGUAAAAAGAUUACAUAAAGGAUUGGAGGAAGACAAAGCCAACUUGUUAGGGGCAUUUUCAUAAUUUAAGUGGAGUUUGGAUAAGCUUUAGCUAUAAAUAUCAUUUUCCAGAAGCUUCUUCUCAUUUUUCCAGUAGCUUCUUGUUCUUCUUCUUCCUCCCAUCUCACGUUUCUUUCAUCUUCCAUGGAAGCUUGAUUUGAAACCUCCAUAACUUCUCUCAAGUUAGCUCUAAUUUUCAUGCUUUUGUGCACUUUUUCAUAGAACCUUUUGUGCUAUUUCACUCUCUCACUUUAAAACCCUUGAAAAGUCUUACUUCCAUACUUCCUCUAACUAGCUAGGUGUUUUAAAGAGAGAAAGAAAGAGCUUCUAUAAUAGCUUGAAAAUUUUUGGAAAGAAAUUCAAUUACAAAGCUACCAAGGUGAGUAGUGAAUUAGAGUUGAUUUUUAAGUUGUUGAAAAUGGCUAAUGGAUAGAUUUGUGAAUGUUUUGUAGUUAAGGAUAUUUAUUCAUCUUUAAUGUGAUUAGAAUAGUGAAAGUAAAUAGCCGCUUAAUGGCAAUCGGAAGCUAGUUAGGGAUAAAUAGUAGAACAUGAUUUAGGAGAUAGCUUUUAGAAUUAUGGUUAUGUGAAUUGAGUUGAUUUGUGAUGCUAUUGUGUGUGAUAGGUUUCAACGAGACCCAUUGGGUCCAUGCACUGGUCAUGGCCCAAAAUUUGGGUCGUGACAUUAGUACCAUGGUAGCGCAUAUAUUAUGCAAAAUGCAUCACAUGCAUUUAAUUAAAUUCCACUCACCUUGACAAUCGAAGGCUCAUCCUUAGCCUCCAACCGUCCUCCAACUCACUAGUGCAUCAAUAGCCUCUAUUCUCCCUUUAGAUAAAUGAAACCAAUAUGAAAAUAUUUAUUUCUUAGCUUUCGAAAAUAUCCUAGCUUUUCAAAAAUACUAAAAUCCAAUAUGUAAGCUCAAUCUUUCAACAAAUGAGCUAAACCAUUACCUUAAAAGCUAGGUUGCCCAAAUCUAGAAUCGAAAUCUCCAAUGAACUCAAUGGGAGAGAGUUUGACCAAAUUUGAAAAUAUUUGAAUUCGAAGUUAUUAAUCGAUUAAAUUGAAAAUCAAUCGAUAAAAAUGCUUAAUCUUACCUCUGGAUUAUUUCCCAAGCUUGGAUCUAGCUCAAAUGGGCUCCAAAUGGCAUUUGGGAGCUUAGGGUUUUCUAUGGGGUAGAGAAAGAAUGAGAGAAAGUGCUGAGAGAAUGAAAAAAGAUAAAAUGGCCCGAAACCCCUUUUUAUUUUUGCCUUUUCUCUUAGAUGUAUCGAUACAUUUGGCAAUGUAUCAAUAGAUCUGCCCUAAUUUCGAAUGAAUGUAUCAAUACAUUAAGGCAAUGUAUUUAUACAUUUUGGGCAAAAUAGUCCCAGGUGCUUGUGCUUCAAAUGUAUUGAUACAUUGGGGCAAUGUAUCAAUACAUGUUCAUCUUUCCAAGAAUGUAUCGAUACAUUUGCUAAUGUGUCGAUAAAUCUCGCCCAGAUUGCACCUUUCCUACACCCAAACUUCCAAAAAAAAUCAGGACUUAACACCCUAAAAUCAUUUCCUGUUGAUCUCAUAUCUCUAAUAACUCAUUUAAUUCAAUUCCUUAUAAAUAUAUACUCCAAUAUGCAUCAAAUUAAAUCAAAUCCUCAAUCUAUAGGAUUAAUUCAUCAUUUUCAUCAAUAUUUACCUUAAUGUUAUACUUAGAUGUCAAAGUGCCAAACAUUUGCACAACUACAUUAAGGAUCUUAAUUUGCACCCACAUUCAUAGUCAUUUACCUCUAGACAUAAUUGUAAUAAUCAAAGCUUAAAUAACUCCUUAAAUCACUUGGCCAUUAUCACAUAUAGGCCAUACAAAAAAUUAGGGGUGUUACAAGCUUGGUGUUGAAGAUGUCAAUCCUAAUUUGAAUUUUUUACUUGUAGGAUCGAGCUUUCAAACGUUGAUGUCGAUCUUAUACCCCAGAGUUUGAAUUAUUUCCCUAUUUCUUUUUCAAGGAUCGAGCCAUUGAGUGUGAAGGUUGAUUUUCCAAGCCUCUAGUGGUUCUUUUUCAAUUUUGCUUCCUUCUAGGAUUGGGCUUGGCUUGUCUUUUGUUGACUCUACAAGCUUCCUUUGCAUUUCCUUCAUUUUGUAUUAGGAUUGAGCUUUGUAGCAUGGAUGUUGCUCUUGAACCAAUAGCUUUUUUUCGUCCUUUCGUUUUUUGUGUGCUUAGGAUUGAGCUUUAAACUAAGGAUGUCAAUCUUAAACCAAUCCCCAUGUUUGCUCUCUGUUUCCUCCAAGAUUGACCACUCAUCAUGAAGAAGCUGAUCCUCACAAUUGAAAACUUAAAGUUUGAAAGCUUUUUUAUUUCUUCUAAGUGUAAAAGACUUGUCAAACAUUUUCUAAGACUUUAAGGGAUUAAAAAGUGUUCAGUAUGACAUGAUUAGAUUAAAAAUGCAAUAAAAUAAAAAAAAUGUCAUACCUACCUUAGAUCACCUUGUUGUUUUUAAUGCGAACAGAACAUUAUGAGAAAUGCAAUCAAAAUUUAUUACCUUUCCAAAUAAUAUCAUAAUCAAAUGGUAUCCUUUUGAUGUUUAAAGCCUGUGUACACCCCAUAGUGUGUAAGAACCCAAGCCACUCACUCGCUUGGCUUCUAAUGUUGUACACACAGCCGCAAUGGAAUCUUUAGCAGGAUGAAAGCUUUCAACUAUGCCUUUGUGCCAGCGACAUGGACAACAAAUUGUCUUUCUCUUCUUUUCUUAGUCUCUAGCCAAAUCACAUAAGAAAUUCUUCGAAAAGGCUCUCACAAAGGAUGGCAGCACUAAAAAUUGUUAAAAAAAAACUAAUAAUUAGAAGUGGUUGAAACGAUGACUUUAUACUUAGGUUAAUUAACUUAUUAAGUUUGCUAAUAAGUCUUCAAUAGUAUAACCUCUUAUAAUAUUGGCCUUAGCACUUAAUUAAACCAUUUUAAUCAAGUCCUUAUUAGUUAGUUAAACUAGUUUAUGAUUUAAGUCCAACUUAAAUCGUCACAUUCCCAAUUUAAUCCAUAAUGCAACUUUAUGUGUGACCCAUUAAGUUCCUAACAUGUUGACAAUGAAAUUGAAUUAUUAAUCUUUAUUGAUUAAUUUAAAUGAAUCCAAUUCAUAUUAAAUUAAUCAAUUCAAUUCCAUAGACCAAGAUCGACAUCUAGCAAUGCAUCAUGACCACCUAAUUGUUAGGAGAGUCAAAGGGUUCUUUGACAACCUUUUAAUGUACAGUUUAUCAAUGUAAUUCAUUCUCUUAUCAUAUAUCUCGAAGAUGAAAAGAGCUUGGUGCAGUGUCUUGUUUUAUUGACCUCCAUAUUUGUUCCUACAAUUAGAUUAUUAGUUUUAUAGAGACUUAUGAAACUCAUUCAUAAUCUUCUGAUCACCUUGGGCAAGGAUUUGAUUAAGCUAAUAUCAACCGAAAACUAAUGAGAUAUUUCCCUGUGAAUCACUUGGGGUGAUGAUUUUUAUCUUGACCAUUCAUUCGCCUUUUUAUUCAUACUAUACUCAUAAGCAUCCAAAUUUGGCAUCUUUGGUAGGACUUAUAAGGAUGACAUUAAAUUAUAGUACUCCACAUAUAAGACAACCUGGUGUCUCAAGUCUAAGGAGCAGUUACAUGAUUGAUACAUAAGAAGUAUUGCAGAGACACUAAAGUGAGAUAUAAAAUGCACUUUUCAUCUCAGGUCAUGUUCAGUGAACUUGCUCUCCCAUGGCAAACACCCACAUGCUAGUUCCAAGUAUCUCUAUACUUCAACCUAUGAAAGUGAUUGCUUACUUUACAAGUAAAGAACAUAAUAUGGGCCGAUCUUUGAGCAUUAUUGAUGCCUCGUCUUAAUAAUACAAUGAUCAGGAGCUUUUAAUGAUAAUGCUUUGAUGCAUUAAGAUAUCAUAAUUGUAUUGUAACACCCCGUACCCUCGUAUAGAAGCCAAUACAACCUUAUCGACAAGACGAAGGGUCAAUUGACGUAAAUCUAAGUGCCAAAGAGUGGUGACGGCUGAAAGGAAUAUUUUAAAAUAAAAUAUUUCAUACAUGAAAAAAUAAUAAUAUUUUAUCAAGGAUGAAUUAGCGAGUUAAAAGGCAAUUUGGAAGUGAACCGGGACUAAGUGAGAUAUUUUGAGACCCAGGGAGACAAGUGGAGGAUUAUGGAAUAAAAUAAUAUUUUAUUAAUAAAAUAAUAUUAAAAAUUUAAUGUUUUAUUAAUUAUUGAAAUUAGUCACGAAAGAGGACUAUAUGACUAAUCUAAGUGGAGGAGAAAAAGUAAGAAAGAAUUUAAAAGAAAAAUGACGUAAGUGGGGCUCGCGUGCUUUUAUUUAAUAAAGCAAGAGAGGACAAGUAUAUAUUUAAAUAUUAUGGUGACACCUUGGUGAAGUGCAAAUUUGAUAUUUUAUUUGUACAAAUGUAAAAGAAGAAAGAUAGAAGGAAACUGAAAUUGAAAGGAAGGAUUGAGGACCAAAUUGUAAAGGAUGAAAAGUAUGAAGAGUCCAAUGGUAAAUAAGGAAAAGUUGAGGACUUAUGUGCAAUUAUAAUAUUUAAAGCUAAAUGGACAUUAACUAACCAAGGGAAGUUAGAUUAUGUGAGUUAAUGAGGUGUGCAUGUAAAUUAACUAUUACAUGUUAAUGAUAGCAUGUAAAAAGGAGAAAGUUAGUGAGGAACAUGUGGGACCCCCACCAUGUGAAGUAAAAGGAUGGAUAGGCCUAAAUCUAUUUGCAUGUAAAGAGAUUGGUGCAUUAGGUGGCCAAAUGAAGAAAGGGAAAUAUAGAUGCAUGUGACUUGAAUGGUUUAAUAGAUGACCAAAUAAAAUAUAAAGUGAAGCUUGUGCAUGAAAUGUGAUUGGAGGAAGAAGGUGGUGCAAGGAAUAAAGAAUGAAGAAAGAAAGAAUGAGAGAGUGAAGGUGGCAGAUUGAGAGGUUUAGUAAGGAUAGAUAAUGGGCCAAUGAACAAGGUGGGAAAUUAGUGCAUGAAGAACCAUUGGUUGGCAAAAUGGCCAAGUGAAAAUAAAAGAAAAUUGGUGCAUGUGUUGUGAUUGGCUCCAAAGGGUAGCCAAAUGAAAAUAAAGGAAAAUUUGAGCAUGUGUUGUGAUUGGCUUCAAAGGGUGGCCAAAUGAAAAUAAACGAAAAUUUGUGCAUGUGUUGUGGUUGGUUCCAAUGGGUGGCCAUAUAAAUACUAAGUUGCAAGAGUAAAAGAGAAAGGUGAAUAGGCUUUGGUGAGACUUGAGAGUCGGCCAUUUAGAGAAAAAAAGGAAGAAGAGCAAGCUUGAGAAGUUCCACCAGAGAGGAAGAAAAAGAGAAAGAAAAGCGAGAGAAAAGUGGGAAAGGCUCUGUUUUGGACAAGAUCAAGAGAGACUGUGAGGUUUCCUCCCUCUAUCUUGUAGAUUUGUGUUAUUUUAUCACCCAAGGAGACUUCAAUACUCAAGAGAGAAGUCUUGGAGUGUUGAUGGAGGUGUAAAGCUCGGUUUCAAGUUAUAAGAGAAAUAAGGUAAGGAUUAUGGUUUUAGCUUGAAUAAUCUUUGAAAAUGAGUUGGUGACUAUAAGGAAUGUUUUGUGGCAGCAAAGAUUUGGCUUGAUUGAAGAAGAUUUAGUGACAUGCAAGCCAUCUAAACCAUGGAUGCAAAAUGGGUUCAAGGUGAAAAAGAAAUGGUUAGCAUAAUACUAUGUUUUAAGGCCUACGGUUGGUAAAUUUUUGAAGAAAUGAUUUGUGAAUCAUGUUGGCAGCUUGAUGAUUGAAGUUUUGGAGGAACAUUGGAGUGCAUGUGCGGAUCAAGCAACCUUUAAAGUAAAAAUAAAUAAUGCUUUAAGUAUAGUUGAGAAAUCUUGAGAAAUGGCUAUUGUUGUAUUGAUUGGAGACUUGAAAGGCUCAUUGUGAAGAAUAAUGGUUGUUGAAAGAAUCUAAAAUGCAUGAGCUAGUGUAAAUGUUAAGUUUGCUUAGUAUGUAGUUUGAAAGAAAUAAAAAGGGAAUACUGUGGAUGGAGGAUUGAGAAAUAAAGCUUUGAAAGCUAGAUGGACAACUAUGCAUGUAAACUUGGAAAUAAUUGAGUGAGAUUGGGAAUGAUUGUUGUUGUCGUAUAUUUGGUUAUAAGAUAAAAAUAUAAGAUGGAUUUGGAUGAAAGUUGCUCGAAAAGGUUGAAAUGGGCACUUAAUAUUAUAAAUAAGUUGCCGAUACAUAUAAUAUAAAGAAUUACGCAAGUAAAAGAUACGAAUUCCUUUGGUAAAAAUAUGUCAAGAUGUAUGUGAAUAUGCAAAGGCUAAGUGAAAAAGAAUGAUGAUUUUAGCAUGAUGUAAGUUAUUAAAAUGAUGAUUGAUGUUUGAAUAAGAAAAAGAAGUGGGAAUGAUAAACACUAAGUAUAUUAAGCUUGGUUUAUUGCUAGGAAUUGUGCAAGUGGAAAAGGAAUACCAUGGUCAUUAACUAAAGGAGGAAACGUAACUGGAUAAGUGGCGAAGUGAUAUCUUGCCAUUGUGAGGUGAGUAAGGGGUGUCUAUUUCAAAAGAUCUAUACACUGUAUAUUGUUAUACGUUUAUUAAACAUUGUCGGUUUCCUUUAAAUGCAAUUAUGGAUAGCAUGAGUUGUUAGCCUCGAUAGGCGAUUUUUAAAUGGAUUUCUAAUUGAUUAUAAACUGUUAUUGUGGAAAACAUGAGUUGGUAGAAAUGUUAGGUGGAUUAUGGAUGAUAUGACUUUUGAAAUUGUUUUGGAUAUAUAUAUAGAUACGCUAUAUAUGUAAAGUGCUUUAAAAACUGGGAAACAAGCCAUUUUGAAAUGUUUGCAUCAAAUUCGUGCCUUGUAUUUUCGUGUGAUAUGCAUAGUUAAAUGCUUUUAUUAAAUGGUUUAAAUGCAAAAUUUUCAAGAGUCGGUUUUAGUCCGAUCUUUAUACAAGUGUUUACACCAUGCCUUUUUAUGUGAAAAACAAUUUGAAAUGUUAUCAAACCUUGCUUUCAAAUGAUUUCAAGCAAAAGACUUAGAAACCUCGAUUUGGUUUUGAAAAUGGUUUUGACAAACCGAGAGCAUCGAGAGUAGGCCGAAUGUCACAUCGGGAUCGUGUGACCCUUGUGCAUAAGUGAGCUCUAGCUAGAGAACCUUUGGGUCAUUGAUGGGCUGUUAAAUGUGGCUGGGCCCAUGGUCUGUGAUAUAUACAUGGUAAGGCCAUGGGUUGAUAUACGUGGUUGAGACCACUUGAUUUCUCUGAUGUCAGCCAACAUCAUUGAGAUUGCUAUGGCUGUGGGAAUCUGGUGGAGUGGUGCUAUUGGAUUGUUAUUAUGUGGAAGAGGGACCACAGAUUGAUUGUUUAGGAUUACCUACUCAAGAGCCUAGAGAGUUUUUGACUCGUUCUCUUUUGCAUAGUGGAGAGUUAAUGUUUUCUUCCAGCUCCCCUAUUUAAUCAAAAGCUUUCAAUGCUUAUUUAAUGAUCAUGAGUUGAGUUAUGUGGACGUCUAUGUUGAUUUUUACACGCCACACAUUUUGGGAGCAUGCAUACUUUUAUACUGAUAUUUGUAAUUUUGAUGGAAAGUGAUGAUUUCGAUGAUUGAAAUUUAAUUUUUCUCCACUUUAUUUCGGCAUUGUUUUUCCAAGAAAGGUAAUGCAUCAUGAUUUUUCAGCAUCAUUUUCACAAGGCACAAACACCCUACUUGUUAUUUGUUUUUUUAAGGUUAUUAUUCUAUAUUCCGAUUUUAUUAUUCAAAUGAUCUACCUUAAGCUUGUUUCUCAUCUAUGCCCUGCUCACAGAGCUGAUGAUCAGUAAGUCUGUGAGACUCACCCCCCUUAUCUCCCUUUUGCAGAUAGUGAUCGGCCUAGCAUGAGUUCAUCGGCGCAUAUUGUCUACUGCGGAUAGGUAAAGGCAUCUCAUAGCACUUCAUUUCGAGUCGCUCCAUUGCUAGAGGUCGAGUCAUUUAUAGCAUGACGUAUUUGUAAUUAGUGUCAAUGUAAAUGUGCAGUUUGUAUUAUAGACUUUAAUGUAUUUUUAUGAGUAUGGUGAAUGAAGAUUACGAUGGCUUAUUACGAUUUAUGUUCAAUUCUUGAUAUAAAGAGUUAUAUGGUUUAAGUUAUCUCAUAGAUUGAUGGCAUGAAUAAGUAGUAAUAACUUAGUUUUGAUUAAGGCUUGUUCAGGACUUGGCAGGCUCUCUCACAAGACUCAAACGUCGGUAGCGAUCAAGGAGUGGUCGUUACAUGUAUCACAACAUAAUUCUCUUGCAAGGCAUAUAUAGUUCCUUAGGCUUUAUCUACAUAAGUAUAAAUAGUAAUUAAAUUACAAAUUUAUGGGUAAAGAACUAUCUCAAUGUUGUUGUAAAUAACAUAAUGUCAUACAUGAGUAUCUAAAAUUGUGAUUCCCAUACAACUAUAGAUUGACUUAUAGGGCUCAUACCAACAAUCUCCCACUAGGAUUAAAGCUAAUUGCCUAUGUAUCUAAUACCAAUGUUCUCAACAUGGUGAUUAUUUUUUUUUUGAGACAAUGCUUUAGUUAGAGGAUCGAUAGCAUUAUCCUCAAUGGUUAUACCCUCUAUGCUAAUGCCUCUUCUCCCAAUGAUCUCCUUGAUCACAUAGUAACGUCACAAUACAUAUUUGGAUUUUUGAUGAGAACUUGGUUCCUUUGCUUGCACAAUGGCUCCAUUGUUAUCACAAUAUAAUGAUAUUGGAUCAACAAUGCUAAGAACCACAUCUAGUUUAGUUAUGAACUUCUUAAUCCAAACAGCCUUUUUCGUCACCCUAGACGCAGAAAUGUAUUUGACCUCAAUUGUAGAAUCUACAAUUGUCUCUUGUUUAAAGCUUUUCCAACUAACUGCACCUCCCUUAAGUGUGAAUACAUAUCUACUUUGCGACUUGCUAUCAUCCUUGCCAAUUUGAAAGCUUGCAUUGACAAAACCCCUAACUUGGAGUUCGUCUCCUCCAUAGACCAGAAACAUAUCUUAAUUUCUUCAUAAGUACUUCAAGAUGUUUUUCACAACUAUCUAGUGAUGCUCAUCAAGAUUAGCUCGGUAUCUACUUGUAACACUCAAGGCACAUUUGGUAUGUGAAAUAGCUAAGCUAUUCCCCUUUUAUUCCCAACUACUAUUUACUCCCCUUGUUUGGUUGGUAAUUUAGCAAGGAAUAGCAAUUCCUUUGAUUUAGCUAUUCUUCAUAAUUAGAAAAAAUUCUUCCUUAACUACACCCACCUCUCCCCAUGGUAUUAGCUAUUCCAUGUCUAAUGCAAUAGCUUCAAAAUUUAUUAAUACUAAAUUACCCUUCAUAAAUUUGGAAAUUUACAACCCUCAACUAUUAAUGAUUAAAUUAUAAAUAAAAUAUUAAUACUUAAAUUAUCCAUUAUUAAUAUUUUAAAUAAAUUAUAAAUUAUAAAUUAUUAAUAUUUAAAAAUUAAUAAUCAUAAAAACUUUUAACUUAUAAAUAAAAUACUAAUAUUUUCAAAUAUUAAUUAUUAAAAUAUAAUAAAAUAUUAAUAUUUUUAACUAUUAAUAAUCAAAUUAUAAUAAAAUAUUAAUAUUUAAAUUAUCAAUUAUUUAUAUAAUGAUUAAAUUAUAAAUUAUUAAUAUUUAAAAAUAAAUAAUCUUACCAAUAUUUAAAUUAUAAAUAAAAUAUUAAUGUUUCAUAAUAUUAAUGAUUAAAUUAUAAAUAAAAUAUUAAUAUUUAAAUGAUCAAUUAUUAAUAUUUUAAAUAAAUUAUAAAUUAUUAAUAUUUAAAAAUUAAUAAUCAUAAUAACAUUUAACUUAUAAAUAAAAUAUUAAUAUUUUUAAAUAUUGAUGAUUAAAAUAUAAUAAAAUAUAAAUACUUUUAAAUAUUAAUGAUUAAAUUAUAACAAAAUAUUAAUAUUUAAAUUAUCAAUUAUUAAUAUAAUGAUUAAAUUAUAAAUUAUUAAUAUUUAAAACUAAAUAAUCAUAAGAAGAUUUAAAUUAUAAAUAAAAUAUUAAUAUUUCAUAAUGUUAAUGAUUAAAUUAUAAAUAAAAUAUUAAUAUUUAAAUUAUCAAUUAGUAAUAUUUUAAAUGAAUUAUAACUUACAUAUAUUUAAAAAUAAAAUAAAAUAAAAAUAAUUAAUCAUAAUAACAUUUAAAUUAUAAUAAACUAUUAAUAUUUUAUAAUGUUAGUAUUGAAUUAUAAAUGAAAUGAUAUUAUUUAAAUUAUCAAUUAUUAAUAUUUGAAAUAAAUUAUAAAUUAUUAAUAUUCAAAAAAUAAAAUAAAAUAAAAUAAAAAUUAAUCAUAAUAAUAUUUAAGUUCUAAUAAAUAUUAAUCUUAUAUAAUGCUAAUGAUUAAAUUAUAUAUAAAAUUUUAACACUUAAAUUAUCAGUUAUUAUUUUUUUAAAUAAAUUAUAAAUUUUUAAAAAUAAAAAAUAAAUAAUCAUAUAUAUAAUAAAAGGUAGUUUUGUCUUUUUAUCUUCUAUUUCUUUCUUAUUCCAAAAUUAUUUUUAGCAACCAAACACUACAAUAAGUCAUAAUAACUGUUCCUACUCCAUUCCAUUCAUUGUACCAACUAGGUAAUAACUAUUCUAUUCUUUUCCCAUCUUAUUUUAUUCUCACAAAAUAGCUAUUCUAUUCCGCGAACCAAACGUGACAUCAUUGCAUAAGAUACAUCUGGUCUAGUGCAUAACAUUACAUACAUGAUAGAUUCUAUUGCUGAAACAUAUGGGAUCUUAUCUAUGCGAUCUCUCUCCUCCUGAUUGUUUAAACACAUGUCUUUGGAGAGAUAGAUGCCAUGUGACAUAGGCAAGUGCCCCUUCUUGGACUCCAUCAUGAUAAACCUCUUUAUCACCUUGUCUAUGUAUGUGGAUUGGGAGAGACCAAGCAACCUUUUAAAUCUAUCUUUAUAGAUCUUUAUUCCCAAAAUGUAAGUUGUUUCUCCCAAAUCCUUCAUGGAGAAUUGUUUGGAUAGCCAAAUCUUAGUAGAUUGCAACAAUGGUAUAUCAUUUUCCAUGAGCAAUAUGUCAUCCAUAUACAGUACUAGGAAAAUAAUGGCGCUCCCACAAGCCUUCUUGUAGACACACAGUUCAUCAUCAUUCUUAAUGAAGUCAAACCCUUUGACAGCUUCAUCAACAUAGAUAUUCUAACUUCGAGAAGCUUGCUUAAGUUCAUAAAUGGACUUUUGAAGCUUGCACACCUUAUUGGCACUAGCAUUGGAUGGAAAACCCUCAAGUUAUGUAAUGUACACUUUCUCUUGCAAAUUUUUAUUAAGGAAUGCAGUUUUUACUUCCAUUUGUCAUAUAUCAUAAUCAUGGUAUACAGGAAUUGCAACCAAAAUCCUAAUAGAUUUAAGCAUACCUACUAGUCAAAAAGUUUUCUCAAAGUCAACUCCUUAUCUUUGUUUAUAACCUUUUGCUACCAGUCUAGCUUUAAAAGUUUGCACCUUGCCAUCUACAUCGAUUUUUCUCUUAAAGACCCACUUGCACCUAAUGGAUUUUAUCCUUUUAAGUGGAUCCACUAAAGUCCAUACUCAGUUUGUAUCCAUGGCAUCCAUUUUAAAUUUCAUGGCUUCUUGCCAUUUCUUAAAAUCAAUGUCCAAUAUCGCCUUUUCAUAGGUUAUAGGCUCAUCAUUUAUGAGCAAUACGUCUCUAUCCAAGAGAAAUCCAUAUCGCUUAAGAACUUAACAUAUACUACUAGACCUUUGAGUGGUUAUGUCUCUUGAGGUUAUGGUUGUACAUCAGAUGUCAUAACCUCAUGUUCAGAUUCCAUAGGAAUAUCAAUUUGUGGGUCUCGAACUUAUUCUUCUAGAACUUUACCCCCACUAGCCUUUUCACUUAAGAACUUUUUCUCAAGGAAAGUGGCAUGCCUUGAGACAAACAACUUUUGCUCAGUAGGUAGUGGAUUGCCCAUUCUUGGCAACCCACUUCUAGGGGGCCGAGGCCUACCUCAAGUGGGAACCGCAACCCACAUUAUGUGCUUGUCACGACCUUGACCCUUUUUUUUUUUAGGCUGCCCAAAGGUGGUAGCCCAAAACAAAAGGCUGCGGCCUACAUCUAGUAGGCACUGCGACCCUUAUUGGUAAAAGUCGCCAGGCCAUGGCCACAGGUUACGAGCCUCGUGGGCUAGGCCUUGACAUACCCUCUUCCCCAAUUUUUUUUAAUUUUUUUCAAAAAAGCUUUUUGAUAUAUAUUUUUUUAUUUUUUUAUGGGGGGUUGUACAUGUUCCUGCAAAAUAAAAAAUAAAUACUAAUAAUUAAUAGUGGAAUAAAUAAAAAUAAUGAAAAAAAUAAAAGAAAGUAAGUUAGAAUGCUUGGGUUGCUUCCCAAGAAGCUUUUAAUAAGUCUUUGGCUUGACUUUUUCUGGUUUAAAUUAUGUCGACAAGCGUGAUUGAGGACCUUUGACGAUCAAAAUCGCCUCCCCAAUAAUGUUUUACUCAUUGUGCAUUCACUUUGAAGGUUAAUUUAUCAUCAGCCACCUCCACUACUCCAUGAGGAUAUACUUUCAUCACAGUGAAAGGUCUAGACCAACGAGAUUUCAGCUUUCCAAGAAAUAAUCUUAAACGAGAAUCAUAUAAGAGAACAUGUUGGCUAGGCUCAAAAUUGCUUUUUUGAUUUUCUGGUCAUGCCAUCAUUUUGUCUUCUCUUUGUAGACUCUUGCACUCUCAUAAGCUUCUUGACGAAAUUCAUCCAUCUCAUUAAGUUGCAAAAGACGUAUUUCUUUGGCUGCUUGAAGAUCAAAAUUAAGCUUUUUAAUUGCCCAAUAUGCCUUGUGUUUAAGCUCCACUGAAAGAUGACAAGCUUUUCCAAACACUAAUAUAUAAGGAGACAUCCCAAUUAGUGUUUUAUAUGUAGUUUUAUAUGCCCACAAAACAUCAUCCAACUUUUUUGACCAAUCUUUUCUGGAAGGACAAACAAUCUUUUCCAAAAUUCUUUUAAUUUCUCUAUUUGAAAUUUCAGCUUGGCCACUAGUUUAAGGAUGAUAAGCAGUGCCUAUUUUGUGUUUGACUCGACAUUUGCCCAAGAUUGACUUAAAUUUUUUGUUGCGAAAAUGAGAUACUUCAUCACUAAUUAUGGCUUUAGGUGUUCCAAAAUGUGUAAAGAUGUUCCUUUGCCAAAAGUUUAUCACUACCUUAUAGUCAUUCCUUGGUAAUGCAAUAGCUUUAACCCAUUUAGAGACAUAAUCAAUAGCAACCAAGAUGUAUUCAUUAUUGAAGGAUGGAAUGAAUGGACCCAUAAAAUCAAUUCCCCAUACAUCAAAAAUUUCGACUUCUAGGUUGUUGUUGAGAGACAUCUCAUGUCUUCUAGAUAUAUUGCCCAUUCUUUGACAUUUAUCACAGUUUUCAACAAAAUUAUGAGCAUCUUUGAAAAGAGAAGGCCAGUAAAAACCUGACUGUAGAACCUUUGCAGUAGUUCAUUUCCCCCUAUAAUAUCCUUCACAAUCAGAUGAAUGGCAAUGAUGAAGAAUAUUUUCAAAUUCUUCUUUAGGAACACACUUUUCAAUGAUUUGAUCCCCAUAAUGCUUGUAAAGAAAAGGCUUAUCCCACAUGUAGUAUUUGAUAUUACGCAAGAAUUUCAUUUUUGUUGACACUUAAAUUCAGGAAAGAAGAGUUUACUCACAAGAUAGUUCACAAAAUCAGCAUACCAUGGAAAAUUUUUCUACUUCUCGACAUGAAACAACUACUCAUCAGGAAAGGUCUCAUUGAUCAUUGUUAAAUUCCUAAUUUUUUCUCCAUUCUCCAAUCUAGAUAAAUGAUCCACUUGAUUUUCUGUAGCUCUAAUAUCUCGAAUUUCUAAGUUGAAUUCUUGAAGCAAAAGUACCAAUCUUAUCAAGCAUGAUUUUGUAUCUUUUUUCUCGUUCAGAUAUUUAAUAGCUGCAUGGUCAGUGUCGACAAUUACUUUAAUACCAACAAGAUAAGAGUAAAAUUUAUCAAAGGCAAAAACAAUAGCAAGCAACUCCUUUUCAGUUGUGGUGUAAUUUGCUUGGGCCUCAUUCAAUUUUCUACUAGCAUAAUAAAUAGGAUACAAAAUCUUCGCUUUUCGUGGGCCCAAAACUACAUGAACUACAUAAUCACUAGCAUCACACAUUAGUUCAAAAGGAAAAUUCCAAUCAAGAACAGUGAUAGUAGGAGCAGAAAAUUAAUCUUUUUUUCAACUCAACAACAACAUCAUGGCAAACAUCAUCAAAAUUAAAAGGAGUAUCAUUUUCUAAAAAAUUACACAAUGAUUUAGAAAUUUUAGAAAUAUCUCUAAUGAAUCUCCUAUAAAACCCAACAUGUCCUAAAAAACUACGAAUGCCUUUAACAAAGGUGGGAGGUGGAAGUUUUUCAAUUGUUUCAAUUUUUGCUUUAUCUACUUCUAAACCUUUACUAGAGACUCGAUGGCCUAAGACUAUGCCUUCUUGCACCAUAACGUGACAUAUUUCCCAAUUUAAAACUAAAUUAAUUUAUUCACAUCUCUCAAGUACUCUAGAAAGAUUAAAUAGACAAUCAUCAAAAUUAUCCCCAAAAACUAAAAAAUCAUCCAUAAAUACUUCCAAAAACUUUUCAACCAUAUAAGAAAAAAUUGCCAUCAUACAUCUCGAAUAGUAGCUGGAGAAUUACAAAGUCCAAAAGGCAAUUUACGAAAAGCAAAUGUUCCAUAAGGACAAGUAAAGGUGGUUUUUUCUUGGUCUUCAAUAGUAAUGGCAAUUUGAUUAUAACCAAAAUAACCAUCCAAAAAAAAAAUAAAAAUCCUUACUUGCUAGUCUAUGAAGCAUUUGAUCAAUAAAAGGUAGUGGAAAGUGAUCUUUUCUAGUGGUUUUAUUCAAUUUUUUAUAGUCCAUCCACACUCUCCAUCCAGUCACAGUUCUAGUGGGAAUGAGCUCAUUAUUUUCAUUAGAAACUACUACCAUACCUCUUUUUUCAAGGACUCAUUGGAGUAGACUUAUUCAUGAACUAUCAAAAAUAGGAUAGAUAAUACCCGCAUCAAGCCACUUGAUAAUAUCUUUCUUUACUAAUUUUUUCAUGAUCGGAUUCAACGUUUGUUGAUGCUCAAUGGUUACUUUGUGAUUUUCUUCCAAAAGAAUUUUGUGCAUGCAAAUUGAGGGACUAAUUCCUUUGAUGUCUGCAAUGGUCCAUCUAAUUGCUUUUUUGUAGUCUCUUAAAACUUAAAGGAGUUUAUUUUCCUGUUCAUCAGAAAGAUAAGAAGAAAUAAUUACUAGAAGUGCAGAAGAAUUUCCCAAAAAAGCAUAUCUUAAAUGAUUAGGCAGUGGUUUGAGCUCAAGUGAAGGAGGUUCUUCAAAGGAAGGUUUGAUUGGUGAAGUUGUAAUUGAUAAUUCCAAAUACUGAAAUUGAGAUCUUUGGAGACGUGAAUGGGCAUAAAGAUGGUUAACAUAUUCAAGAACUUUUUCAUCAAUAAUAUCACAUGAACAAUUCAAAGAAGUUUCUAGUAGAUCUUGAUGAUUUUCAAUAAACACAUUAUUUGCUAUGUCAUCCACCAUAUUUAAAGCUCUAAACAUACUAAAUGUUCCCUGUUGAUCUUCAACCUUUAAAGUAAACUCACCUUUUUCCACAUCAAUUAAAGCUCGAGCAGUUCUCAAGAAUGGUCUCCCAAGAAUGAUCAGUAUUUCACGAUCUUCUUCCAUAUCAAGAAUAAUAAAAUCUACCGAAAAAAUAAACUUACCAACUUUUACCAAAACAUCAUCCACAAUACCAUAAGAAUAGGUGAUGGAUCAAUUAGUAAGUCGCAAAGUUACAGAAGUUGGCUUAAUCUCUUCCAAACCCUAUUUUUUAUAAAUAGACAAUGGCAUCAAAUUUAUACUUGCACCUAAAUCAAAUAACGCUUUAGCAAAACAAAGAGCACCAAUAGUGCAAGGAAUAGUAAAACUACUUGGAUUUUUAAGCUUUGCUAGAUGCUUAUUCUGAAUGAUGGCAUUGCACUCUUUAGUAAGUGCAACAGUUUCAAACUCCCCCAAUUUCCUCUUUUUAGAUAGGAUGUCUUUCAAGAAUUUAACAUAUCUUGGCCUUUGUUCCAAAGCUUCAGCAAAAGGAAUAUUAAUAUGUAAUUUUUUAAAUACAUUAAUAAAUCUAUGGAAUUGUUUGUCAAGUUUUUCUUUGUGAAAUCUUUGAGGAAAAGAUGGGGGAGGUGUGGGAGUAGUUUUUAAUUGUUAUUUUUUUUUAAUUUUCAAUAGAUUUUUCAACCAUAAUUUUCUUUUUUAGCAUCUUUUUCAAUUUCUUUCUCAUCAGAUUGAAUUGAAAUUUUAGAAUUUAAAUUCUUACUACUAACCUCUUUACUUACCUCUUUCUAUUGCAAAGAUGGAUUGCCUUACAAUGUUCCUUAUUUUCUCUUCUUAGGUUGGGUUCAAUAACUUGGUAAGGUACCAUGAGGUCUAGUAUUUAAAGCACUGGCAAGUUGGCCUACUUGUGUCUAAAGAUUUCUAAUUGAAGCUGCUUGAUUUUGAAUAGAGGCAUCAUCUUUGUCAUAAAUGCAUUAAUCUUUGUUAUGAAUAUAUCAGUCAUUGUCAUGAAUUGCAUGAACAUAUCCUACAUUAAAGGCUUUUUCUCUGACAUGAGGACUUAAGAUGGAAAUCCAGGAGGAAAGCUUGACUUAGCUACUGAUGAAAACCCUUGGUUGUUACUCCAUGAAAAUUUAGGAUGAUUCCUUCAACUAGGAUUUUAAGUGUUAGAAUAGGGAUUGUUCUGUCGCCUAUUUCCAACAAAUUGACAAGACUCAUAAUAGAUGGGACAAUUGUCAUUGGAAUGUCCUUCCUCACAAAAUUCACACGUCAUAAACAAGUUCUGAAUAGCAUUAACACUCAGUUUACCUAUUUUUUUUGUGAGAAAAGCUAAUUAGGUAGAAACAGUAUUUAUCGCAUCUAAUUCAUUAAUUCCAGCAAUUUUUCUUGUACCAAAUCUUUCAUAUGAUAAUUAUUGGAAGCUAUCUGUUCAAGCAAAUCAUAAGCCUUAUCAAUGGAUUUACUCAUGAGUGCACCUCCAGCAGCAGCAUCAAUGGUAGUUCUGAAAGGUCCCAGCAAACCAUUAUAAAAAGUCUAAACUUGCAGCCACUUAGGUAAUCCAUGCUGAAAACACCUUCUUAUCAAAUCCUUAUACCUCUCCCAAGCCUCAUGUAGUGAUUCAGAAUCAAAUUGCAUGAAAAAAGUGAUAUCAUUCCACAUAUUUGCUGACUUAGCAUAAGGGAAGAAUUUUGCUAAGAAUUUUUGAGCUAAAUCAUCCUAAGUAUUAAUGGAACCAGCAAGAAGUGAAUUUAACCAACUCUUUGCUUUAUCUCUCAAUAAAAAAUGGAAAAGCCUUAAUCUUAUGGCAUCAUCAAUAACACUAUUAGCUUUGAAUGUAUCGCAAACUUCCAAGAAAUUUACAAUAUGAGCAUUUAGAUCAUCAUUAGGCAAACCCCCAAACUGAACAGCAGUCUGAAUCAUCUUAAUGAUUGAUGACUUAAUUUCAAAGUUGUUGGCUUCAAUAGUAGGUCUUCGGACACUAGAGUGGAGACUUUGUACUCGUGGGACAGCAUAAUCCCUCAAAGACUUGGUCCCUUCCUCUUGUUGAUUAGCCAUUGUUUUACUUGGAGUAUAAACUUUUUUAUUUUUCCUCUGAAAUCUUCGAAAAGUCUUUUCGAUUUUUGAAUUAAAAGGAACAAUUUCCAAAUUUUGGGCUCUUCGCAUACAAUAACCAAAAGUACCUAAAAAAUUAAAGAAAAGAAAAGUCUAGACUAAAAUUAAGAAUGCUUGGUAUUAAUAUUAAGAAGAAAUAAUUAAAAAUCAAUUCUUUGGCAACGGCGCCAAAAACUUAUUGUUGAUGUCUCACGCAAGUACACGUAUAGUUAACAAGUAAUAUAGUGAUAAAGUAGAGUGUCGAUCCCACAGGAAAUUGUUUUAAUUAUUAUUGUUAAUUAUUAAAAUUAUAACACUCUAAUUUUAUCCAAACAAUUAAAAACUAAAUUAAAAAGAAAAAAAACUAAAGACUAAAACUAAUCUAAAUUAACUAACAAAAUUAUUUUAUUAAAUUUGAUUGACUUUUAGACCUAAGAUUAUGAUGUCCCUCAAUACUUCAUCUGAUUAUUGUCUCUCUCUCUUAACUUAGUUUAAUGGAUGAAAUUGCUAACCUAGAGUCCUAAAUUAUUUACAAGUCUCUAUCGAGUUUCUCAUGAAAAUAUCUCUACUAAUUAAUUUACUAUAUGUCUAUAUAAAUUAAAUUAAAGACAGAUUCAUUCAGUUUGUACACUACUUUUGGCUACAUUUGUCUAAUAGGUGUAUGUCUACCUUAUAUGAAAAUCAAACCACCAAAUCAACUAAGUGUAUUCGAUCAUACGCUAUUCUAUUCAAGGUCUACCUAAAUCUCCUUCGUGAAGGUUUAGCUUAGGUUACCAAUUCAAUCUUAUCGGUGGCUAGUCAACUAGAAGCAUUAAAAACAAAAUAAAAUAAAACUUAAAUCCAUCAAACAUAAGCAAAAAAGAGAUAAAUAAAUUAGCCUACGUGUUGAGUUCAAUCAUAAUCUUAGAUAAAUAAUUUAGUUCGCCAUCAAGUCACACAUCAUCAUCAAAUAAAGUUUAAACAUUAAAAACAAAACCAAGAAAAUAAGAGAAUAACAAAAAGAUAGAAAAAACCAAGAAUUGUAAUCUUGAUCUCCAAAUCUCUUUGAAUCCUUCAAAUUCUUCCUAACUUCAAUGGCUUUGCAGCUUGAUUCUUAGCUUUCAAUCCGGUGUUUCGUUAUCUCCUUGAAAGUCCUCCAAAAGGUUGAUUUUAUAGGGCUUUGAAGUUAGGCCAAGUUAAGUGAAGAAAGAAGUCAAUUCCAAUAAGGAUUGCCUCAUCAUACUGCAUGGGCUAUGGCCUACUUCCUCUAAAGCCGCAGCCUUGACCCUUUAAAUAGCAGAAAUAGUAAUUGUUCGAAGAUAGCUGCAGUACUCCAACUUCAACAAGAUUUUUGACCACCUUCCAUGCCAAAUAGGCAAAGUGGUAAACAUAAAAGUUGUAUAUUUUUCUAUCAACUUUCCAAUGGUUGAAAAAUCACUUCAUUUAAGGCUCUGUAGAGAGAGCUAUGGUUGAAAUACCAAAACAUGUGUAGUGAAAGUCUGCACCUUAAAAUUGCUCUCCUUCUUCCAUUAAAAGUCUUCCUUCAUUAAACACCUGCAAAAGCACAACUAAAUCAAUAACAAUCUAUCUUAAUCAUAUUAACACUAAAUUAAGCAUAAAAUUAACUAAGAUUAGAUUGACUCACCUAAAUUAACUAAUUUAAAAUAAUCAAAUAAAACCUACUAGUUUUUAUGCAUUACUACAAGAACUAAGCUAAAUUACUAUCAAAAUUAAGUCCAAAUAACUCUAUAUCAAAGAGUUAUCAAUGAGCAUGAUCCACCACUUUCAGUUAAUCUUGAUUUUAAGGUGGGAUAACAAGUGUUACUGACCAAACCAGUCAAACUCUUUCCAUGGAAACAAAAAUCAAAGUGGUUUGGUCCUUACAAGGUGGUUAAGGUCGAUCCGUGUUGUACAAUAGAUAUUUUUAGUGAAGCUACCAAAACAUUCGGAGUGAAUGGGCAGUGUCUCCAACAUUAUUUGGGAGGUGAAUUAGAUUGCCAAAGAUCCUCAAUUAUUCCAAUAGACAACAAUAAAAGGGUAUCAUAAUCAAGCUAGUGACUUUAAAGAAGUGAUUCUUGAGAGGUAACUCAAGUUAUAUCAUUUUAGGUUUAGUUGUUAUUUUAGUUAGUUUUUGUUUUUCUAUUUAAAUAAAUAGUUAUAACCUCUCUUUUACUUGUUUUGUUGAGCAUGCGGUUUGGAAAGCAUGAAGAUAAGGAGAAAGAAAAUUCAAGCUUUCAAUGCACUGUCACUGUUGAUAAGGGAGUUUUUUUUUUUCUUAUUCUUUGUAGAUUUUCACAUUAAAGACAAUGUGCAAUUUAAGUUUAGUGGAGGGUUUUAUUAUUAUUAGUUUUUGUGAUAUUUUAGGUUAGUUUAUUUUCAUUAUAUUUUUUAAUUUGAUGCAUGUUUUAAAAACUUGAGCUAGAUUUAAUUGCAUCAAUUUCUUUUAAUUUACCUAUCCAAUUAUGAGAACUUAGUUAUAUUCUAUCUCAAUUCUUUGAAACAUCUGAAUAUUGUUUGAGUGUUAUAUAAAUUCUAUUUCUCCAUUAGUUUUUGAUGAUAAUAAAACAUUCCCAUUCAUUUAUGUCUAACAAUGCUACUUGAGUGUGUAGGUUGAAAAAUGUAUGGUAAUAAUACAAUAAUCAUUAAACAGUAAAUAUCAAAUCUCAUGAGGUUGAGGAGCUACAAUAAAAGUCACAAAACAUAAGCCACUUAGUCGAAUAAAGAUAGGAAGUCAGCUAAAAUUCAAAAAUGGAGUUGGCAGGUUCAAAAAUAGAAUCAACUUAAUCGACUAAGAGAUAUUGUUAGUCAACUAAGUGCUUACUGCCAAAAGUCGAGUUCAAAAAUAGAACCGACUUAAUCGACUAAGAGGAAUCGUUAGUCAACUAAGAGCGUACUACCUGAAACUGGGAUCAGAAGAUAGAACCAACUUAAUCGACUAAGAAGUAUGUUAGUUGACUAAGAGCUCUCUGUUUGAAAAUUUGAAGUUGAAGGUAGAAGACAAAUUAACGGCUAGAACCAACUCCAAACUAUUUCCAACAGUCAGAAUCUGUCAAGCACCCAUCAAAAAUGUUUCUUCAAGUAUUAAAAACCUUCCCAAUGGCUAAGAAACUGAUCCAAGGCUUCUAAGAACUAAAAGAGCUAAAAGACUAGUAAAAACUCUCUGCAUUCUUUCUGCACUUCACUCCUAUCCUUGUAAGAGAUUCAAGCACUUCACUUUGUAUCACUUAGAUCAAGUCAGUGAUUAUAGGUACACCUUUAUUUCUCUUAUUCUUGUUGUCAAAAACCAAAUCUCGAGCCAUGACCGGUGCAUGGACCCAAUGGGCAUGGCCCACUUGGCCUAAGCAAGCCUUUCUAUGAAACUUGUUCAUCAGACCAUCUGCCCCUCAUUUACCUCUAAGGUUCUUAAUUCAUAGUUUUCGAAAAUAAUUUCUUCUCAAGAAUAAAUCAAGGCAACCAAACAUAUACCAUUCACAAAAUAAUAUUACCAUUUGCCAACUUGUGGCGACAUUAUCAUGCAAACCAAACAUACAAUGUUUAUAACGAAUCUCACGAAUUACAUUUAAAUAACCAUAUACACAUACAAAAGACCUUGACUAUUAGCAAAGUGACUCUAGCAUGGAUACUAUUAUGGGUUGUGCUAGUAAACCUAUCAUAAGAUGAAUAGGAGGAAGCACCCUUACCUAAGAUCCAACUACCUUCGAGCUUGAAAACUAAAACAUGAAGUUGAAAAGAAUGAGUGUAAACCCAGUGAGUGAACAUAGGAAGGGAACAAGGAAACGAUACAGAAGGUUUUCGAAAACAAGAUGCACUCAUUUUAAAACCAUGCAAUUUGUAUAUCAUAAACAACUCGAUACCAUGUUGAUGUUUAACUCGUUUUAAAAUACUUAGGAAAUUCAACUUUCUCACAUUUCAAUUUCCAAACAUCCCUGCUCUACAGGGCAAGUACACAAACGUGUACGAAUUCAUGUAUACAUUUUGUAUAUAUAUAUAUAUAUAUAUAUAUAUAUUUUCAAACAUUCACUAAAUAUAUCAAGAUCAUUCCCACACUAGUCAACAUGGCUCAACGCAUACAACCACCAUCCUCAGCUCAGCUUAUGUGCACUCCCACACCGCACAUGGCAAAUAUCAUGUACACUCCCACACCACAUCAUCAUCAGCAUGUGCACUCCCACAUCGCACACCACCGACACCGUCACGUGCAUUCCCACACCCCACAUGCACAGUUAUAGUUAUCAUACAACAUUAUCGUUAUAUUACACAUUUCACAGCAUAAAAACGUUUCAUUAAGGGCUUGUUCCCAUGCAUAUUUUAAAGAAAAGACUAAUAAAAUAUUUCAAGUGAUUCAGUCAAACACAUAUGCAUUUAUCCCAAAACAUUUUAAUGCAAGUUCUCUCACCUAUCUUUGUUGAUUCUUUGAUUAACUCCGACUUCAACUAAUGCUCCAAAUGGAGAUGUGGGGUCUCGUUGGAACCUAUCGCACACGAUAGUAUGACAACCAACCCAAUUUACUUGAAUAUUAUUCCAAAAGCUGUUUCCUAAAUUAAACUUUACUAGUUAUUCCUAACUAGUUUCCAAUUACUGUUUGACUAGUCAUUAAUUUGCACCAUUAUAGUCACACUAGAAAUAAAUAAAUAUCUUUCAACAAUAGAACUGUGAGACCCCAACCUCUAUAGGCUUGUAACUAAGCGUAGAUGUAAUAAUACGAGCAAGGGGUAGUUUCGUCAUUUUCUCUAAUAAGCUCCCAAAAGAAAGUUUUAUGAUAUUUUAAGGUCUAAAUAGGCAUAAGACUGCAUAAAUGACUUGUAAUGAUGAAAACACGAAGAAAACUAGAAAUGACAAUAAUUUUCACAAUAGGGGCAAAAUAGUCAUUUUGCACCCAAGUCAAAACUUUUAAAAGUUUCAGAAACCUAAACAUGUCUAGACCAUUAUGGACUUGGUCUCAGUGUUAAAGAGUAAAAAGAUUGCAGAAAGGGUUGCAUGAGAACAAGCUAACUAGUCAAGGGCAUUUUCAUAAUUUUAAGGGAAUGGAUAAGUUUGGCCUAUAAAUAUCCUUCUUCCAGUAGCUUCUUCUCCCAUUUUCCAGCAACUUGUCUUCUUCUUCCUUCUUCCCUCUCACGUUUCUUUAAAACCUCCAUGGAAGCUUGAUAUGGAGCUUGCAUAAUUUUCUCUCUCUAACUUUAAUUUUCAUACCUUUAUGCCCUUUUGACUAGAACCCUUGAAUUCUUUCACUCUCUCACUUCAAAACCCUUGGUCAAGCUUAUUUCCAUACUUUCUCUCACUAGUUGGGUGUUCUAGAGAGAGAAAAAGAGAAUUACCCCACUUGUUUGGAAGCUAUUGGAAGGGGAUUCAACUACAAAGAAACCCAAGGGUGAGUGAUGAACUAAGCUUGGUUUUUAGCUAUAGAAAAUGGCUAGUAAAUGGGAUUAUGAGCUGUUUUAUUGUUAAUGUUCAUUCAUUUUGUAGUAAUUAAUAUAGUGAACAUAGAUAGCCAUUUAAAGUGGCAAUUGAAAGUUAGCUAAAAGAUAGCUUUUAGGGUUUAUAUUAUGUGAAUUAACAUAAUGGUGAUGUUAAUGUAAUGGUAGGUUCCAACGAAGUUCCAUCAUUCCGUUCAGACAAUUAGAGAAAUUGGAGUCGGUUAAAGACUCAACAAAAUACGGGUGAGUGAACUGCAUUCAAAACUUGUUUUGGGGAUAUAAUGUAUUUGCCAAACAUUUGAAUGAAUUAUCAAGCUUUUCAUAAAAACAAGUGCCUUGGGAACAAGCUUUUGAUAGAUUGUCUCCAUGUUGUGACAUGUGACUAUUAUUGAUUCAUGCACUACCAUAUUGUGUUGAUAUAUAUAUAUAUAUAUGUGAAUACAUUGUUGUGUAAUGAUAUUGACUCGGCUAUGUGCGAGUAGGGAGUGCGCAUAAGCCGAUGAUGACCUCGUUAUGUGCGAGUAAGGAGUGUGCAUAACCCGGUGAUGACCUAGCCAUGUGCGAGUAGGGAGUUCGCAUGAGCUGGGAAUGAUGGGAUGGUGUGCAUGAUGGUGAUCGGUAUAUGUAUAUGUAUACAUACGUAAACAUGUGUUAUAAGAAAUUUAUGAGUUAUGUAUAUGGAUGUAAUGUAUGUGAAAUUCGGCAUGUUAAACUUUGGGAAGUUGUUAUGUAUUUCUUAUUGGUUUUGAACAUUUCAGCAGGGUGGUUUUCUUUGGGAGAAAGGGAAAUUUUUCAUUGGUGCCCUGUAUCUCGCUGCAGCGAGAAACUCUCAAGUUUGAGAGCCUUCACCAGAACUGGUUCUCGCUGCAGCGAGAUAGUCAUUGUAGCUUCUCGCUGCAACGAAAAGGAAUCUCGUUGCAGGGAGAAACUCUCUGUUUCAUCAGCUGAAUUUCGCUGCAGUGAAAAACCUUCUGUCCAUUUUGCUAUCUCGUGGGGUUUUGCCAUUUUUUUCCAUUUCAUUUAUACCCUAGUGGAGCAUGGACUUCCAACAUGUUUGGGGAUUAUCUAACCAAGUUUGAAAUGAGAAAAUUUUGAAAGAAACCCUCAGUCGGUUGAGAAACCCUCGUUCGGCUAAUAACUUAAAUCCCAACGUCGCUACAAUGAAAAUUCAUUCUCACUGUAGUGUAGUUGCAGCGAGAAUGCCUUCCCGCUGCAGCGAAGACUCAUCGUUGCAUUUGACUUGUUGGUGUAUCACUGAAGCCUUUAUUUUUCAAAUUAUUGGUUAUGUAUGGGUUCCUCAUUACCAAGUGAUUAAUCAUAUAAGGGUUUAAUGAGGGGUUUUUAAUAUGAAUGAAAUUAAGUUGCAUUGUUUUAAAACAAGGGCAUCAUGAUUUUAAAUUAUUCCUUACAGUAUGUUUGUUCCCUUCUUUGUUCACUCAUUGGGUUUAUGCUCACUGUUUUUAAACUUCAUGUUUUUAGAUCGAGAGGUAGCCGGUAAUUAGGAUGAGGUGUCCUCGUAGACUUGUAACCAUCUUUUGGUAGGUGUCUCGGCAUUCAGUAGCUAUACAUUCAUCCAAGUCUCUCCGCUGGAAGUCGAGUAUUAUUUUGUUGUGUAUAGACAAACCUAAUGUAAAUUGUUAAGAUACAUGUUGUAGACAAUGUAUAUACACUUGUUUGGUAUGCCAGUAUGAGAUGGCAAUGUGUAGUAUUAUUUUGAUUCUAAGUUAUGAAAUGUGACUUAGUAGUUUAUGAUGGAAUGAUAAACAUGUCAGAUUAAUAGGCUUGCUUGGGCUUAAUGGAUUACGUCCAUUGGGCCCAUGCGCCGUCAUGGUCCGAAAUUUGGGUCGUGAUAAGAAACGCCCACAAAUCUAAUUACUAGCCAUUAUCAACAACUUAAAAAUCAACCCUAACUCAUUACUCAUUGUCACAGCCCAAUUCCCGAGCUAUGAUUAGUGCAAGGACCCAAUAGGCAUAGCCCACUAGGCCCAAACAAGCUUUUCUAUAAGAACUUGUACAUUCGUCCAUCUAUCAUGCAUAUCUCUUUAAGAUCUAUACUUAAUAGGGUUCGAAUGCCAAUUUCUUCGAAAGCAAUUCAUAGAACCCAAGUAAAUACUCACAUUGGCACCAUAAAUCAAAAUAUACAUAGAUAGUUUGUCAAAUGUAUCUUAACAAUUCACAUUAAGCAUAUAUGUGCAUAUACAAAGACCUUGAUUGCCCGCGGAGUGACUCUGGGCGUGGGUGCUAACAUUUAGUGUCAUGGAGAUCUACCGAAAAACAGAUAAGAGGAAACACCUCAGCCUAGGAAUCCAACUACCUUCGAACCUGAAAACUAAAACAUGAAGUUGAAAAUAAUGAGUAUAAACUCAGUGAGUGAACAUAGGAAAGGAACAAGCAUCAAUACAGGAAGUUUUAGAAAACAUGAUGCACUUAUGUUGAAAACAAUGCAAUUUUGUUUAAUUUCUUAUAACAACGAAAAUCCAUUUUUACUGCAGUGGUAAAAUCAAUUGGAAAACAUAUCUUAAAUUUUAACAUUCAAUGCAAGCACAAUAUAAUUUCCAUAACCUCUCUAUAUAUAACAUAUAUAAACAUACAUACGACCACCGGCAUCACCCCAACUCUCCCUUAGCUCAUGUGCACUCCCACACCGCACAUAGCUAGGUCAUCAUCAGCUCAUGUGCACUCCCACACUGCACAUAGCUGAGUCAUCAUCAGCUCAUGUUCACUCCCACACCGCACAUAGCUGGGUCAUCAUUAGCUUAUGUGCACUCCUACACCGCACAUAGCUAAGUCAUAAUUAUAACACAAUAGUAUCAUUCAAUGCAUAACAUUGACAUCAACAUAAUGUGGAAACACAAGAAUUCAUCACAUUCAUAUUUCACAACAUAAAAACGCUUCAUUAAGGGCUUGUUCCCAUGCAAAUUUUAAAGAAAAACCAACCAAAUAUCUGAAGUGGUUCAAUCAAGCACAUAAUCAUUUAUUCCAAAACAUUUUGAUGCAAGUUCACUCACCUUACGAUAGCGGGAUGUUACAUCGUUAUUAGUUUGAAGGCGUAUCUAGCUAUUUCUACUUGCUGAUCGUUCAUUAUCUCCUCAAACACGCUACCACAGUACACUACCUUUACUUUUGUACUUCCUAGCAAUAAUCCAAAUUCAACAUCUUUAGUGGACCUCAUUUCUACUUCUCUUUUUCCUUCAAUCAUGAAUCCUUGUUCAACUAACUUAUAUCUUGACACAUUUUUUACCAAAGUGGCCUUUAUCCUUUACUUGCGUAAUUCUUUAGAUUAUGGAUACCGACAACUUAUAUAUAACUUUAGCACAUAUAUAAAUCUUGUCUAAGGAUAUUUAUCAAGUUUAUCCAUCAUUUCCACAAUAAUUACCUAGCAUAUGGUAGAAACUAUAAAUUUACUUUCAUCAAACAUUUUCUAAGUCUACAUGUACCACCAUCCUCAUUUACAUGUUGCUACCAAGCAUAACAUUAAUAUUCAUUCAUGCACACCAACAUCCAUAACCUUUUAAACCUUUCCUAACAACACAUAUCUACACACCAAACUUCCAAUUAAUAUAAUUGCCUUCCAACCAUACCCAUGACAUCACAAUAACACUACAUAUGCAUACAAUCAUUCUCAUAAUAUAAAACCAAUCAUAGGCUUCAAAUUGUACCAUUAAGCUUACCGUUUGGUUUUAGCUUGGAUUUCACCCAACAAAAUUCAUAAUUUCCUCACACCCAUGGCCACCAAAGCUGCUACAAAAUGAUUCACACAUUAUUUCUCCAAAGAUUUAACCAACCAUGAGCUUAAAACAAAAAAAUCCUUACCUUAUGUUUCUUGAAUCUUGAGACCCACUUGAUAUUUCUUCAAUUACUCUUGAAUAACUCACUACCCAAGCCUUUCACUUUUCUCUCCUUUCUUUUCUUGGCCGAUUCUUUCUAUUUUUCUUUUCAAAUGCAUGGUGGCAAGGUGAAAUGGCAUGGGAGCAUGAAAAUGGCAUUGAGAGCAUGAAGGUGGAGGAGAAAAUAUCUUUUGGCUAGAGAUAAGAACCAGACAUGGGAUAAGGACAAAAAGUCAAAGCUUUAUUUUGGAAGCUUUGACCAACUAAUGGCAAAAUUAUCAUUUUGCCCUGCAAGGUUUUCACCCUUUUUAAUUGUAUCCUCCCACAAUCUUUUAAUUCCAAUUUCUUUCCUUUUUUCUUCCUUAACACUUGUAUCAAUAAAAUAUCAAGUUUAUGUUUCAACGCGGUAUCACUGCAAUAUUUAAAUAUUUACUUACCCGUGCUAGUUUUAUUUAAUAAAGACACACGGGCUCCAUUAACGUCAAUUUUCUCCAAAAUUUUCUCAUUCUUCUUCUCCACCACUUUGAUUGACCAUAUACUCCUUUUUGAUGGAAAAUUUUGACACUGAACAAAAUAUUAUUAUUUUAAUAUUAUUUUAUUCCAACAAUUUCCACUUGACUCCUUGACACCCAAAAUGUCUUAUUAUGCCCCGAUUCACUCUCGAAUAACUUUUUAUCUUGCUAAUUCAUCCUCAAUAAAAAUAUUAUUAUUUAAUUGUUAUUUCCUCGCGUGCGAAAUAUUUUAUUCCAAACUAUGCCUUUCACCCUUAAUCAGUUUUAAACACUCUAAUUAACCUUAAUUGGCAUCCGAUAAGCUUUAUUAGCCAACAUAUCAAAGUAUGGGGUGUUACACUCACCUUGGUGAACUUGUAGUUGAAUCCUUUAGUGAGAAUUUAAGAGAGAAAAUUCUUUUAAGGGUUUUCUCAAGCUAUUUUGAAGAGUCUCUCUCUUUAAAAUGUUCAGCUAGUGAGAGAAAGUGCAUAGGAAAAACUUUUUGAGAGUUUUUUAGGUGAAAAAGUGAAAGAGAAUGAAAAAUCCUAUGAAAAAGUGUACCAAAAACAUGAGAUUUGGGGUUACUAUAAGAAGGUUAUUGAGGUUUUAAGGGUGGCCUCCAUGGAAGAUGGAAAACUUGAAAUGGGAAAGAAGGGUGGGAAGAAGAAGAAUAAGCUGCUGGAAUGAGGAGAAAGUGCUAGAACUUUAGAUAUUUAUCUCUAAAGUUAGUCAAAGUUUCACAUAAUUUACAAAAAUGCCCUUUUUUAUUCUUCUAGUGCAGUGCUUUCACUUUGACAAAGAUUUUGACCACCUUCCGAUCAGAUCUGGCUAAAGUGGUAAACAUCAAAGUUUUAGCCUUGCCUCUUAUAUUUCUAAUGGUUUCAAAAUCAUGUUAUUUGGACUUCUGUAGUGAGAGAUAUACUUGAAAAAUCAAAAUAUAUGCAAAUAGAGCAACAGUUAAUUAUGCACUUUUCUUCACCAAUUGAAAUUAUUUUUGAUCCUAUUCCUAUAAAAACAUAAAAUAAAUAUAAAUAACAUAAAACUAAUAUUAUUAAAUUAAAAUAAAUAUUUAAAUAUAAAUUAAACUAAACUAAUAAAAUAAAUAAAAAUACCUAAAUUUGAUCCUAAAUCUAGUCCAACUUAGACUAAUUAGGUAUUUAAUCUCCCAUUAAAUAUAUGAAUUUGAUGCACUCAACAGUCUACCUCUAGUUACGCGUCUAUGGAGGUCGAGGUUUCACAUUUGUAUACUUAGAGUGUGCGAGACACUCUAAGGGAAUUUAUUCAAGCUUGGAUUGCUUGAUUGGGUGUAUAGGUUCUAACUUAGCUUAGAAAGGUUAGUUUGGGUUUUGGUUGGUCUCGAGAAAAACCAUUAUAAAAGGUUAUGGCUAAGCUUGCUAAAAGCAAUUGUAAAGCUUGGUGGGAGCUUGGGAAUUCCACUGUUUUAGUGAGUUGAUUUCGAAAAUCCUUGGUUGAACAAUCAAGGUAGUGGAUGUAGGUCUUUGACCGAACAAAUCUAAAUUCUGAUGCAUUGUCUGCCUUGUUUCUGUUUUUGUUUUCAUUUCUUCUUAAAUUAUUCUCUCAUCUUGCUUCAGACUUCUCAUUGUUAAUCCUUAACGUACACAAAAUUAGAAGUCAAUUUUGUACGAGCCAAAAAGUGCUAUUCACCCCCCUUUUAGCAUAAUUACUUGGGACCAACAAGUGGUAUCAGAGCCUAUCCCUCUUUCUCAAGGCUUAACAUCCUAAGGGAUCCUAAUGACUCUUCAAAAAUCAGUAGUUGCUGAGGGAUAAUAAGCAAAUAGACCACCUUUGUUUGAUGGCUGAAAUUACCCCUAUUGGAGUACUAGAAUGUCAAUAUAUAUAAGGGCAAUAGACUAUGAGAUGUGGGAUAUCAUUACUGAUGGACCCUUCAUUUGUUAAACCUUAAACGUAGUGACCAACGAGAUGAUUCUUAAGCUAAGGUCUUAAUGGACCGAAGCUGAAGCCAAAAGAGUCCAAACAAAUUUUAAAGCAAUCAAAACACUACAUUGUACUUUAACUCCGACUAAAUUCAACAAAGUGUCAAGCUAUACCACAGCUAAACAAGUGUGAGACAAACUUAGGAUUAUUCAUGAAGGGACUUCACAAGUUAAGGAGUCCAAAAUAGCUCUCUUAACCCACAACUAUGAGAUGUUUAAGAUGAAACUUGGUGAAAAUAUCACUAGUAUGCUAGAUAGGUUCACAAACAUCACAAAUAAACUUACUCAACUAGGCAAACCAAUUCCUGAACAUGAAAUUGUCAAAAGAAUUCUGAAAAGCCUACCUAAAAAUUGGAAGCCAAAGGUGACCGCCAUUCGUGAAGCCAAAGACUUAAAUGUCAUAACCCUUGAUGAAAUUUGUGGGUCUCUUCUCACUCACAAGCUGGAACUUAAGGAAAAGGAAGAAGAAGACAAGAUAGAAGCUAAAGAAAAGAAGAAAAGCAUUGCCUUAAAAGCCAUCAUCCUUGAAGAAGAAUUAAAUAAUCUAUCUUGUGAUGAUGAUGAGGAGCAAGCUAUAGUUCCAAGAAGGUUUAGAAAGCUUAUAGGCCAAAGAAAUCGGAGAUUGGCUAAGAAAAGGUAUAGAAGAGAUCAAGGCUCUUCAUGGAGAACCAAAAAUAAAAAUGAGUCCAACAAGAAAGAUGUCACAGCCCAAUUUCCAGGCCAUGACCGGUGCAAGGGCCUAAUAAGCAUAACCCACUAGGCUCUAGCAAGCCUUCCUGUAUAAAGCUAUACAUUAGCCCAUUUAUCAUCCAUAUUCCCUUUUAAGAUCUAUAACUCAUAAUGUUCAAAUAAUAACUUCAUUGAAAUCAAUUCAUAAAAUCCAAGCUUAUACUUAUAAUGGUAUUCAUCAAUCAUACUAUACAUAAAUAGUUUACCAAACGAUUCUUAGCAAAUUACAUCCAGUUUACAUGUACACAUUCAAAGACUUUAACUGUUAGUGGAGUAACUCUGGGCAUGGGUGAUAACACUUAGUAUCAUGGCAAACCUAUCGAACAAUGGAUAUGGAGGAUCACCUCAUCCUAGGAUCCAGUCACCUUUGACUCAGAAACCUAAAACAUGAAGUUUAAAAACGUGAGAAUAAACCUAGUGAGUGAACAUAAAAAGGGAACAAGCAAGCAGUACGGAAAGUUUAGAAAACAUGAUGCACUUAUUUUAAAAACAAUUCAAUUUAGUUUAAUUUCUUGUUUAAACCCCAUAAUUUAGCCUUUGAUUAUUUAGUCUUUUAAUGUUGAAAAAAAAUCCAUGAUUAACCAUGAAGUUGGAAGGUGAAAAUUAUUGCAAAUAUCCACACAAAAUAGAAAGUUUCUCAUCGUGGUGAAAAUGGAAUUUCACUGCAGUGAGAAUAAUGCCUACCGCGCACACACAAAAUAUUCUCACCGUGACGAAAAUGGAAUUUCACUAUAGUGAGAAUAGUGUUUGCCACACUCAAAAAUUUCUCGCUACGACAAAAAUGAAAUUUCGCUACAGCGAAAUUUAGGGCAAGUGGAAUUAUGGGGAUUUUUGCUGUAUUAAAAAUCUGUUCCUGAUGGAAUGAAAGUCAAAUUGAACACAUUUGACAAUAAUCAAUUUUUCAACAUUCAAUCCAAGCACAUAUUAUUUUCAUAACCUUUUCUAUAGCAUAUAAAAACAUAUUUAUAGCAUAUAUAUAUACAAGCACGUAUACAACCACCACCUCACCCAACUCAUGUGCACUCUGCACGACAUAUAGCCGGAGUCAUCGUGUGCACCCCCACAUCGCACACAACUAAUGCCAUCAUGUGCUUCCCCCACAUCACGCACAUGGCAUAUAUCAUCAUCAUCGUGUGCAAUCCCACAUCGCGCAUAACUAAUGCCAUCAUGUGCUCCCCCCACAUCGCACACAUAGGCAAUCUCAUCAUCAUCGUGUGCACCCCCACAUCGCGCACAACUAAUGCCAUCAUGUGCUCCCCCCACAUCGCGCACAUAGGCAAUCUCAUCAUCAUCGUGUGCACCCCCACAUCGUGCACAACUAAUGCCAUCAUGUGCUCCCCCACAUCGCGCACAUAGGCAAUCUCAUCAUCCACACUCCCUCACCCCGUUAUCACCGACAUGUGCACUCCCACACCGCACAUGCACGGUCAUAAUUAUCAACACACAACAUAUAUAUAUAUAUAUAUAUAUACAUAUACUAACAUAAUACAGUAGCACAUGGAUUUGUCACAGUCACAUUUCACAACGUAGAAACAUUUCAUCAAGGGCUUGUUCCCAUGCAUGUUUUUAAGAAAAGACAAAUAAAUUCUUUCAUGUGAUUCAUUCAACACACAUAUCGAUAUCCCAAAACAUUUAAAUGCAAGUUCACUCACCGGUCUUUGUUGAUGCUUUGAUUGACUCUAACUUUGACCAAUACUCCGAAUGGAGAUGUGGGAUCUCGUUGGAACCUAUCACACCCAAUAGCAUCUCAAUCACCCAAAUUGGCAUUAAUAUAAUUCCAAAAGCUAUUUUCAAACUCAAGUUCAGCUAGUUAUUCCUAACUAGCUUCCAAUCACCAUUAAGUGGCUAUUUAUUUCACUACUCUAGUCACCCUAAAAAUGAAAAAACAACCUCAACAAUAAAACACUCAUAAUUCCAUUGUUAGCCAUUAUCAACAUCUUAAAAAUAAAUCCUAACUUAUUACUCACCUUAGGGUUUUUUCGUAGUUGAAUUCCUUUUCAAAAGCUUUCAAAGUAUUAUGGGAAAUCUCUUUCUCUUUUUCUCUCUCUAAAAUGUCUAGCUAGUGAGAGAAAGUAUUAAGGAAAGGUUUUUGAGGAUUCUUAAGGUGUAGAAAUAGAAGAGCAUGAAAAACCCUAUGAAAGAGUGGGCAAAAGCAUGAAACUUGGACUUUCUAUGAGAGAUUUAUGGAGGAUUCAAGAUUUCUUCUCAUGGAAAAUGAAAAAAAACAUGAAAUGGAGAGAAGGAAUGGGAUGAAGAAGAAAAGCUGCUGAAAGUUGCUGGAACUUAGAUUUUUGUGCUUCAAGUUAAUCCAAAUUUCACUUAAUUUACCAAAAUACCCUUAACACGGUGGCUUUGUCUUCCUCCCAUCCUUUAUGCAACCUUUUUACUCUUUUGACAUUGAGACAAAGUCCAUAAUAGUCUAAAAAUACUCAGGUUCACGAAAACAUAAAAAUUUAAACUCGAGAUGUAAGAUGACCAUUUUGCCCCUACUACGGAAAUUAUCAGUGUUUUUAUCUUUUUCAUUUAUUUUACCAUCAUUCAUUUAUUCCUUAGGCUUACUUAGACCUUAAUAACAUUAGAAAACUACUUCUAGGAGCUCACCAUAAGAAAUGAUGAAAUUACCCUUAGUUCGUGUUAUUGAGUUUACUUCUAGCUACGAGUCUGUGGAGGUCGAGGUUUCACAAUACGAGGGUACUGGGUGUCACCGUCUCCCCCACUUAAAUAGAAUUCAUCCUUGAUUUCACAUCGGUGUCAAGUUAUUAAUCUCACUCUAUGAUCUUAUUUUGUUCCUUCCUUUAUAGGGAAUUUUGAUUUAUGCACUUCGUUACCUUCCGUUCGACUAAAACAUUUUACAAGAUCAAGGUACGUAACUUAUAUCUAUUAUUAUCUUUGAGUUAGAACCAUGGUAUUUUUCACUAAUGUUCUCUUUUUUAUCAUUAAGCCGCCGAGCAUGCUUUUGUCUUCCAUCAUUAACCUCGAAUCAUAACUCCAGCUCAAUCAUAGCGAUUUUGAUCAUAUAUAUACUCACUUAUGUACACCUAAUCAUCAUCUUAUUACCUCAUUCCCUGUCAACUCCCCGACAUUCUGUCAUGACCUGGUACUCCCCUCGAGCCCGUGACAACCGCCAUGGUGUCUUGAUAGACACUUAUUACCCAGAAUGCCAACCGAAACCCCGCAAGGCUUUAAUAUCAAUUUCUCAUUUCCCCUGUGAGUAACCGCUACCAAAUAUCACGUUCUAAAAGAUUUUAAACUAUUUCCAACUUAAAACAAUAAAAAAAUAAUUUUCGUCUCACAAGGGUAUUUUAGUCAUUUUUCCUUGAAAAUUUUGAAACCCGCUAAUAAUGUAGUAUACGGUGCAAAACACAUAUUUCAUAAUCAAAAAUAAAUUUGGAUGUCUAAAACAUUCGUUUAAAAUAAAAUUAUGACUACUAGAAUAAAAUAAAAAUAUUGAAUAAAAUAUUCAAUUUUCUCAUAAAAUAAUAUUUUUAUAGAAUACUGCAUAAAUAAUUUUUACAGCAUAAAAGCAAAAUAAAUUCAUAUAUAUCGUAAUACAGUAAGCCAGAGUAUUUAAUUUAAUUUACAGUAACAAGUGGGCCUUCGAAUAACCAAAAGUAAGAAAGAUUGUGAACCUACAGUUUGGAGGAUGCAAAUCCAAUGGUGGUCCUCGAUAAAAUCAGCUAUCUAUAGACUAUCUUGAGCCUGAAAUGGGUGGAAAGGAGGGUGGUGAGAUUAUAUAAUCCCAGUGAGUAAACAAACAUAAUUCAAAAUAUCUAAAGUCGAGUAAAAGGAGACGAUUAAAAUAUUACAUCCAAAUAUCCAUUUCAUAACAUAAAUAUUCAUUUCAUUUAAAUAAUCAAUAUGGCUUAUGAAUAUCUUAAAACUUGGCUGAUGCGAAAAACUCAUACUCGGUGACACCUUGAUCAUAGGUAUCCAACCAAGUCCGCCAAGGCUGUUACAAAGUUAUGUAUGCACAAAACAUGUUUUUAUUUUGAAACAUAGCCGUUCCUUGGCGUUAGCGGAGUUCAUCAUCACAAGGUGGUUUGGCAUGAUGUGAACUCUAACCAUGCCUCAGGAGAUACCCUACGCACCUCUCCGAUCGAGGUACAUAUAUAUAACCAAAUUUUGUGCCCCUCUAAUAGGCUGGUCCACAGAACUCGCACACUGCAACAAGCUAAACCCACCAUAUAAUCAGAUUUGCGAUAGCAUGACAUGGCAAUUAUUUUAUUUUACAGCCUCUCAAGGCAAAUCAAUAGUUUAUACAUUUUCAGCACAUUUACCAAAUCAACCAUUCAUGCCAAUAUUGCCAUAAGCCAAUAAAUUAAAACCAUAAAUUUAUAACACAUCAAGUGGUCUCCAAUUACUCUAUUUUCAAAACCAUCAUUUAACCUCAAGACAAUUUAUCAAAUCUCUUCAUCUAAACACAUUUUGUUUAUAAAACAUAAAGAUUUACCAUUAAAAUUCAUUUUCAUAAAAUUUCACCAAAACCGAAUAAAAUCAUACUUUAGAUAAUUAAAAUAAUGAUAAGAUUACUCACCUCACAAUAGCGAGAUUACUACGUCGCUAUUGAUUCGUAUGUGUGUAUAAUUAUUCCUAAUUGCCAAUCAUAUGCUUCGUUUGUCACGCUUCCACAACAACUUUCCUAGCAACAAUUUAAACCCAAUACACUUAGUGCAUCAAUUCCACUUCUCUCUCUCAUUCUAUCAUAAAUCCACAUUAUUUCUCCUCAUUUCUUCCAAUAUUUUACCAUUUAACUUAACACUCUCAACCAAAUUAUGCAUCUAAAUUCCUCCGACAUCAAUAAUUCUUCACAACGAAUCAUUUAAAAUUUCUUAACUUCAUUCAAGCACUAUUAGUAAAUUUCACAUUUUCUUCUUUACUUUAGUCCAAUGACACCUCCUAAUAAAAUAUUUAAAUAUUGUAUUAAAGUAAUUUAAAUUUAAUUCAUAUCACUAAGAAUUAAAAAUUUAAUUAAACAAAUGGCUAACUUAAAAUAAUACAAUUUCAUAAUAGGCCAAAUAAAAGCAAAGAAAAUUUUCUUUACCUAUUUGGACUAGAUUAGUCCAAGUCCAAUUUUUUCCACCUUUACUCUCUCUUGGGCUUUUCCUUCUUUAUGGCUAUUGGGCCCUUUUUAUGGUUUCUCCCCAACUUUUUUCUAUUGGGCCAUGCCCAUUUUUCUUUCUUGUUGGGCCAUGCCCACUCUUUUUUNGCCCUACUUUCUUUUUUUUUCCUUUUCUUUUCUUUUCUUUCUUUCUUUCUUUCUUUCACCGUCCAACAGCACCUUGCUUGUCUUUCUUUUUCUUUUCUCACAUGCACAAGCUGUCCACAAUUUCUUCCUCUCUCUCCCUCUCACCGCAGGCCACAAUUUCUUGCUUCUUUCAGCCAAAAAUUUUCAACAGCCAAAGCUGCUCAUAUUGACUUCAAAAUCAGCAGCUAAGCUGCUUUAUUUCUCCCCAAAAAUCAGCAACUUAACUGCACUAUUCUCUAUCAAAAAUCAGCAGCCAAAGCCACAAAGAUUAACAACCAAACCGCACCUUUCAGCCUUCAAAAUCAACAACUAAAACCAUACCGUUCAGCCUUCAAAAUCAGUAGCAAAAAUUACACUUUUCAACCUUCAAAAUCAGCAACAAAAGCUGCUCCUCUCACCCUUUAAAUUGACAAAAAAUAGCUCUCUUUUGCUCCUUAAAUGGCAGCAAAACCGCCCCUCUCAACUCAACUCUUCCACCUUUCUUUUCUUCCUCACCUCUCGACCUUCUCUAGUUUCUUUUUGCUCUUUUUGCUCACGCCUUCUUCUUGUUUCUUUUUCUUUUCUUCACUAACCGACUUCUCUUUUCUUCUAUGUCUUCUUCACUUUACUUAUUGAAUUAUAUAUAUAUAUAUAUAUUUUAUUCUCCAUUUUGUUCUAACUUGGCCGGCCCAUUACACCUUUAUUUCUUUUCCUUUUGUUCCACAUGGCCGAGCCCCUUCCAUCAAUUUAAUUAAAGAGUGUUUUGACUGUUUUUAUUGACCACAUGGGCGGUUGCCCAUGUUGGUCUUCCUUUAGUUAUUUUAUUUUAUUAUUAUUUUUUAUAUACAUACUUGUAUUAUUAUUUUUACUAUUUGUUUAUUUUAUCUCCUCCAUUUAAUUUCUCUACAUAAUCCUUCAACUUUUAUAUUUUAAAUUCAAUCCCUUUGAUGCGUCUAAAAAUUUCAAUUUUCAUCUAUCUUCCUUUCUCUGUAUGUGUACCACCAAAAUAUCAAAAUUGCACUUCAAUGCGGUAUUACCAUAAUAUUUAAAUAUUUACUUAUCUACCUUGGCUCGACUUAGCAAAACAUGUGUAUUUUACUUUUGUCGCUCAUUUUUCAAAAAUUUGCUUGUAUUUCUUCUCCCCCACUUGGAUCAACCAUAUGAUCCUUCUUCAUGACUGAUUUCAACAUCCGGUUAAAUAUUAAUAUUUUAAUAUUAUUUUAUUAAUAAAAUAAUAUUUUAUUCUAAAAAUUUUCUCUUGUCUCCCUGGUACCCAAAAUACUUUAUUUUGCCUCAAUUGACUUCUGAAUCACCCUUUUAUCUCACAAAUUCUCCUCCGAUAAAAUAUUAUUAUUUUAUUAUUAUUUUCUCGCAUGCGGAUCAUUUUAUCUUAAGCUACUCCUUUCAUCUUCCAUCACGUUUAAACAUUAUAAUUGGCCUCAAUUCGCAUCUGAUAAGCUUUAUUUGUCACCAUGUCAAAGUAUGGGGUAUUAAACAUUCAUUCCUUCAUUUUAUCCCCAUACACUAUUGCAUAACUUAUGGCAUUAUAAACAUGUCCUACUCAUUCCUAUACAUAUUUUCAACAUCAGGGGGAAUUGAAUCUUUCAACCAUUCCCUCACUUUUCAUGUUUAUUUCGUAUUUAUGAAACUUAAAUCUUCUUAAUCAUAUUAGUCCAUUUUGCAUGUCUUAAUCACGCUAUAGAUUACAUUCCCUUGAUACCAUUUCUUUGACUGUUUCUUUAAAUUUCUUAUAUCAACAUAGCUCAACUUCCGAUGAGAUCUCUUUUUGUUGUACUAUCCAUAUAACUCAUCAAAUAUAUCAUGUUCAAAUUUCAAAUCACUAAGAACAAUUCUUUACCUUAGUUGGGUACAUCAUCAAUUCCACACAUACGUAUGUACAUGCACUUUUGAAUGUCAACAUUCCUCAUUAUGUGUGGGGAUCCUUGUGUUCAAGCACCUUCGAGCUAAAUUUCGCUUCUAUUCAUUCCUAUCCAUAACCAAGAUUCAAUAUAAUAAGUCUCAUACUACAUGUCAACAUUCUCAUAUUUAAUCUACGAACAUUGGGGUAAAAUCAAUUUUUGAUUGCCCUUUUUAGAUGUUUAAAUUACCAUUCAAUUUGCGUCUUACCAUAAGUUAUCUCUUACAUAAUCCAUACGAAUUCUCAUCAUGCCUACGCAUAACUUCACAUCAUUUGCAUGCUUAUACUCCCUUCUUAUCACUUUUAACUAUAUACUUAAGUUUCAUUGUACUAUAUAUCCUUACACCACAAUGUCAUUAGUCACAUUGCACUUACUAAAUACAUUUUCAUUAUCUUGCAAUCCAGUAUGCGUAUAUGCUUUAUAACCUCAUUGAUCCUUCAAAGGUUCAUCUUUUCUUGAUCAUUGCAUCUUAUGCAAUAUCAUAAUCCCUAAAAGUCAUCCUUAUAUAUCCCUUUUGCAAUUCGACAUUAACUAGUCACUUAAGAUUUAAACUCAUUCGAAUCAUGCGUGCCUCAUGCAUUUCCGAAUUCUAAUUUCCAUAAUACAUUAGAAGGUUUCCAUUAUCCAACUUCAUUAUCAAGGUUACCUUCAAUCAUCUUUUACACUAUUCUUUUAUACCAAUAUAACAUCAGUCUCUCUUAGCCAAUUUACAAUUUGCACUUGAAAUGGCAAGACUUCAAACAAGGUUUUUUUUUUCUCCGAUACUUCUCAAUAUCAAUGUGAGUAUCACUUUUAGCUUACGACGUUCUUUGUGUAAUCACAUAACUUAAUGCUUGUUUUCACAAGACUCAUAGAAAGAUUCCUUUUGAGUAUUUCCUUAUGGAUACUUAUCUGAAACUUAUGUCUCAUCGCCUAUGAUCACUUAACCUGUGAUUUACUUGUUAGGCUCUUCAGCAAGUUUCAAAAUUUCAUAUAUUAUUUUAACUGCGUACGUUUGAUAAUUCCUUUUCAAGAAUGUUCAUAUUUUCCUGAAACACUUAAUCACUUAUUUGCUCUUUAACAUUCCAAGCAUAUCAUUCCAAAAGACAUGCACUAUUCACCAAGAUAUUUUAAUGCAUACUCAUUUCUUCAAUCCUCAGUUUAUAUUCAUAGAUUUCUAGUAUGCCAUAUAAUUUGUCUUGUGUUGUUACUAAUCCUUUCCAUUCAACUAAGUCAAGACAAGAUUUGUAAUUCCUCAUAACGAUACUUUACAUUAACUCAUUUUCUAUGUACGCUUGUAAUUCUUCAUUCACACUUUCAUUAUUUGGUUUUGACGUCCCUUAUCAAUGUCUCAUAUGUUCAUCCAACUUUUCACUCACUUUUUUCUUAGCCUUUAACAAGGCUUAAUCUUUUGUCUACUUUAUUUCUUAGGAUUUAACUUUAGUCAACAUAUUUUUUUAUUUUGUUUUCGUCUUAAUACUUCACGUGGUAAUUUACCUCAAUAUAGCCAUCUCAAGAACUCUCUAACUCCUCUUUUACUUACAUGCCAACAUAUCAGGCAAUAAAGAAACUUUUCAAUUUACUCGUAUAAACACUUUUCCAACACACUUGAAACUCCAAAUAACAAAGCUCAACAUUAAGAUUAAUGGCCAUAGUUCAACUUGCAAGUUUUAUCUUCAUGCCACUCACCAUUUGCUCGUGCUUUCUAGCCAUGAGAGCGUCUUAAUGCGGUAACUUUGGGUAAUCAGCACUACGAUGUUGUAGCUGUUAGAAUUUACCUUAUCAAAUUGAUUCUUCUGCCUUUAAGGCUACUACACUAAUCAUUCUUAACCGCAUGGCUUUCUCUUAAGCCUAUACCAUAGUUUCCAUCAGCAUGUAUAUCUUCAUUUUGCUUAUCAUAUGCUCUAGGCCAAGUUGAUACCUUUAACUCAUAUUAUCUUGUAACUCUUAUCAUUGAUCACUAAGUCCCACCUUAGGAUAUCCUUUCCAUAUGGUGUAAUGAAUUCACAACAUACAUAUCACUACACACAUAAUUAUUCAUUAUUUAUGGCAUCCCACAAUUCUUACCAUCCAUAAUUAAUUGUCUUUCUUGUCUAGUAACUCAAAUAGUUAUUGACUUUUAGUACAAAUGAUCAUAAAAAUAAUUCAUUGUUCUCCAUAUUCUACAUUCACAAUCUUUAUCAAAUCAAGAAUUCAUCUUUCCCAAGUUCCAUAAUUUACCUCCAAUGGGCUAUAUUUGUGUCAGAUUAUCAUUUUAUAAUGUUACGGCAUCAUUUUUAUAAUUCCCUCCAUACUUAAGUUUACAAUCCUUGACUUAAUCACGUUACCCAUUCAAAGUGUCACCUAUAGUCUCACUAAUUUCUCCCAUUAUUCAUCUUAAUAACUUUCGACCUUUCACAACACACUCCCCAUACAUGUUAGGGCAUUCUCAAUCUCAUACCAAGCUUAUAGUCAUAUAACCACUAAUUAGGCUAAGUUCUUCUAUGGGAUAUCUCCUUCCAUAUGACGCAUGGGGAUCACAAGAUGUACAACUCCAAGUGUAUGUCUACAUAUUGAUAACCUCCAUAUAUUGCAUGAUCAGGAAACCCACAAUUUGCACAACUAGCUUUCUAUCACAAGUUCGUGAUCGGAACAUUAAUCUCAACAUAUCUAUUCCACAUUGGGUGGCAUGUCAAAAUCACCCUUUGAACACAUUUCACAACUAACAUUCACACACCUUGACCAUGACAUUUAGUGCAAAUUUGAUGAACCAAUGAUCUCUAAAUAACUCUUAGGUACAUAAAUAUCAAAGUGUACAUCACUUUGAUUUGCGAGCUUAACUUCACUCAUCAAUCCUUAACCGUUAACAUUCGUAAGGUGGACAAUUCACUUAUGUCACGACCCGGUACUCCCUUCGACUCUGUGACAUUCGUCGCGAUGUCUCGAUAGACAUUCAUUACCCGAAAUGUCAACCGAAACCUCGCAAGGCUCUCGCAUUAGUUUUACAUCUCCCUUGUGAGCAAUAGUUACUAAAUAUCAUGUUUUAAGGGAAUAUAAACUAUUUUUAAAUCAAAACAAACAAAAAAUAAUAAUUUCUGCCACACAAAGGUAUUUUGGUCAUUUUUACCCAAAAAUUUUGAAACAUGGUCUAAAUAUGAUAUACGAGUAAUAAGCAUCCAUUUCAUGUCUAAAAAUAAGUUUCGUUGUCUAAUUCAUCAAUUUAAAGUGAAAUUAUAGCUAUUCAAAUUAAAUAAAAAUAUUAAAUAAAAUAUUCUAUUUUCUUAUAAAACAAUAUUUAUAGAACUCUGNNNNNNNNNNNNNNNNNNNNNNNNNNNNNNNNNNNNNNNNNNNNNNNNNNNNNNNNNNNNNNNNNNNNNNNNNNNNNNNNNNNNNNNNNNNNNNNNNNNNNNNNNNNNNNNNNNNNNNNNNNNNNNNNNNNNNNNNNNNNNNNNNNNNNNNNNNNNNNNNNNNNNNNNNNNNNNNNNNNNNNNNNNNNNNNNNNNNNNNNNNNNNNNNNNNNNNNNNNNNNNNNNNNNNNNNNNNNNNNNNNNNNNNNNNNNNNNNNNNNNNNNNNNNNNNNNNNNNNNNNNNNNNNNNNNNNNNNNNNNNNNNNNNNNNNNNNNNNNNNNNNNNNNNNNNNNNNNNNNNNNNNNNNNNNNNNNNNNNNNNNNNNNNNNNNNNNNNNNNNNNNNNNNNNNNNNNNNNNNNNNNNNNNNNNNNNNNNNNNNNNNNNNNNNNNNNNNNNNNNNNNNNNNNNNNNNNNNNNNNNNNNNNNNNNNNNNNNNNNNNNNNNNNNNNNNNNNNNNNNNNNNNNNNNNNNNNNNNNNNNNNNNNNNNNNNNNNNNNNNNNNNNNNNNNNNNNNNNNNNNNNNNNNNNNNNNNNNNNNNNNNNNNNNNNNNNNNNNNNNNNNNNNNNNNNNNNNNNNNNNNNNNNNNNNNNNNNNNNNNNNNNNNNNNNNNNNNNNNNNNNNNNNNNNNNNNNNNNNNNNNNNNNNNNNNNNNNNNNNNNNNNNNNNNNNNNNNNNNNNNNNNNNNNNNNNNNNNNNNNNNNNNNNNNNNNNNNNNNNNNNNNNNNNNNNNNNNNNNNNNNNNNNNNNNNNNNNNNNNNNNNNNNNNNNNNNNNNNNNNNNNNNNNNNNNNNNNNNNNNNNNNNNNNNNNNNNNNNNNNNNNNNNNNNNNNNNNNNNNNNNNNNNNNNNNNNNNNNNNNNNNNNNNNNNNNNNNNNNNNNNNNNNNNNNNNNNNNNNNNNNNNNNNNNNNNNNNNNNNNNNNNNNNNNNNNNNNNNNNNNNNNNNNNNNNNNNNNNNNNNNNNNNNNNNNNNNNNNNNNNNNNNNNNNNNNNNNNNNNNNNNNNNNNNNNNNNNNNNNNNNNNNNNNNNNNNNNNNNNNNNNNNNNNNNNNNNNNNNNNNNNNNNNNNNNNNNNNNNNNNNNNNNNNNNNNNNNNNNNNNNNNNNNNNNNNNNNNNNNNNNNNNNNNNNNNNNNNNNNNNNNNNNNNNNNNNNNNNNNNNNNNNNNNNNNNNNNNNNNNNNNNNNNNNNNNNNNNNNNNNNNNNNNNNNNNNNNNNNNNNNNNNNNNNNNNNNNNNNNNNNNNNNNNNNNNNNNNNNNNNNNNNNNNNNNNNNNNNNNNNNNNNNNNNNNNNNNNNNNNNNNNNNNNNNNNNNNNNNNNNNNNNNNNNNNNNNNNNNNNNNNNNNNNNNNNNNNNNNNNNNNNNNNNNNNNNNNNNNNNNNNNNNNNNNNNNNNNNNNNNNNNNNNNNNNNNNNNNNNNNNNNNNNNNNNNNNNNNNNNNNNNNNNNNNNNNNNNNNNNNNNNNNNNNNNNNNNNNNNNNNNNNNNNNNNNNNNNNNNNNNNNNNNNNNNNNNNNNNNNNNNNNNNNNNNNNNNNNNNNNNNNNNNNNNNNNNNNNNNNNNNNNNNNNNNNNNNNNNNNNNNNNNNNNNNNNNNNNNNNNNNNNNNNNNNNNNNNNNNNNNNNNNNNNNNNNNNNNNNNNNNNNNNNNNNNNNNNNNNNNNNNNNNNNNNNNNNNNNNNNNNNNNNNNNNNNNNNNNNNNNNNNNNNNNNNNNNNNNNNNNNNNNNNNNNNNNNNNNNNNNNNNNNNNNNNNNNNNNNNNNNNNNNNNNNNNNNNNNNNNNNNNNNNNNNNNNNNNNNNNNNNNNNNNNNNNNAUUUCUUCUCCACCACAUAAAAUCCCUCAAUUAUCCAAAGUAUAAAAUGAAUUUCAUGGGUUUGACAAGUGUUAAGGUGGUGUAAAAUUCCAAAAAUUCUAAUUACGUCCUUGUGGACACGUAAAAUGACCUUUUGCCCUUAUGUUCAAAAAAUUGUUGGAAUUAAAAUUUUUCACUUCUCAAGCUCAAAUUAUGUUCCAAAUAGUCAAACUUGAUCAAAAUUUCAUCCACCAUCCCAAAUUUGCCCUCGAGUGAAAAAAUGACCAUUUUACCCCUACGUUAUGAAAAUUCCAAUUUAACUCCAAAUCAAUUCCCGAACUCCGAAUCACCAUAUUAAGUCAUUCUAAGAUUCAAUAACUCUCAAUUGCAUCUUAAAAUCUUUAUUUGAACUAGUUUGAGGCUUAAAUCAACUUAGUUGUACCACUAGGUACACUACCGACUUUUGACGAUUUUUUCGAGGUAUUCAAGUAUGCAAGCAUGUAGUCAAAUACAUGAAUGACAUGGCAAGUAUAUUAUAGAGUAGGGCUUGACAACUUAAUUGUUGCAUCUCGCUUUUACGGCCAUAAGAUCCAAAUUCGUAAACUUAGGAUGCAGAAGCUCCCUCUUCGAGCUUAUCCAAUAGUCAACAUUUUCUAUAUCUUUUACCUUUGGAGAAAUCAUAUUCAAAACUAAUCAUUUACAUCAUAGGUUGCAUACUGAACCAUAUAAACUUUUAAAUUGAUCUUUAAAGCAACUUGUAUACUAAGCUCAAACAUAGAACUCCAUAUGACAUUUAGACUAAAAUCAACACUUCUAAGUCAUUUAACUUCAAGCUACCAAAUCCAUAACUAAUCCUUUAAUCCUUUGGCUUCAUGCUAAGCAUAGCAAAAUUCAAGCUCAUCCUUAAAGCAGUUUGGUUUACUAGCCUUUUUCUUGAUGACCACACAUUAUUUAUAACAAUCACUAGUCAUUCCAGUCAAAGUACGCCCCUUAUUACCAUUAUCUCACGUGCUCUUUUAUAUUGACCUCAAAUACAAGUCAUAGUCAUCAAAUUUUCUUCCCAUUGACAAUGUUGGGCUCAACCUUUAACUCCACCAAAUGAACAAGUUAUUACAGACCUAUUAAUCCAACUCCACUUUCCUCCAUCCUUAAUUGAAGGGAUAUACCAUCACACUAACCUUUUAUUGGGAACGUUUCCUUAAAAUCUUCCAACAACAUCUUGUGUCUCGAGUGACAUCUCAAACCCAGACGACAACACCAUUUAAGACCUUUAUAUGAUGUUAGCAGAAGGGUAGGUUACUAAGAAUAAGAGUCUAUAUAGUCUCAUCUCUAUGACUUGUGUUGCAGUCACAAGCCAUAACUAAGACUCUACAUUAACUCCGACAACUCCGCUAACUGACAUGAGAAUUCCUAGGACUCGACAAAACCUAGAGCUUUGACAACACGUUUGUCACAACCCAAUUUUCAGGCCAUGACCGGUGCAAGGGCCUAAUAAGUAUAGCCACUAGGCCCUAGCAAGCCUUCUUGUAUAAACCUGUACAUUAGCCCAUUUAUCAUCCAUAUUCCCUUUUAAGAUCUAUAACUCAUAAUGUUCAAAUAAUAACUUCAUUGAAAUCAAUUCAUAAAAUCCAAGCUUGUACUCAUAAUGGUAUUCAUCAAUCAUAAUAUACAUAAAUAGUUUACCAAACGGUUCUUAGCAAAUUACAUCCAGUUUACAUAAAAACAUUCAAAGACUCUGACCGUUAGUGGAGUAACUCUAGGCAUGGGUGCUAACACUUAGUAUCAUGGCAAACCUACCAAACAAUGGAUACGGAGGAUCACCUCGUCCUAGGAUCCAGUCACCUUUGACUUAGAAACCUAAAGCAUGAAGUUUAAAAAUGUGAGUAUAAAUCUAGUGAGUGAACAUAAGAAGGGAACAAGCAAACAAUAAGGAAAGUUUAGAAAACAUGAUGCACUUAUUUUUAAAAUAAUGCAAUUUAGUUUAAUUUCUUGUUAAAACCCCAUAAUUUAGCCUUUGAUUGUUUAGUCCUUUAAUGUUGAAAAAAAUCCAUGAUCAACCAUGAAGUUGGAAGGUGAAAAUUACUACAAAUAUCCACACAAAAUAGAAAGUUUCUCAUCGCUGCGAAAAUGGAAUUUCGCUGCAGCGAGAAUAGUGUCUGCCACACUCAAAAAUUUCUUUCGCUGCAGCGAAAUUCAAGGCAAGUGGAAUUAGGGGGAUUUUUGCUGUAUUAAAAAUCCGUUCCUGAUGCAACGAAAAUCAAAUUGAACACAUUUGACAAUAAUCAAUUUCUCAACAUUCCAUAGAAGUACUUAUUAUUUUCAUAACCUUUUCUAUAGCAUAUAAAAACAUAUUUAUAGCAUAUAUAUAUAUAUAUAGAAGCAUGUAUACAACCACCACCUCACCUAGCUCGUGUGCACUCCGCAUUGCACAUAGCUGGAGUCAUCGUGUGCACCCUCACAUCGCGCACAACUAAUGCCAUCGUGUGCUCCCCCCACAUCUCGCAUGUCACGACCCAAAUUUCGGGCCAUGACCGACGCAUGGGCCUAAUGGACAUAGUCCACUAAGCUUAAGUAAGCCUAUUAAUCUGACAUGUUCAUCAUUCCAUCAUAAACUAUUAAGUCACAUUUCUUAACUUAGGAUCAAAGUAAUAUUAAACAUUGCCACUUCAUACUAGCAUAUUAAACAAGUGUAUAUAUAUGUUGUCUACAACAUGUAUCUUAAUAAUUUACAUUAGGUUUGUCUAUACACAACAAAAGAAUACUCGACUUCCAGCAGAGGGACUAAGACGAAUGUACAACUACUGAGUGCCGAGACACCUACCAAAAGAUGGAUACAAAUCUACAAGGACACCUCAUCCUAGUUACCCACUACCUCGUGAUCUGAAAACAUGAAGUUGAAAACGGUGAGUAUAAACCCAGUGAGUGAACAAGGAAGGGAACAACCAACCAUAAGGGAGAAUUUAAAAUCAUGAUGCACUUGUUUUAAAAAAAUGCAAUUUAAUUUCAUUCAUAUUGAAAACCCCUCAUUAAACCCUUAAAUAAUUAAUCACUUGGUAAUGAUGAACCCAUACAUAACAAAUAAUUUGAAAAAUGAAGGCUUCAGUGAUACACAAGCAAGUCAAAUGUGACAACGAAUCUUUACUGCAGUGAAAAGACACGUUGCAGCGAGAAUGAAUUUUUGCUGCAGUGACGUUGGGGUUAAGUUAUUAGCCAAACGAGGAUUCCUCAACUGGCCAAAGGUUUCUCACCAAACCUACUCAUUUUAAACUUAAUUCACUUAUUCCUUAAUGUUGGAAGUCCAAGCUCAACUAUGGUACCAAAGAAAUGGAAAAUGGAGCAGUAAUCGAACCAAAAAGGAAACAAAACAAAAAGUUUUUCGCUGCAGCAAGAAUGCAUCUCACUGCAGCGAAAUUUUGGUCCCAAAAUAGAAUGUUUCUCGCUGCAGUGAAACCAAACUAGUGAGGCUCUCAAAAACCCAAGAGUUUCUCACUACAGCGAGAAUGAAUUUCGCUGCAGCGAGAACAGAGCAGCAUGAACAAGAUUUCCAUUCCCCCAAUAAAAGCCAUCCUGUUAAAAUGACACCGACAACAUGAAACACAUGAAAUCCUCAAAGUGCAAUGUAUCAAGUUUCACAUACAUUUCAAUCAUAUAUCAUUUUCAUGCUCUUUCAUUUCAUAAGAAAAGAUAUGCAUACAUACAUAAUAACAUCCAUAUCAUCAUAAUCACACCCGGCUCAUGUACAUCCACCCACAUCGUGCACAUAGCCGACGUCAUCGUGUGCAUUCCCCCACAUCGUGCACAAUUAAUGCCAUCGUGUACAUCCCCCCACAUCGUGCACACGGGCACUGUCAUCAUCCACUCUCACACCACCAUCAUUGCCGGUAUGUGCAUCCCCCCAUAUUGUGCACACACAUGAUUACAGUCAUCAUACACAAUAUCAAUCAUCAUGCACAACACACAAACAUAUAUAUAUAUAUAUAUCAUCAUAUUGCAAUAGUGCAUGAAGCUAUAGCAAUCACAUAUCACAACAUAAAACCAUUUAGCAAAAGCUUGUUCCCAAGGCACUUGUUUUUAUGAAAAACUUGAUAAUUCAUUCAAAUGUGUGGCAAAUACAUUAUAUUUCCCAAAACAAGUUUUGAAGGCAGUUCACUCAUCGGUAUAUUGUUGAGCCUUUAGCUAACUCUAAUUCCCCUAAUGAUCCAAUUGGGGUGAUGGGGCUUCAUUAAAACCUACCAUCAAAUUAACAUUACCAUAAUGUCAAUUCAUACUUAUAAACCCUAAAAGCUAUCCCUUAGCAAGCUUUCAAGUACCACUUUAAAUGGCUAUCUAUGUUCACUAUUUUAAUCACUAUAAAAGGAAUGAACAUACUUAACAAUAAAACAGCUCAUAAUCCCAAUUACUAGCCAUUAUUCAUAGCUGAAAAUCAAGCUUGGUUCAUCAUUCACCCUAGGAUUUCUUUGUAGUUGAAUUCUCUUCCAAUAGCUUCCAAACAAAUGGGGUAAUUCUUUUUUUCUCUCUCUAGAAUGCCCAACUAGUGAGAGAAAGUAUGGAAAUAAGAUUUAUCAAGGGUUUUCAAGUGAGAGAGUGAAAGAAUACAAGGGUUCUAGUCAAAAGGGCACAAAAGUAUGAAAACUAGAGCUAGAGAGAAAAUUAUGCAAGCUUCAUAUCAAGCUUCCAUGGAGGUUGGAAGCAACGUGAGAUGGAAGAAGAAGAAGAAGACAAGUUGCUGAAAAUUCAAGAAGCUGCUGGAAGGAGAAGAUAUUUAUAGCCAAACUUAUCUACUCCAAUUAAAUUACCAAAAUACCCUUCCACAAAUUAACUUAUUCUCCUCUAAUCUUUUAUGCAAUCUUUUUGCUUUUUUGACACUAGGACAAGGUCCAUAAUGGUCUAGAAAUGUUUGAGUUCAUGAAAACUUAAAAAUUUUGACCCGAGAUGAAAAAUGACCAUUUUGCCCCUAUUGUGAAAAUUAUUGAAACUUCUAGUUUUCUUCAUGUUUUCAUCAUUACACAUCAUUUAUGCGGUCUUAUGCCUAUUUAGACCUUAAAAUAUCAUAAAACUUUCUUCUGGGAGUUUAUUAGAGAAAAUGACAAAACUACCUCUGGCUUGUGUUAUUGUAUCUAUACCUAGUUACGAGCCUAUAGAGGUCAAGGCCUCAUAGCGCACAUGGCAUAUAUCAUCAUCAUCAUGUGCAAUCUCACAUCGUGCACAACUAAUGCCAUCAUGUGCUCCCCCCACAUCACGCACAUAGGCAAUCUCAUUAUCAUCACGUACACCCUCACAUCGCCCACAACUAAUGCCAUCAUGUGCUCCCCCCAAAUCGCAUACAUAAGCAAUCUCAUCAUCCACACUCCCUCACCCCGUUAUCACCAGCAUGUGCACUCCCACACCGCACAUGCACGGUCAUAAUUAUUAACACACAACAUAUAUAUAUAUAUAUAUAUACAUAUACCAACAUAAUAUAAUAGCACAUGGAUUCGUUACAAUCACAUUUCACAACGUAGAAACAUUUCAUCAAGGGCUUGUUCCCAUGCAUGUUUUUAAGAAAAGACAAAUAAAUUCUUUCAUGUGAUUCAUUCAACACACAUGCCGAUAUCCCAAAACAUUUAAAUGCAAGUUCACUCAUCGGUCUUUGUUAAUGCUUUGAUUGACUCUAACUUUGACCAAUGCUUUGAAUGGAGAUGUGGGAUCUCGUUGGAACCUAUCACACCCAAUAGCAUCUCAAUCACCCAAAUUGGCAUUAAUAUAAUUCCAAAAGCUAUUUCCUAACUCAAGUUCAGCUAGUUAUUCCUAACUAGCUUCCAAUCACCAUUAAGUGGCUAUUUAUUUCACUACUCUAGUCACUCUAAAAAUGAAUAAACAACCUCAACAAUAAAACACUCACAAUUCUCAUUGUUAGCCAUUACCAACAUCUUAAAAAUCAAUCCUAACUUAUUACUCACCUUAGGGGUUUUUUGUAGUUGAAUUCCUUUUCAAAAGCUUUCAAACUAUUGUGGGAAAUCUCUCUCUCUUUUUUUCUCUCUCUAGAACGUUCAACUAGUGAGAGAAAGUAUUAAGGAAAGGUUUUUGAGAGUUUUUAAGGUGUAGAAGUGGAAGAGCAUGAAAAAGCCUAUGACAGAGUGGGCAAAAGCAUGAAACUUGGACUUUCUAUGAGAGAUUUAUGGAGGAUUCAAGAUUUCUUCCCAUGGAAAAUGAAGAAAAACAUGAAAUAGAGAGAAGAAAUAGGAUGAAAAAGAAAAAGCUGCUAGACGUUGUUGGAACUUAGUUAUUUAUGCUUCAAGUUAAUCUAAAUUUCACUUAAUUUACCAAAAAGCCCUUAACAUGGUGGCUUUGUCUAUCUCCCAUCCUUUGUGCAAUCUUUUUACUCUUUGACACUGAAACAAAGUCCAUAAUAGCUAUAAAAUACUCGGGGUUCACAAAAAUGUAAAAAUUUAGACUCGAGAUGCAAAAUGAUCAUUUUGCCCUUACUAUGAAAAUUAUCAGUGUUUCUGUGAGACCUUGAUCUUUAUAGACUCGUAGCUAAAAGUAGACGUGAUAUAACGAACUGGGGGUAAUUUUGUCAUUUCUUUAGUGAGCCCCUAAAAGUAUUCUUUCAAACAUUAUUAAGGUCUAAGUAGGUUUAAAGUAUAAAUGAAUGAUGAAAAUAAGUAUAAAAUGAUGAAGAAAAUAGAAAUAAUGAUGAUUUCCUAGGUAAGGGUAAAAUGGUCAUUUUUCAUCUCUAAUAGAAAUUUUUAAGUUUUCAUGAACUCGAGUACUUUUAGACUAUUAUGGACUUUGUCUCAGUGUUAAAAGAGUAAAUAGAGUGCAUAAAGGAAAGGAGAAAGACAAGUGGCCUUGUUAAGGGCAUUAUUGUAAAUUGUAUGAAAAUUGGAUUAACUUUAACUAUAAAUAUCUAAUCUCCAGCAGCUUUUCUUUAGUUUUCCAGUAGCUUCUCUUCUUCUCCUUUCUCCUAUCCUCCUCUCCAUUUCAUGUUUCUUUGCACCUUUCAUAGAAGUAUCCUUUGAAACCUUUAAAAUUUCCCCAAAUUAUCUUUAUUUCUCAUGUUUUUCUACACCCUUUUCAUAGGGUUUUUCAUGCUCUUCCACUUUUACACCUCAACAGCCUUCAAAAGUCUUUCUUAAGUACAUUUAGUCAUUAGUUGGAUGUGUAGAGAGAGAGGGAGUGAUUUUCCUUAUUAGCUUGGAAGAAUUUUGAAAAGAAAUUCAAUUACAAAUCCACCAAGGUGAGUGAACUUGCAUUUAAAAUAUUUUGGGAAAUGUAUUGGUAUUUGGAUGAAGCAUGUGAAUGAUUUUUAUUUGAUUUUUUCCUUAUAGAUUAUGCAUAGGAACAAGCCUUUAUUAAAACGUUUUACGUGGUGAGUGUGCAAUAUGAUGAAUCCUUGUGCUCCUAUAGGAUGCUGAUAUAUACAUAUAUAUGUUGUAUAUCCAUAGUUAAUAUUGUGUAAUAAAUAUAACCAUGCGUGUGCGCGAUGUGAGGGAUGCACAUGCCCGUGAUGACAAGUGUGGGAGUGUGGAUGAUGAUAUUGCCUGUGCGCAAUGUGGGGGAUGCACAUGGUGGUAUUAGCUGUGCACGAUGUGGGGGUUGCACAUGAGUUGGGUGAGGCAGUGGUGGUAUUGGUGUUUAUAUAUGUAUAUAUAUAUAUAUAUAUAUAUAUAUUUAUGUAAUAGAAAGUUCAUGAAUAUGGUAUAUGGUUGUAAUGUAUGUGAAAUCUUGCAUGUUGAACCUUGGAAAUUGCUAAGUAUUUUCAAGUUGAUUUUGUCAUUGCAACAGAAUGGCUUUUUCUUGAUAUAAUGAGAACUUUUUUCUUGGUGUUUUGUUUCUCGUUGCACUGAGAAACUCUCGGGUUGGGAGGUUGGCUGCAGUCCUGUAAAUCGCUGCAUCGAGAAUACAUUCUCGCUGUAGCAAGAUGUUUAUAGGUGGUUUCACUGCAGCGAGAAACCUUCUGUCGUGCUUACUGCCUUGUUUGGUUUCUGCCAUAUUUUCCACUUCUUUAACAUCAUAGUUGAUCAUGGACUUCCAACAUCAAGGAAUUUAUUUAAUUAAGUUUGAAAUGAGUGGUUUUAGUGAGAAACCCUCGGCCAGCUGAUAAUUUGAGCCCAAAUUUCGCUGCAGCGUGAUGCCUUUCCGUUGCAGCGAGGAUUAGUCAUUUUGCUUAACUUGCUUGAAUGCUACUAAAGUUUUCACUCUUCAAAUUCUUUGUUGUGCAUGGAUCCUUCAUCAUCAAGUGAUUAACCAAUUAAGGGUUUAAUGAGGGAUUUUAAUAAGAACUAAACUAAAUUGCAUUGUUUUUGAAAAUAAGUGCAUCAUGAUUUCUUUAAACCUUUCUUAUUGUUUGCUUGUUCCUUUCCUUUGUCACUCACUGGGUUUAUACUCACUGUUUUCAACUUCAUUUUUUUAGAUCAAGAGGCAGUCGGUAAAUAGGACGAGGUGUCCUUGUAGAUUCAUCUCCUUGGUAGGUAUCUCGACAUUCAAUAGUUGUACUUUCACCCGAGUCUCUCCGCUGAAAGUCAAGUAUCCCUUUUGUUGUGUAUAGACAAACCCGAUGUAAAUUGUUAAGAUGUAUGUUUUAGACAAUAUAUGUAUAUUUUGAUUGGUAAUGCCAUUAUGAGUUGUCAAUGGUUAGCAUUUUCUUGAAUUGGAAUUAUGAAAUGUGACUUUAGAAACUUUUGAUGGAAUGAUGAACAGGUCAUAUAAAUAGGCUUGCUUGGGCUUAGUGGGCCAUGCCCAUUGGGCCCAUGCACCGAUCAUGGCCCAGAAACUGGGCUGUGACAGUUUCUAUCUUCUUUAUUUAUUUUACCAUCAUUCAUUUAUUCCUUAGGCUCUUAGACCUUAAUAACAUUAGAAAACUACUUCCAAGAGCUCACCAUGAGAAAUGAUGGAAAUUACCCUUGGUUCAUGUUAUCGUGUCUACUUCUAGUUACGGGUCUAUAGAGGUCAAGGUUUCACAAUAUGAGGGUAUUGGGUGUCACAAAAGAAGAGCUUAUAUGCUUUGAAUGCAAGAAGCUAGGGCACUUCAAGUCAGAAUGCCCCUUGCUGAAGGAAAAAAGGCAAAAAAAAAAACAAGAAAUCGAAUAAGGCAAUGGUGGCUACAACUGGGUCAGAUAAUGAUACUUCAAGUUCUGAUGCUGAAGAAGAAAAAGUUGAAGAAAGAGCAAAUUUAUGUCUGAUGGCAAGGGAUGAUGAAUCCGAGGUAUCUUCAACUUCUUGUGAUAUUUCCAUUGAUGAACUUCAAGAAGAGUAUGAAUGUCUUUAUGAUGAAUUUGAGAAACUUGCUUCAAAAUACGAGACUUUAAAGAAAAAGACUGCAUCUCUUGAAAUAGAUUUAGAAAAGAUUAUAUAUGACCUCAAAUCUGUUUUGAACAAAGAAACAUUGUUCAAAUAAAACUAGAACAUUCAAAAAUUGAUUUUGAGACUCAAAAAUUAGAAUUAGAAAAUAAAACUGAAGCUUUACAAAAAGCAAUUGAAGAAAAUGCUGCUCUUAAGAAUAUAAGAAAAAAAACUUCAAAAAGAAAUACAUACUUCAAGAAAAAUUCUGAUAAGGUAUCAUCUAGAUGUUAUAUUUGUGAUAGAGUUGGUCAUUUAUCCUAUGACUACUAUAAAAAAGGAAACAUGCACAAAACAAGAAAAAUUAUGGUUCCAAAAGGAUCCUAUGUUGCAGCUAACCUUCAAAGACCUGUCAAGGUAUGGGUACCUAUUAAGAAAAACUGAAAAUUUGUUUUGUAGGUUGAGCCGAACCUAAAAGACACAUGUUCAAGAGCUCAACUAAAGGAGAAGUAGCCUUGUACAUGGACAGUGGCUACUCAAGGCACAUGACUAGAAAUGAAAUGCUAUUUGCUAAGCUGGACAAGAAAAUGAGAGGUACCGUAUCCUUUAGUGAUGAUUCAAAAGGUAGAAUUCAUGGCAUAGCAACAAUUGGUAAGAACUCUCAAAUUCAAAUUAGUCAUGUGUUGCUGGUUAAAGGAUUGAAACACAAUUUAUUAAGUAUCAGCCAAUUGUGUGACAAAGGUUUUAAGGUAUGCUUUGACUCAAAUAAAUGUGAAGUGAUAGACAUAAGUACUAACAAAGUUUCAUUCAUAGGAAAAAGAAUUAAAAAUAUGUAUGUUAUAUUUCUUAAAGAUCUUGAGAUUAAUUGUAAAACAUGUCUUCUACCAAAUGUUGAAAAUGAUGGUCGGUUAUGACAUAGGAGACUUAAACAUGUGAGCAUGCAUACAAUUUCAAAUUUGAUAAGAAAAAAUCUAGUUAUAGGAUUGCCUAAGCUUAAAUUUAAGGAUGAUCAAAUUUGUGAUGCAUGCCAACUAGGUAAACAAGAAAUUCCUUCAAAACCAAGAAGAUUGUCUCCACCUCCAGACCCCUUGAACUGUUGCAUAUUGAUUUAUUUGGUCCAAUUAAUACAACCUGCUUAGGGAGAAAAUCUUAUGGCUUUGUGAUAGUGGAUGACUAUUCUAGGUAUACUUGGGUUUACUUUCUUGCUCAUAAGAAUGAUGCUCUAUCUGCUUUUAUCAAUCAUUGUAUGAAGGUUGAAAAUGAAAAAAGACUUGUCAUAGUUAGCAUUAGAAUUGAUCAUGGAGGUGAAUUUGAGGGAGAUGAGUUUGAAAACUUUUGUAAUGAAAGGGGAUUGGAUCAUAAUUUCUCAACACCUAGAACACCUCAACAAAAUGGGGUUGUAGAAAGAAAAAACCGAACCUUGAAAGAAAUGGCCUGAACCAUGCUUUGUGAAAACAAUCUACCAAAGUACUUUUGGGCAGAAGCUAUCAACACAGCAACUUACAUCCUUAAUAGAGUCUCAAUAAGGGCCAUGAUAUCAAAGACCCCAUAUGAACUAUACAAAGGUAGAAAACCAAACAUCUCUCACCUUAGAAGCUUUGGUUGCAAAUGUUUUGUGUUGAACAAUGGAAAACAUCCUCUAGGAAAGUUUGAUGCUAAAAGUGAUGAGGCUAUAUUUCUAGGAUAUGCAUUGAACUCAAAAGCUUAUAGAGUCUUUAACAAAAGAUCUUUAACCAUUGAGGAGUUUAUCCAUGUAGUUUUUUAUGAAUCUAAUGCCUUGCGAAAGGAAAUUCUUGCUGAUGAAGAUGAUACGGAUGAUCUUGAAAGACAAAUGGAAGAAAUGAGCUUAGAUGACAAGAAAAACAGUAAAGAAAAUUCCUUAGGAAGAGAAACAGAACCUCCACCCUUAGGAACCUUGCAACGGAUUGAAAAUCAACACAAUGAUCUUCCAAAGAGUUGGAGGUAUAUCGAGGAUCAUCCACAAGAGUAAAUCAUAGGUGAUAUUUCUCAAGGAGUCAAAACUAGGAGAGGAACUAGAGAAACAUGUGAAUUCACAGCUUUCAUCUCACAAAUUGAGCCUAAAAGCUUUGAAAAAACAGUAAAAGAAGAAAGCUAAAUUUUGGCCAUGGAAGAAGAGCUUGAUCAAUUUGAGAAAAACCAAGCAUGGACACUGGUUUUGAUCAAUGAAUGUAAAAAGUGCAUUUUUAAAUGGCUUUAUUCAAGAAGAAGUCUAUAUUGAACAACCCCCCGGAUUUGAGGACUUUGAAAAACCAUAUUAUGUGUUCAAACUUCAUAAGGCCUUGUAUGGACUAAAACAAGCUCCAAGAGUUUGGUAUGAAAGACUCUCUAGAUUUUUAGUUGAGAAACGAUAUAGUAGAAGAAGCAUUGACACAACAUUAUUUAUUAAGAAAUGCAUGAAUGAUUUAAUUGUUGUUCAAAUUUAUCUGGAUGAUAUUGUGUUUGGUGCUAUUAAUGAAGACUUGCACAAGAACUUUGCUAAAGAAAUGCAAGGUGAAUUUGAAAUGAGCAUGAUGGGCGAAUUGAAAUUCUUUCUUCGCCUCCAAAUCAAGCAAUGCUAGGAUAGCAUCUUUUUAAACGAAGAAAUAUACAUUCAAGACAUGCUGAAAAGGUUUGAUAUGCUGAAGCUAAAGUUAAUCAGCUAAAGUCCCUCUACCAAGCUUGAUAAAGAUGAAAAAAGAAGCAACAUUGAUCAAAAGCUUUAUAGAGGUAUGAUUGGAUCCUUGCUGUACUUAACUGCUAGUAGGCCUGAUAUUCAAUUUAGUGUAUGUUUGUGUGCACGGUUUCAAUCACAACUGAAAGAGUCACACUUGACUGUUGUAAAAAGAAUCUUUAGGUACCUUAUAGACACACAAAUUUAGGAUUGUGGUAUCCUAGAGGAACAUCUUUCAAUCUUAUUGGAUAUUUAAAUGCAGACUUUGCUGGAAGCAAAAUAGAUAGAAAGAACACUAGUGCAACAUGUCAGUUUCUAAGAGAUAAGCUUGUGUCCUAGUCAAGUAAAAAACAAAACUCAGUUGCAUUCUCCACCGCUGAAGCUGAAUAUAUUUCUUUAGGUAGUUACUGUGCUCAGAUUUUAUGGUUCAAACAACAACAAAAAGACUUUGGAAUAAUCUUCCAUAACGUACCAAUAUUCUAUGAUAACACAAGUAGGAUCAACAUCUCAAAGAAUCCUGUCCAGCACUCUAGGACCAAACAUAUUGAAAUUAGGCAUAACUUUAUUAGAGAUCAUGUGAUUAAAGGAGACAUUAAAAUUGAGUUUGUUAACACCAUGAAACAAUUAGCUGAUAUAUUUACCAAGCCCCUAAAUGAGGAAAGAUUUUGUGAAAUUAGGGGAAAUUUAAGGAUGGUUAAUGUGCAGGAGCUGUAAGAAAAUUUCUGAGCUUUCUAUUCACAAGACAGUAGGCACUUAGUUGAUUAAGAGAAUCACUUAAUCAACUAAGAGUAUUCUAUCCUUUUAAAUAAUAAAAUUCAGUCAUAAAGAGAUAAGACUCAGUUAGUUAAGAGACCAAGAAAGAAUUAAUAAAAUAAUAAAAGGAAACAAAGAUAGGGUAUCAAGUGAAGAAAAAGAAAUGAAAAACCGCUUAAAAAAAUUAAAAUGAGAGUAAAUUUUUGAAUUUAAAAAAAAAAGGAGUUACCAACCAUUUUUAAAAAGGGGAAGACUGACGGUUUUGAGAAAAAUUACUCUCUCUUCAUUUUCUCUCAUCUAAAAUCGACCCUCUUAAAACUAAAAUUCCUCCUUCCCAAACCUACGAAACCUUAAGCCAAAAACUACUUAAAACCAAAUGGCAAAAUCCUCUUUACCUAAAGACAUCCUGGAAAAGAAAAAGCGUAACUGGCCAAUGGAAGAGAGUCCACCAAAAAAAUUCAGAAAAAAAAAAAGAACAAAGUUGAGUCCGCUUUUACAGUUGUGAAAACUGGGAAAAGCAAAAAGAGAAAGAACAAAAAGCAGAGAAAAAGAUAGAAAAAGAAUAACUCUCCAAGAAAGGUAAUCUUUCAUCCUUAAAGUUUAGAAACAAAGUUCAUAAGGAUAGGUUCAAAAAGAUAGAGAAUGCUUUUAUUACAUGUGAUAAAUUUAUCGACUAAGAGAGCUUUGAUAAGACCUCGAAAAUUUAAGUUUAUCAAAUUAUUUUAAGGAAAUGAAAUUGAAGAAAUUUAGCACUUUUAAAAAUAGAACCUAUAAUGCUAGUCUCGUAAAGAAAUUUUACGCAAGCAUAGCAUUAGAAGAGAGUGACCUUGAAGAAUCUGAGGAUUUUAGUAAUGAUGGUCUGAAUGUCUUCUUAAAUGAAAAAGAGUUUGUGGUGACUGCUGCAGAUUUGGGAAGUUUUCUACAGAUUGAAUGUGAAGAGGGUGAUUAUGAAAUUCUUGAGAACUAUGAUCCCUCAUCUUUGUAGGAGGUAAUCACAAGAAAAAAAGAAAUAUAUUCCUCCAAGAGUUAUGCCAGUCUUAUCAGAAGCCCUCACAUUAGAAUCCUACAUUACUUUUUACUCAUGAGAAAUAAUUAAAAGAUCUGCAGAGGACUUUGAAUUAAUUAAAGUCGCAUGCCUGCCCUGUCCUAGACAACAAUAAACAAGGAAGUCUGGCUCUUUUAGUCAUCAUUGUUCAUACGUUACUGAACUACUGGCUAACUCUAUUUAGCAGGCUUACUUGAUCCUCUAAUGGAAGAAAAUUUUCUUGUUAGGAAACUACUUCAGCGGCUCUGAGUUACAAAAUUUCAUAGGGUAACCUCUUAGAGCUAACAUUUGCUCCUCCGAUGCCAACUUAAUUGGAACGAUAUAGAGAAAAACUUGACUUAAUACACAAUUUUUAAUAGAAACUAGUUUCGUACUAGCCGUAUCAGAUAUUCCUUUUGUCUUUUUAUAGUCAGAUAUUUAUUUAAUUUUAUUAAAUGAAUUGGUUUAUCAGAACAUUCAUGGGAGAAGAGGUAGUUUCAGCUAUGUAAGUCUUCAGGACAUGUGGCUAAUGAAGCAUGCCUUUAAUGCUACUCCACUCAACUUGGGCCGAUUCAUGAUUGAGAGGAUGAGAGGAACUUGUCAGAUUGAUAAAGCAAAUCUACUUUAUGGGAAUACAAUCACCUCACUGGUAAAGAAAAAGGGGAUUUAGAGCUCAAGGUAUAAGAAUGAUCAAGUAAAGAGUAGGGACCAGGCAAUUUACCGUGGAAGUCUGCCAAAGAUGGGGUACAAACUUGAAAGUGAAAAAUUUGUUAAAACCCCCAAGGCCUCUGUAAUCCCUGCUCAGACAGAAACAGUACCCUCCCAAAUCUCUAAAGACUUGAUUUUGAACUUACUGAUAAGGAUCGAGGGAAAACUCACUGAUCAGUAAGCAAAGAUGCAGCAAAUUGAAGAGAAAUUGAAAGAACUGGAAAAUAUGAUAAAGGAAAAAGGAAAGUCUACUACUGACCCUGCAGUUGAAGACACCUCUACAACUGCAAGUCUAGCACAAGUUGAACAAGUUGCUAAAGAUCCUGUCUUUCAAGUUGAAGGUCAAUCUGAUCAACCAAGGAAAUCUCCCUCUCCUGAGCCUCAAAAUGAAGAAGAAUCAAUUGAAGGCACUCAAAUACUUGGAUCUUUUAAUGACAACCCCCCACCUGAGGAACAUUAGCCAGAACAGCCUUCUCCACCUAACACUGAGGAAGUAUCAAUCAUGGAUAUUUUUCAUCAAAUGGUCAGAGAAAAACAAGUAAAGAAAGAAAUAGGAAAAGCAAAAGCUUAGACACCAACAUCAGUAAGGAAGUCUCCUGAAUUGGUUCACACUGCCAAAAAAAGUGAACCUGUAGAUAAAGAGAAAAAGCAAGCAGCUGCAUCCUGUUGGCUCCAUUAGUUUUUUAUGACAGUAAAACAUUCCCAUUUCAUAUGUGUCUAAUAUUUCUACUUGAGUGUGCAGGACAAAAUUGUAUGCAAAUAAAUAUUCAAUCAUUAAAAUGCACAUAUCAAAGAGCAUAGAAGUAAGGAAGUCACAUUUGACCAAUAAGACAGAAGCCCCUUAGUUGAUUAAGGAAGAUUUAGUCAAUUAAGAUUCAAAUUGGAAGAAUGGCGGGCUGAAGAGUAUUAAGAAACAAAACAAAUUUAGUCGACCAAGGAAUGAGUUAGUCGACUAAGUACACGCUGCUAGAACUGCUAGAAACUGGGAACAGAAGAUAAAGACGACUUAGUUGACUAAGAGCAUUCUACCUACAAGUUUGAAUUCUACACUAAAAGACAGUUUAACGGCUAGAACCAACUCCCAGCUGUUUUCAAUGGCUAGAAAACUAUCAAACUGCCAUCAGAGUUGUUUCUCCAAGUAGAAAAGAGGGUUCCAAUAGCUAGAAAAAUUUUUUCAAGGGUUCCAAGAACAAAAAAGAGCUCAAAAUAGCAAAUAUUCUCAAAAAUACUUUCUACACUUCACUCUAAUCUUUGUAUUUGAAUUAGGCACUUCACUUGGUACCACUUAGAUCAACUUUGUGAUCAUAGGUACACUCUUUUUACUUCUCUCUUUAUGUUCUUAGAGUGAGGGAGUCACUCUAAGUGUUUGUUUCAAGCUAGGAUUGCUUGAUUGUGUUAAGGUUCUAACUUAGCCUUGAAAAGUUAGGUGUUGGGUUAUAGUUGAGCCCGAAAAAAACUAUUGUGAAAAGUUUUGGCUAAGCUUGGUAAAAGCCAUUGUAAAGCUUGGUGAAAGCUUGUUAAUAUCACCCGUUCUUAGUGGAUUGGUUGGAAAAUUCUUGGUUGGAUAAUCAAGGUAGUGGGUGUAGGUCUUAGACCGAACCACUUUAAAUUUUGCUAUCUUAUUUACUCUAUUUUUGUUUUAUUUUCAUUCUUUCUCUUAUCUUGCAUUUGUCUUCAACUAAGAGUCAAUUUGAGUAAAAGCCAAAAAGUACUAUUCACCCCCAUUCUAACACAUUUAUUUGGGACCAACAAGUGGUAUCAAAGCAAGUUUCCUAUUAUUAAGGUCUAACAAUUGGGAGGAUCCAAAUGGCUCAACUAAAAUCAGUAGUUGCUGAGGGACAAUCAACAAACAGAUCACCUCUGUUUGAUGGCUCUAACUAUCUUUAUUGGAGCACUAGGUUGUCUAUAUAUAUUAGAGCAAUUGAUUAUGAGAUGUGGGAUGUUAUAACAGAUGGUCCAUACAUUCCCUCAACUCUAAAUGUAGUGACAAAUGAGAUGAUCCCAAAGCCAAGGUCUGAAUAGACCGAGGCUGAAACUAAGAGAGUCUAAACAAAUUUUAAGGCAAUCAAUACAUUACAUUGUGCCUUAACUCCCACCGAGUUUAAUAAAGUAUCAAGCUGUACAACAAUUAAACAAGUGUGGGAUAAGCUUAGGAUUAUUAGCCUUCUUGACACAUUAUUAUGAAAUGUUUAAGAUGGAGCCUGGUGAAGAUAUCACCAACAUGUUGGAUAGAUUCACAAACAUCACAAACAAAUUAAGUCAAUUAGGCAAACCAAUACUCGAGCAUGAGAUUGUUAAAAGACUUCUUAGAAGCCUACCAAAAAAUUAGAAGCCUAAAGUGAUUGUAAUUCGGGAAGCCAAGGAUCUAAAUGUUAUUACUCUAGAUAAGAUUUGUGGUUUUCUCCUCACUCAUGAGUUAGAACUCAAGGAAGAAGAAGAAGAAGAUAGGAGGGAAGCAAAAGAAAAGAAAAAGAGCAUUGCACUAAAAGCCAGCAUUCUUGAAGAAGAGUUGGAAGAGCUAUCUUGUGAUGAUGAUGAAGAGUUGGCACUAGUUGCAAGGAAAUUCAGAAAGCUUAUGGGAAUAAGAAACUGAAGACUAGCUAGAAGAGGGUUUAGAAAAGAUCAAGGUCCUUCAUGGAAAACCAGAAACAAAAAUGACUCCAACAAAAAGGAGAAGCUGACUUACUACGAAUGUAAGAAGCCUAGACAUUUUAAGUCAAAAUGCCUAUUGCUAAAAGAUGAAACUCCAAAGAAAAACAAGAAAUUAAAUAAGGCAAUGGUGGCAGCUGCUUAGUCAGACAGUGACACAUCAAGUUCUGAAUGUGAGGAAGAAAAAGCUAAGGAAAAGGCCAAUUUGUGUUUGAUGGCACAGGAAAAUAAUCCAAGAUAUUCUCAUCCCCUUGUGAUAUUUCUGUUGAUGAAUUAUAAGAUGAGUAUGAGUGUCUUUAUGAAGAAUUUGAAAAACUCUUUUCAAAAUACAAGAUUUUAAAGAAAAAGACUGCAUCUCUUGAAAAUGAUUUAGAAAAGAUAAGAGAAAAGUACAAUUCUAUUUUUGAGCAAAGAAAUUUUCUGCAAGUUGAGUUAGAACACUCAAAAACAUAUUUUGAAGUUUUAAAAUUAGAGCUAGACAAUAAGUCUGAAGCUUUGCAAAAAACACUUAAUGAAAACAUAGCUCUUAAAUGUUUGAAAAAUGAAACUUCAAAAAGAAAUGCAUAUUAUAAGAAAAAUUCUACAAAUGCAGUAUCUAGAUGCUAUAUUUGUAAUAAAAUUGAUCAUUUGUCAUAUGAUUAUUUUAAGAAAAGAAGUGUGCAGAAAAUAAGAAAAAUAUGGGUUCCAAAAGGAUCCUAUGUUGCUGCUAACAAUCAAGGACCCAUCAAGGUAUGGGUACCUAUAAAGAAAAAUUGAAAUUUUAUUUUGUAGGUUAAGCUGCACUCAAGAGAGACAUGUUCAAGAGCUCAACUCAAGAGGAAACAACAUUGGUAUAAGGAUAGUGGCUGCUCACAACAGAUGACAAGAGAUGAAAUGUUAUUUGCUCAGCUGGACAAAAGAAAUGGAGGUACCGUUUCCUUUGGUGAUGAUUCAAAAGGUAGAAUCCAUGGUAUAGGAACUGUUGGUAAGAACUCCCAAACUCAAAUCAGUCAUGUGUUAUUGGUUAAAGGCUUAAAACAUAAUUUAUUGAGCAUUAGUCAAUUAUGUGACAAAGGAUUUAAAGUAUGCUUUGAUUCAAAUAAGUGUGACGUAAUAGAUAUAAGCACAAAUAAAGUUUCAUUUAUAGGAAGAAGAUUAAAGAAUAUGUAUGUUGUGUUUCUUGAAGAUCUUGAUAUAAAUUGUGAAAUGUGUUUAGUAACAAAUGUUGAAAAUGAUAGUUGGUUAUGGCAUAGAAGACUAGGACAUGUAAGCAUGCAUACUAUGACAAAAUUAAUCAAGAAAAAUCUAGUUGUUGGAUUGCCAGAUAUAAAAUUUGAAAAUGAUAAAAUAUGUGAUGCUUGCCAACUAGGAAAACAAGUUAGAACAUUCUUUAAGACUAAAAAGAUUGUGCACAUCGAUCUAUUUGGUCCAAUAAGUACAACAAGUCUAGAAGAAAAAUCUUAUGGAUUUGUAAUAGUUGAUGACUACUCUAGGUACACUUGGGUUUAUUUUCUUGCUCAUAAGAAUGAUGCUCUAGCAGCAUUUAUAAGUCAUUGUAGAAACGUUAAGAAUGAAAAAGGACUAACCAUAGUUAGUAUUAGGAGUGAUCACGGAGGAGAAUUUGAAAAUGAUGAAUUUGAGAAAUUUUGUAAUGAAAAGAGGUUGGAUCAUAAUUUUUCUGCACCUAGAACACCCCAGCAAAAUGGAGUUGUAGAGAGGAAAAAUCGAACCUUAAAAGAAAUGGCUAGAACUAUGUUGUGUGAGAAUAACCUUCCAAAAUAUUUUUGGGCUGAGGUAGUGAACAUAGCAGCAUAUAUACUUAAUAGAGUAUCAAUUAGAGCCAUGAUAUCAAAGACUCCUUAAGAACUUUAUAAGGGUAGGAAACCAAACAUUUCACACCUUAGGAGUUUUGGUUGUAAAUGUUUUGUGUUAAAUAAUGGAAAACAGUCCUUAAGUUAGUUUGAUGCAAAGAGUGAUGAAGCAAUAUUUUUAGGAUAUGCAUUAAACUCAAAGGCUUAUAGAGUUUUCAACAAAAGAACUUUAAAUGCUGAAAAAUCAAUCCAUGUAGUUUUUUAUUGAGUCCAAUGCCUUACAAAAGGAAAUUCGUGCUGAUGAUGAUGAUGUAGAAAUCCUAAAAAAGCAAAUGGAAGAAAUGAGAUUAGAGAACAAUAAAAAUAAUGAAGAAAGCUCACCUAGAAGAAAAUAUGAAACUCAAACUCUAGAAACUUUGCAAAGAACAGAAAAUCAGCAUAGUGAUCUUUCAAGGAGUUGGAGAUAUGCAAAAGAUCAUCCACAAGAUCUAAUCAUAGGUGAUGUUUCACAAGGAGUUAAGACUAGGAGAGCAACUAGAGAGACUUGCGAGUUUUUAACUUUCAUAUCUCAAAUUGAGCCUAAGACAUUUGAGGAAGCAGAAAAAGAGGAAAGCUAGAUAUUGGCCAUGCAAUAGGAACUUGAUCAAUUCAAAAGAAACUGUGUGUGGUCAUUAGUAUCAAGGCCUUUAAACCACCCUAUUGUUGGAACAAAAUGGGUGUUUAGAAAUAAGGUAGAUGAGCAAGGAAAUGUAGUUAGAAAUAAAGCUAGGUUUGUAGGCCAACGAUACAACCAAGAGGAAAGAAUUGACUAUGUUGAAACAUUUGCACCUGUUGCCAGGAUUGAAGCCAUAAGGUUAUUGCUUGCUUUUGCAUGCUUUAUGAAUUUUAAAUUAUACAAAAUGGAUGUAAAGAGUGCAUUCUUAAAUGGUUUCAUUCAAGAGGAAGUGUAUGUUGAACAACCACCAGGAUUUGAAGACUUUGAAAAACCAGAUCAUGUUCUCAAACUUCACAAAGCCUUGUAUGAAUUGAAACAAGCUCCUAGAGCUUGGUAUGAGAGACUUUCAAAAUUUCUGGUUGAAAAAGGAUAUGUUAGGGGCAACAUUGAUACUACAUUGUUCAUCAAAAAAUAUUUAAAUGAUUUAAUUGUUUUCCUAAAUUUAAUGUGGAUGAUAUUGUAUUUUUGUGUAACUAAUGAGGCCUCUGUGCAAGAAUUUUGNNNNNNNNNNNNNNNNNNNNNNNNNNNNNNNNNNNNNNNNNNNNNNNNNNNNNNNNNNNNNNNNNNNNNNNNNNNNNNNNNNNNNNNNNNNNNNNNNNNNNNNNNNNNNNNNNNNNNNNNNNNNNNNNCCAAAUAAACAAGUAGAAAAAGGAAUCUUCAUCAACCAAGAAAGAUACAUUCAAGAUAUGCUCAAAAAGUUUGAUAUGUUGAAGCUAAAGCCAAUCUGCACACUAAUGAGUCCGUCCACCAAACUUGAUGCUGAUAAGAAAGGAAAAGUAUUAAUCAAAAGCUCUAUAGAGGUAUGAUCAGAUUACUUCUUUACUUAACAACAAGCAGAUCAGAUAUUCAGUUUAGUGUGUGUUUGUGUGCUAAAUUUUAUUCACAACCUAAAGAAUCACACUUAACUGCUGUUAAGAGAAUUUUUAAAUACCUCAUAGAAACACAAACCUUAGGAAUAUGGUAUUCUAGAGAAUCAUCAUUUGAUCUUGUAGGCUAUUCGGAUGCAGACUUUGUAGGAAGCAAAACUGAUAGAAAACGUACUAGUGGAACAUGCCAAUUUCUAGAAAGUAUGCUAGUAUCUUGGUCAAGUAAGAAACAAAAUUCUGUAGCAUUUUCUACAGCUAAAGCAGAGUAUAUUUCUCUAGGUAGUUGUUGUGCUCAGAUUUUGUGGAUCAAAUAACAACUAAGAGAUUUUGGAAUUACAAUACAUAAUGUACCAAUCUUCUGUGAUAACACAAGUGCAAUCAAUAUAUCUAAAAUUCCUGUGCAGCAUUCUAGAACUAAACACAUUGAGAUUAGGCACCAUUUUGUUAGAGACCAUAUACUGAAAGGAGAUGUCAAAAUUGAAUUUGUGAAUACUUUACAUCAAUUAGCUGACAUUUUUACCAAACCUCUAAAUGAAUAUAGAUUUUGUGAAAUUAGAAGGAAUUUAGGAAUGAUUAAUAUGCAUUAGUUGUAGGUAAAAUUCUGAUCUCAUAUAAAAUAGAAGACACUUAGUCGACUAAGAGAGGUCUCAGUCAACUAAGAGUAUUCUGUUUCAUUAAAUAAUAAGACUCAGUUAAAAUGAAGGCAUGAGGAAUAGAAUAAUAGGAAAAAACUGCCUACGAGGAAACAAAAAUAAAAAAGAAAAAUCGCUCAAACCAAAAAUUAAUUUAUGAGGAAAUUUUUGAAUUUUCAAAGGGGAGUUACAAAUUGGACUUAAAUAGGGGAAGUUAAACAGUUUUUUCAUUUGGAAUUAAACUGCUCUCAACCCAUUUUCUUUAUUCUCUCUCAUUCUCUGAUGAAACCGAAAUCUGAAACCAAAACCCUCACCUCUCAACCAUUCAAAACUCUGAAUCCCAAAUCUUCUAAAUCAAAUGGCUAAAACAUCUCAAAGCUAAGAAAUUAUUGAGAAGAAUAAAGGAAAAAGGCCGAUGGAAGAAAGUCUCCAAGUUGAAAAACUGAAGAAGAAGAAGAAAAUUGAGUUGGGCUCUGCAAGUAAAGAGUCUAGAAAAUCAAAAAGCCAAAAAUCUAAAAAGAAGGAAGUAAAGAGUAAACUACAUAAGAAAGGUACUUCUUCAUCUUCCAAAUUCAGAAAUAGAGUGCAUGAAGAGAAAUUUAGAAAAAUAAAGAAUGCACUAAUCACCUGUGGAAAAUAUAUUGAUUGGGAAAGUUUUAGUGAAAUGCCUGAAAUUCUAACAAGCUUGUCAGAUUAUUUUGAAGAAUUAAAAUUGAAAGAAUUUAGCACAUUUAAAAAUUAUUCAUAUAGUGCCAGCUUAGUUAAAGAGUUUUAUUAAAGUAUUGUUGUUGAUAAGGAUAAACUGAAGGAACCAGAGGAUUAUUCUAAUGAGGGUCUAAAUGUGUUUUUAAAUGGGAAGGAAUUCACUGUCACUGCAGCAGACUUAGGGGAACUUCUUAAGAUAAAAUGUAAUGAGGGGGAAUUUGAGUUUCCUAAGAAGUAUGACCCCUCAUUCUUGUGGGAAGUAAUCAUAGGAAAGAAAGGAAAGUAUUCCUCCAAGAGCAAUGCAAGACUUAUCACAAGUCCACAAAUAAGAAUUUUGCCCUAUUUUGUUGCUGCCAAUAUUCAUGGCAGGAGUGGAAGCUUAAGUUACAUUAGCCUCCGAGAUUUGUGGCUAAUGGAACAUGCAUUUAAUGGUGUUGCACUUAAUCUAGGAAGGUUCAUGAUUGAAAGAAUGAGGGGUGCAUGCAGACUAGAGAAGAUCAACUUGCCUUAUGGAAAUAUCAUCACUUCUCUAGUGCAGAAGAAAGGAAUUUGGAGCUCUAGGUAUGAGGCUGACAAAGUUAAGACCAAAGACCAAGCCAUUUACCUAGGUAGCUUACCUAAAAUGGGGUACAAACUAAAUGGAGAACGAUACAUUAAAACCACCAAGGCGGGUCUUGGAAAAGAAUCCUUUUUGCUUGCUCAACCAGAGGCAGCACGAUCUCAAUUCUCAAAUGAGGUAAUUUUUAAUCUGCUAAUGAAAAUUGAUGGGAAGCUCACUGAUCAGGGAGCAAGAAUUCUAAAAAUUGAGGAAAGGUUAACAGAAAUAGAGAGCAAAAUGAAAGGAAAAGAAAAAGUGCCAUCUGAACAAGCUUCAGUAGACAGCUCUACAACUUCUAGUUUGGCUCCAACAGGACAAGAAGCUAAGGUGCAAGCUGAAGGCCAUGAGCCUGAGGUGGAAUAGCCAAGAAAAUCACCCUCACCUAAGCCUCAAGACAAGGAUGAAUCUGAUCAAGGUACCGAGGUACUUGGAUCUUUUAAUGGAAAUCCUCCCUCUAAACCCCAACCUCAACCAGAACCUCAACCAUCUCCUCCACUUUUUGAAAAGGUGUCUAUCAUGGGACUAUUCCAUCAAAUGGUUCAAGAAGAGCAAGUUGAGAAAGUGGAAGCUAAGGGAAAAGCUCAACAAAUAGCAUAUGCAUCAGCUCCUACAGCAGAAGGGCAGUUAGGGAAAAGCAAAGAAAAAGUUGCUAAAGAACCACAGAAAAAAUCCAAACCACCAAGCAUGGGCAAGAAAACAAUGGCAACAAAAACAAAAUUUAUCAAAAGGAGAAAAUCAUCUAGAUUGGCUGAGAAAGCCAAGCUAGCACCAAUCUCCUCUCCUCAACACCCUCUCGAGAUUUCAUCCCCUAAACAGUCCCUUGAAAAAUCACCACCUCAACCGUCUCCUCAACCCGAAUCCUCUCCUCAACCUAUAAAGCUCAACCUUAUAAAUACUUGUCAUGACAUACAUAUGAUGGAUAGAAUAUUUGCAUUCUAGGAGAGUCCCGAAAAAUUUACAAAAGUCGAUAAUGUACCUAGAGGAACAACAACGUUGAUUUAAGCCUCGAACUAGAUCAAAUAGGAAUUUUAAGGUGAAAUUGAGAGUUUUACGGUCCAUGGAUGACUCAAAACGGUAAUUUGGAGUUUGAGGAUCAAUUUGGAGUUAAACCAAAAUUUUCACUAUCUAGGGGUAAAAUGGUCAUUUGCCACCUGGAGACAAAAUGAGAAUUUUUAGAAAAUAUUUUUUUGGCCCCAUUUGACUUAUUGGAGUAUGAUUAGAGUAUUGGAGUAAGAUUUGAGGUUUAUAAGUGAAAAAAUUGUAAUCUCGGUAUUUUCGGAGCAUAGGGGUAAAAUGGUAAUUUUACCAACUCAGGGGUAAAAUGGUAAUUUUGCCACCUUAGGGGUAAAAUUGUGAUUUUACACACCCGAAACUUGUCCAGCACAUGGAUUUUAUCCAAUAUAAUCAUGGAUAAUUGAAGGAAUUUAAGUGGUGGAGAGAGAAAGCUUAAUAGUUAAGAAAUUAAAAAUGGACCAAUGGGAUGGUGACAUGUGUCAAGUUAAUAUCCAUUUAUUUUUUUAGCUUUAAAAUCAGCAAAAAUCAGCUUAUUUUCUCUUCAUGUGGCCGGCCAUAGCAAGAACAAAGAGAGGAAAAGAAAAACAAGAAACCUAGGUGGGAAAAGUAAAGAAAAAGUGUGGGAUUUCAAGGAAUCAAGCAAUCAAAGGUAAAAUUUCUUGAUUUUGACUUGUGAUCUACCUUUCCCAUGCUUUUCUCCUUAUUUUCCAUGGUUAGAUUUCAUGUUUUCAUGGUGAAUUCAUGGCUGCCCAAAUGGGUAUGGAGAGAGAAUGAAGUUAGAUUGAUUUGAUUUUAAGUUAUGUUAGUGUUUUAAGUUAGUUUAGCAUAUUUAGAAACAAAACAACAAGAAAAGAAUUCAUUUUCCCCCAUUACCAUCAUUGGCCGAAUUUCCUAGGAAGAAUAUUGUGGCUGAAUUUGAUGAUAUUUCAUGAUAUUUUGGUGAUAUUUUAUGUUUGGUGAGGCUAGAAAUUAAAUGGGAAAUUUUAGUGCAAAAAUACGAAUUUUUGCUCAACAUAUAGACAUGUGUAUUUAUUGACCCGGGAUCGAUAAAUUGAACCUCAUUCACAGUCACUGAGGUAAUUUAGGUAUAAUUGGAGUGUAGAAAGUGAAAAGAAUUGAUUUGGAGUUAAAUUGAAGAUUUUAGCCGAUUAGACCAAGAAUAGCGCGAAUUAGGUCGAAUACCGUAUUUAAACGGCUAUUCGGACAUUUUUGCAUUUCAUAUCAUGCAUUAGUAGCCUAAAUUAGUUUAAUUUCAAUUUAGUAUCAAUGUGGUGAAUUUCUUAAUUUUGUACUGUGUCAAGGUGGUGAGUCCUCCGAUAAAGGCAAGAAAAUUGCAUCCGAGGACCAGUAGACAGAGUACUUCAAAAGUCUGCAUUCUAGACAUUGUGAGUAAACUUACUAUCAUUUUAAUUAUCUAGGGUGGUUUUUAGAUGAUUUCAUGAAUUCUAUGGAAAAAUGGAUUUAAAAGGUAAAUUUUCAUGUUUUAUGAAUAAAGGUGUUCCAAUGAAAUUAAAUUAUAAAUUGUUUUGAAACUAAUAAUGAUUUUAAAAAAAAUAGAGUGCACGGAGACUUUUAAUUGUGGCAAUUUGAUUGUUUAAAUUGAUGGCUUAUGUUAUAUUGUUAUUGUGUUGGCAUGACUGGCUGGGCUGUGUUUUAUGAAUUGUAUGAAUUGUUUUAGUUUACCCUUGCAGGCUAGGUAGUAUUUCAUUAGCCCUGUCAUGCCCUCAAAAUUUUAUUAUAUGGUGGAUAUAUAUUAAUUAAUCACUGUAGUAAGGGGUUUUUGGGGACCAGGCUUCUAGAAAGGCACAGUAAACCCCAUUAUAUUCUUACCUCGAACGAAGAGGCGCGUAGGGUAUCUCCUGGGGUAAAGUUUAGGGUUCACUUCACACCAAACCACCACGUGAGGGGGAACUCAGCCAACGCCAAGGAAUGGCUAUGUUUCAAAAUUAAAAUAUGAUUUAUGCGAAAUGUGAAUUUUUAACAGCCUUGGCAGUCUCGAUAGGAUGCCUCGGCCACGGUGUCCCUAAAAAUGGAUUUAUGGCACAAGCCUAAUUUUUAUGAGAUUCAUAAGCCUCUUCACGUAUUUUAAAUGAAAUGUAUUCUAAUGUUGUGACCCAGUUUACGAUGAUUUACUUUAUUAUCUCCAUGUACUCAACUCUAGAUGUUUAUGAUGAUGUCUGUUUACUCAUUGGGAUUUUAUGAUCUCACCACCCUCCUUUCCACCCGUUUCAGGUUCAGUAUAAACUGUAGAUAGCUGAUCUCAUUUAGGACUAUCGUUGGAUCUGCAUUUUCCAAACCGCAGGUUCACAACUCUCUUUACUUUUGUUUAUUCGAGGGCCCUCUUGUUAUUGUAAAUUUAAUUAAAUAUUUUGGCUUACUGUAUUACAGUAUGUAUAAAUUUAUUUAACUUUUACGCUAUAAAAAUUAUUUACGUAUAACUCUAAAAAUAUUAUUUUAUAAGAAAAUAGAAUAUUUUAUUUAACAUUUCUUUUAUUUUCUUAGUAUAUCCAAAUAAUCAAAAUUUCAUUUUAAAUGAAGAUUUUAGACUUUAAAACUCACUUUUGAUUAUGAAUUAUGUGUUUUGUAACUGUAAAUUACAUUUUAGCCGGUUUCGAAAUUUUUUGGGAAAAUUGACUAAAAUACCCCAGUAAAACGAAAAUUAUUAUUUUAUUUGUUUUGAGUUGAAAAUAGCUUAAAAUCUUUUAGAACAUGAUUUUCGGCAACGGUUGCUCACGAGGGAAAUGAGAUACUGAUAUUAAGCGUUGCAAGGUCCCGAUUGGCAUUCCGGGAAAUGAGUGUCUAUCGGGGUACCAUGGCGGUUGUCACGGACUCGAGGGGAGUACCGGGUCGUGACAAUUCGAUUGGUAUCAGAACUUUUGGUUUUAAAGAAAAGAGUUUUUGGUUUUAAAGUGGUUUUAAAAAUUUACAAUAUUAGUGUGGCCCCGGAUUAAGUUAGGUUAGGUUGAAUAGAAUGCAUGCAUCUGCAUAUAGAGCCUAAGGUUGCCUAAACUUACUCAUAUUCUUUUAUAGAUUAUAAUGCCUCCUCGACGCGGAAGCCCACCUCUCACUAGAUCGGUUGGGAGGGGAAGAGGUCGUUCCCAACGUCAUCAGCCAGAUACAGUAGAGGAGGAAUCGGCUGCAUCCACCAUUCGGGCAGCACCCGCUGCUAAGUAGGCCAAUAGUCCUCCACAUCCUCCAUCUCCUCAGCCACCCACUAGUAUUCCUACCAUGCCUACUGAGGCAGCACAAGCAUUGGCAGUUUUCUUUACCGCAAUAGCUGGUCAAGCUCAGACUGGUCAAGUUCCACCUAUAAUUCCUCUAGCUACUUCUUCAAUUCAGCCAGUACAGGAUGUAUCCAUUUCCAAGAAGCUGAAAAAGGCUAGACAAUUAGGUUAUGUGUCUUUCACGGGUGAGUUGGAUGCCACUGUGGCAAAGGACUGGAUUAAUUAGGUUUCAGAGACUCUCUUUGAUAUGAGAUUAGAUGAUGACAUGAAGCUGAUGGUGGCUACGAGAUUAUUAGAAAAAAGGGCUCGUACCUAGUGGAAUUCGGUGAAGUCUCAUUCCACUACUCCGUAGACAUGGUCUGACUUCCUCAAAGAAUUUGAUGGUCAGUAUUUCACUUACUUUCAUCAGAAAGAAAAGAAAAGAGAAGUUCUGAGCUUGAAACAAGGAAAUCUAACUAUAGAGGAGUACAAGACUCGUUUUAACAAGUUUAUGUUAUAUGUGUCGGAUCUAGUGAAAUUUGAGCAAGAUCAAGCCAGUUAUUUCAAGGAAGGGCUCCGUAAUGAGAUUAGAGAGCGGAUGGCAGUGACUGGUAGGGAGCCACAUAAGGAUGUGGUACAUAUGGCUUUAGGGGCUGAGAAGCUCUCGAUUGAGAAUAAGAGGAUUCAGACUGAGUUUGCAAAAAAAAAGAAUCCUAGUGUAUCUUCUAGUUAACCACCAAAGAAAGGCAAGGGCUCAGCGACUUCAGGGAGCACUACUUCUGUUUCAGUGACAUCUCCUCGACCUCCAUUUCCACAAUCACAACAGAGACCUUCUAGGUUUAGCAGAUCUGCUAUGACUAAUUCUGGAAAGAGUUUUGGAGGUUUUGACAGAUGCAGAAAUUGUGGGAAUUAUCAUGUUGGGCUAUGUAAGGGGCGUGCACUAUGUUUUCAUUAUGGUCAGCUGGGUCAUAAUAGGAGUAAUUGCCCACGGUUAGGACGAACCAAUGUAGCUACAUCAUCUCCACCAGCUCGCACUGAUAUGCAGAGGAAAGAUUCUGCUGGGUUACCAUCGAGACAGAGAGUAGCCAUAUGAUCUGGUGUGGAAAGUAAUACCCCAGCACAUCCACCUUCGAGACCACAGACUCGUACUUCGACAAGAGUUUUCGCAGUGACGCAAGAUGAGGCACGAGUCUGACCUGGAGCAGUGACAGGUAUUAUGUAUUUAUUUAAUAAAGAUGCUUAUGUUUUGAUAGAUUCUGGCUCAGAUAGAUCUUAUGUGAGUACGGCAUUUGCAUCAAUUGCUGAUAGAAACCUGUCACCAUUAGAGGGAGAAAUUGUAGUGCAUACCCCUCUAGGAGAAUAGUUGAUUAGAAAUACUUGUUAUAAAGAUUGUGGGGUAAGGGUAGGUGAGGAAGAAUUUAUGGGUGACUUAAUUCCUCUAGAGAUCUUGGAUUUUGAUUUAAUAUUAGGUAUGGACCGGUUAACUGCACAUCGGAAGAAUGUGGAUUGUUUCUGAAAAGAAGUUAUUCUUCGAAAUUCAGAGGGAGCACAGAUUGUGUUUGUAGGGGAACAUCGAGUAUUACCGGCUUGUGUAAUCUUGGCCAUCAAAGCUUUGAAAUUAGUGCAAAAAGGGUAUCCGACUUAUUUGGCACACGUGAUUGAUACUUCAAAGGGGGAACCUAAGUUAGAGGAUGUCCCAAUAGUAAGUGAGUUUUCUGAUGUAUUUCCUGAUGAGUUACCGAGACUACCUCCUGAUCAAGUGCUUGAGUUCCCUAUUGAUUUACUUUCGGGUACCACACCUAUUUCUAUCCCUCCAUAUAGAAUGGCUCCGGUAGAGUUGAAGGAACUGAAAGUUCAGUUGCAAGAUUUAAUGGAUAAUGGUUUCAUUCGCCCUAGCAUUUCUCCUUGGGGAGCACCAGUCCUAUUUGUUAAAAAGAAAGAUGGCAUUCGAUUACUGUCAACUGAACCGAGUGACCAUUAAGAAUAAAUACCCUUUACCCCAGAUCGAUGAUCUUUUUGAUCAAUUACGAGGUGCUAUAGUGUUCUCUAAGAUUGAUUUGAGAUCUAGGUAUUAUCAGUUGAAGAUUAAGGAGCAGGAUGUACCCAAUACUGCCUUCAGGAAGCGUUAUGGGCAUUUUGAGUUUCUAGUGAUGCCGUUUGGUUUGACCAAUGCCCCGACAGUUUUUAUGGAUCUUAUGAACAAGGUGUUUCAUCCAUACUUGGAUAAGUUUGUGAUAGUGUUCAUAGAUGACAUCCUGGUUUAUUCGAAGAAUGAUGAUGAACAUGUUGCCCAUUUGGGCAUUGUGUUGCAAACUUUGCACGAGAGACAACUCUAUGUCAAGUUCUCUAAAUGUGAGUUCUGGUUAAAGGAAGUGAUUUUCUUGGGACAUGUGGUGUCCGGAGCUAGAAUUUAUGUCAAUCCCAAGAAGAUUGAGGCAAUCUUACAAUGGGAGCAACCGAGAACGGUAACUGAGAUUCGCAGUUUCCUUGGCUUAGCCGGCUAUUAUUAGAGAUUUGUUCAAGGAUUUUCAUUGAUAGCAGCUCCUUUGACUCGUUUGACUCGUAAAGGAGUUAAGUUUGAGUGGGAUGAUGUUUGUGAGAAUCGAUUUCAGGAGCUAAAGAACCGAUUGACCUCCGCUCCCGUUUUAACACUUCCUAUUAAUGGAAAAGAAUUUGUGGUAUACAGUGAUGCAUCUAAGUUGGGAUUAGGGUGCGUAUUGAUGCAGGAUGAAAAAGUAAUAGCUUAUGCUUCCCGGCAAUUAAAGAAGCACGAGACGAAUUACCCUACUCAUGACUUGGAGUUAGCAGCAGUAGUCUUCGCAUUGAAGAUUUGGAGACAUUAUUUAUAUGGUGAGCGUUGUCGGAUUUUUACUGAUCAUAAGAAUUUGAAAUAUUUGCUCACCCAGAAAGAACUUAAUUUGAGACAAAGACAGUGGCUGGAGUUGAUUAAGGAUUACGACUUGGUGAUUAAUUAUCAUCCAGGGAAGGCAAAUGUUGUAGCGGAUGCUUUAAGUCAUAAAUCCUCAUCUUCAUUAGCUGUACUUCAGAGUUCUUAUUUUUCGAUAUUACUUGAGAUCAAAUCUCUAGGGAUCCAGUUGAAUAAUGGUGAGGAUGGAACCCUACUUGCUAGUUUCAUUGUGAGACCUUCAUUGUUGAAUCAAAUCAGAGAAUUGCAAAAAUCUGAUGAUUGGUUGAAACAAGAAGUUCAAAAGCUGGAAGAUGGAGAAACUAGUGAGUUUAGACUUAGUGAUAAUGGUACCUUGAUGCUUAGAGACUGAAUUUAUGUCCCUAAGGAUGAUCAGUUGAGAUGAGCUAUUUUAGAGAAAGCUCAUUUUUUCGCCUAUGCUUUACAUCUCGGAAGCACCAAGAUGUAUCAGACUAUUAAGGAAAGUUAUUGGUGGCCAGGUAUGAAAUGAGACAUAGCAAAGUUUGUAGCAAAAUGUCUCACAUGCCAACAGAUCAAGGCGGAGCAUCAAAAAAUCGUCAGGUACUCUUCAGCCUUUAUCGAUUCCUGAAUGGAAGUGGGAACACGUGACUAUGGACUUUGAAUUGGGUUUGCCACGGACACAGAGUGGGAAAGAUGCUAUUUGGGUGAUUGUUGAUAGAUUGACUAAGUCCGCCCAUUUCUUGGCUAUCCAUAGCACGUAUUCUAUUAAAAAACUAGCGAAACUUUAUAUAGAUGAGAUUGUGAGGUUACAUGGAGUUCCAAUUUCUAUUGUGUCAGAUCGAGACCCUCGGUUUACUUCUCGAUUUUGGUCGAAAUUUCAGGAAGCUCUCAGAACAAAAUUGAGAUUUAGUAUUGCCUUUCAUUCGUAAACUGAUGGUCAAUAUGAAAAGACUAUUCAGACCUUGGAGGAUAUGUUACGGGCUUGUGUCAUUGACUUCAUUGGGAGUUAGGACAGACACUUGCCAUUGGUAGAGUUCGUGUAUAAUAACAGUUUUCAACUUAGUAUUGGGAUGGCACCAUACAAGGCUUUGUAUGGAAGAAAGUGUCGAACUCCACUCUGUUGGGAUGAAGUGGGAGAGAGGAAAUUGGUUAAUGUGGAAUGAUUGAUUUGACAAAUGACAAAAUCAAGAUUAUCAGAGAGCGAUUAAAGAUAGCUCAAGAUAGGCAGAAGAGUUAUUCUGAUAAACGAAGGAAAGAUUUGGAGUUUGAAGUUGACAAUAAAGUUUUUCUUAAGGUUUCUCCUUGGAAAGGUAAUAAUUUGAAAAUUCCAAGUAUUAAAUCUUAUUUGAUUAUACUAUUGUGAUAAUUUGUGGUAUUUAUUGGAUAAUGAAAGGUGUGAUUCGAUUCGCGAAGAGGGGAAAGCUCAAUCUGAGAUACAUUGGACCCUUUCGUAUCAUUGAAAGGAUUGGGCCAAUAGCUUACAGACUUGAAUUACCCCCGGAGUUAGAUCGGAUUCAUAAUGUCUUCCACGUCUCGAUGUUGAAAAAGUAUGUUCCCGAUCCCUCUCACAUUCUAGAAACACCUCCCAUUGAGUUGCAUGAAGAUUUGAAGUUCGAGGUGCAGCUUGUACGUAUUCUAGAUCGAAAGGAUCGAGUGCUAAGGAACAAGAGUAUUCCAAUGGUGAAAGUAUUAUGGAAAAAUGCUCGAAUGGAAGAGAUGAUGUGGGAAGUCGAGCGCCAGAUGAGAAACUAAUAUCCACAUCUUUUCUUGGAAUCUGGUAAGUGAAUUUUGAGGUCAAAAUUUUAUUUUAAGGGGGGUAGUGUUGUAAAGUCCGACCUUAUAAAAUACUUGUCAUGACAUACAUGUGAUGGAUAGCAUGUUUGCAUGCUAGGAGAGUCCCGAAAAAUUUACAAAAGUCGGUAUUGUACCUAGAAGAACAACAAAGUUGAUUUAAGCCUCGAACUAGAUCAAAUAGAAAUUUUAAGGUGAAAUUGAGAGUUUUACAGUCCAUGGAUGACUCAAAAUGGUAAUUCGGAGUUUGAAGAUCAAUUUGGAGUCAAACCGAAAUUUUCACUAUCUAGGGGCAAAAUGAUCAUUUGCCACCUGGGGACAAAAUAGGAAUUUUUAGAAAAAAGUUUUUUGGCCCCAUUUGACUUAUUGGAGUAUGAUUAGAGUAUUGGAGUAUGAUUUGAGAUUUAGAAGUGAAAAAAUUAUAAUCUCGGUAUUUUUGUAGCAUAGGGAUAAAAUGGUACUUUUGCCACCUUAAGGGCAAAUUUGUAAUUUUACACACCCAACACUUGUCCAACACAUGGAUUUUAUCCAAUAUUAUCAUGGAUAAUUGAAGGAAUUUAAGUGGUGGAGAGAGAAAGCUUAAUAGUUAAGAAAUUAAAAAUGGACCAAUGGGAUGGUGACAUGUGUCAAGUUAAUAUCCAUUUAUUUUUUUAGCUUUAAAAUCAGCAAAAAUCAGCUUAUUUUCUCUUCAUGUGGCCGGCCAUAGCAAGAACAAAGAGAGGAAAAGAAAAACAAGAAACCUAGGUGGGAAAAUUAAAGAAAAAGUGUGGGAUUUCAAGGAAUCAAGCAAUCAAAGGUAAAAUUUCUUGAUUUUGACUUGUGAUCUACCUUUCCCAUGCUUUUCUCCUUAUUUUCCAUGGUUAGAUUUCAUGUUUUCAUGGUGAAUUCAUGGCUGCCCAAAUGGGUAUGGAGAGAGAAUGAAGUUAGAUUGAUUUGAUUUUAAGUUAUGUUAGUGUUUUAAGUUAGUUUAGCAUAUUUAGAAACAAAACAACAAGAAAAGAAUUCAUUUUCCCCCAUUACCAUCAUUGGCCGAAUUUCCUAGGGAGAAUAUUGUGGCUGAAUUUGAUGAUAUUUCAUGAUAUUUUGGUGAUAUUUGAUGUUUGGUGAGGCUAGAAAUUAAAUGGGAAAUUUUAGUGUGAAAAUACGAAUUUUUGCUCAACAUAUAGACAUGUGUAAUUAUUGACUCGGGAUCGAUAAAUUGAACCUCAUUCACAUUCACUGAGGUAAUUUAGGUAUAAUUGGAGCAUAGAAAGUGAAAAGAAUUGAUUUGGAGUUAAAUUGAAGAUUUUAGCCGAUUAGACCGAGAAUAGCACGAAUUAGGUCGAAUACCGUAUUUAAACAGCUAUUCGGACAUUUUUGCAUUCCAUAUCAUGCAUUAGUAGUCUAAAUUAGUUUAAUUUCAAUUUAGUAUCAAUGUGGUGAAUUUCUCAAUUUUGUACUGUGUCAAGGUGGUGUGUCCUCCGAUAAAGGAAAGGAAAUUGCAUCCGAGGACCAGUAGAUAGAGUACUUCAAAAGUCUGCAUUCUAGACAUUGUGAGUAAACUUACUGUCAUUUUAAUUAUCUAGGGUGGUUUUUAGAUGAUUUCAUGAAUUCUAUGAAAAAAUGGAUUUAAAAGGUAAAUUUUCAUGUUUUAUGAAUAAAGGUGUUCCAAUGAAAUUAAAUUAUAAAUUGUUUUGAAACUAAUAAUGAUUUUGAAAAAAAUAGAGUACAUGGAGACUGUUAAUUGUGGCAAUUUGAUUGUUUAAAUUGAUGGCUUAUGUUAUAUUGUUAUUGUGUUGGCAUGACUGGCUGGAUUGUGUUUUAUGAAUUGUAUGAAUUGUUUUAUUUUACCCUUACAGGCUGGGUAGUAUUUCAUUAGCCCUGUCAUGCCAUCAAAAUUUUAUUAUAUGGUGGAUAUAUAUUAAUUAAUCACUGCAGUAGGAGGCUUCUGUGGACCAAGCUUUUAGAGGGGCACAGUAAACCCCAUUAUAUUCUUAGCUCGAACGGAGAGGUGCAUAAGGUAUCUCCUGGGGUAAAGUUUAGGGUUCACUUCACGCCAAACCACCACGUGAGGGGGAACUCAGCCAACGCCAAGGAACGACUAUGUUUCAAAAUAAAAAUAUGAUUUAUGCGAAAUGUGAAUUUUUAACAACCUUGGCAGUCUCGGUAGGAUGCCUCAGCUAAGGUGUCCCUGAAAAUGGAUUUAUGGCACAAGCUUAGUUUUUAUGAGAUUCAUAAGCCUCUUCACGUAUUUUAAAUGAAAUGUAUUCUAAUGCUGUGACCCAGUUUACGAUGAUUUACUUUAUUGUCUCCAUGUACUCAACUCUAGAU
RNAcentral lists this long non-coding RNA (100515 nucleotides) under Theobroma cacao (cacao). Its description in RNAcentral is "long non-coding RNA (TCAC_LNC005886)". The stretch from base 41766 to 41872 matches the Rfam family "Plant small nucleolar RNA R71". The record is from RNAcentral. Lineage: Eukaryota; Viridiplantae; Streptophyta; Magnoliopsida; Malvales; Malvaceae.